GAUCAUACCAGCACUAAUGCACCAGAUCCCAUCAGAACUCCGCAGUUAAGCGUGCUUGGGCGAGAGUAGUACUAGGAUAGGGGACCAACCAGAAAGUCCUCGUGGUGCAUCCCACUUUUUCUUUCGGUUUUUCUCUAUUUUGUUUUGUUAAAAAUGUAUGACUCUAUAACGUUUAGACCGUGAGGCAAAACUUGGAAUGUGAUACCUUUUCGGAAAGCCCAAAGAGAGCUCUCCGAUAAAUGAGGAAGGAAAAUGGAAUUCUUCUAUUGGUUUUUUAUUCUACUCCAAAUUUUGACCUUAAUGUACUUUUUUGGUCUUUUUGGUGAUCUUUGCUAUAUGACAGGGCGAAAAUUAUAUGAUCGGACAUUGUUUUCGAAUAUUUUGCAUGUAUCAAAGCUCUUAUAAACAAGAUAGGGUAUUCCUACAUAGCUGGUGGGAGCCACGGCAAAUGGAUCUUAAAGUCUUCAAAAAAAGAAUAGAUACGAUUGCAUUGGAUGUAGUAAACGGAUGCGAUCAUACCAGCACUAAUGCAACGGAUCCCAUCAAAACUCCGCAGUUAAGCGUGCUUGGGCGAGAGUAGUACUAGGCUGGGUGACCUCCCGGACAGUCCUCGUGUUGCAUCCCUCUUUUCUUUUUCGGUUUUUCUCUAUUUUGUUUUGUUAAAAUUGUAUGACUCUAUAACUUUUAGACCGUGACGCCAAACUUCGCAUGUGAUACCUUUUCGGAAAGCCCAAAGAGAGCUCUCCGAUGAAUGAGGAAGGAAAAUGGAAUUCUUCUAUUGGUUUUUUUGCUAUUCCAAAUUUUGACCUUAAUGUACUUUUUUGGUCCUUUUCGUGAUAUUUGCUAUAUUACAGGGCAAAAAUUAUAUGAUCGGACAUUGUUUUCGAAUAUUUUGCAUGUAUCAAAGCUCUUAUAAACAAGAUAUGGUAUUCCUACAUGGCUGGUGUGACCCACGACAAAUGGAUCAUAAAGUCUUAAAAAAAAAGAUAGAUACGAUUGCAUUGCAUGUAGUAAACGGAUGCGAUCAUACCAGCACUAAUGCACCGGAUCCCAUCAAAACUACGCAGUUAAGCGUGCUUGGGCGAGAGUAGUACUAGGCUGGGUGACCUCCCGGAUAGUCCUCGUGUUGCAUCCCUCUUUUCUUUUUCGGUUUUUCUCUAUUUUGUUUUGUUAAAAUUGUAUGACUCUAUAACUUUUAGACCGUGAGGCCAAACUUUGCAUGUGAUACCUUUUCGGAAAGCCCAAAGAGAGCUCUCCGAUGAAUGAGGAAGGAAAAUGGAAUUCUUCUAUUGUUUGUUUUUUCUAUUCCAAAUUUUGACCUUAAUGUACUUUUUCGGGCUUUUUCGUGAUCUUUGCCAUAUUACGGGGCGAAAUUAUAUGUUCGGACAUUGGUUUUGAAUAUUUUGUAUGUAUCAAAGCUCUUAUAAACAAGAUAUGGUAUUCCUACAUGGCUGGCGUGACCCACAGCAAAUGGAUCAUAAAGUCUUCAAAAAAAGAAUAUAUACGAUUGCAUUGCAUGUAGUAACGGAUGCGAUCACACCAGCACUAAUGCACCAGAUCCAAUUAAAACUCCGCAGUUGAGCAUACUUGGGCGAGAGUAGUACUAGGAUGGGUGACCUCCCGGAAAGUCCUCGUGUUGCAUCCCUCUUUUCUUUUUUUUGUUAAAAAUGUACGACUUUAUAACUUUUAGACCAUGAGGCCAAACUUGGAAUGUGAUACCUUUUCGGAAAGCCCAAAGAGAGCUCUCCUAUGAAUGAGGAAAGAAAAUGGAAUUCUUCUAUUGGUUUUUUAUUCUACUCCAAAUUUUGACCUUAAUGUACUUUUUUGGUCUUUUUCGUGAUCUUUGCUAUAUGACAGGGCGAAAAUUAUAUGAUCGGACAUUGUUUUCGAAUAUGUUGCAUGUAUCAAAGCUCUUAUAAACAAGAUAGGGUAUUCCUACAUAGCUGGUGGGAGCCACGGCAAAUGGAUCUUAAAGUCUUCCAAAAAAGAAUAGAUACGAUUGCAUUGCAUGUAGUUAACGGAUGCGAUCAUACCAGCACUAAUGCAACGGAUCCCAUCAAAACUCCGCAGUUAAGCGUACUUGGGCAAGAGUAGUACUAGGAUGGGGGACCUACCAGAAAGUCCCCGUGGUGCAUCCGACUUUUUCUUUCGGUUUUUCUCUAUUUUGUUUUGCUAAAAAUGUAUGAUUCUAUAACGUUUAGACCGUCAGGCCAAACUUGGCAUGUGAUACCUUUUCGGAAGCCCAAAGAGAGCUCUCCGAUGAAUGAGGAAGCAAAAUGGAAUUCUUCUAUUGUUUUUUUUUUCUAUUCCAAAUUUUGAGCUUAAUGUACUUUUUCGGGCCUUUUCGUGAUCUUUGCUAUAUUACGGGGCGAAAAUUAUAUGUUUGGACAUUGUUUUCGAAUAUUUUGCAUGUAUCAAAGCUCAGAUAAACAAGAUAGGGUAUUCCUACAUACCUGGUGGGACCCACGGCAAAUGGAUAGUAAAAUCUUCAAAAAAGAAUAGAUACUAUUGCAUUGCAUGUAGUAAUGGAUGCGAUCAUAUCAGCACUAACGCACCGGAUCCCAUCAAAACUCCACAGUUAAGCGUGUUUGGGCGAGAGUAGUACUAGGAUGGGGGACCUACCAAAAAGUCCUCGUGGUGCAUCCCACUUUUUCUUUCGGUUUUUCUCUAUUUUGUUUUGUUAAAAAUGUAUGACUCUAUAACGUUUAGACCGUCAGGCCAAACUUGGCAUGUGAUACCUUUUCGGAAAGCCCAAAGAGAGCUCUCCGAUGAAUGAGGAAGCAAAAUGAAAUUCUUCUAUUGUUUUUUUUUCUAUUCCAAAUUUUGACCUUAAUGUAGUUUUUCGGGCCUUUUCGUGAUCUUUGCUAUGUUCGGACAUUGUUUUCGAAUAUUUUUCAUGUAUCAAAGCUCUUAUAAACAAGAUAUCGUAUUCCUACAUGGCUGGUGUGACCCACGACAAAUGGAUCAUAAAGUUUUCAAAAAAGAAUAGAUACGAUUGCAUUGCAUGUAGUAAACGGAUGCGAUCAUACCAGCACUAAUGCACCGGAUCCCAUCAAAACUCUACACUUAAGCGUGCUUGGGAGAGAGUAGUACUAGGAUGGGUGACCUCCAAGAAAGUCCUCGUGUUGCAUCCCUCUUUUCUUUUUUCGGUUUUUCUCUAUGUUUUUUUGUUAAAAUUGUAUGACUCUUUAACUUUUAGACCGUGAGGCCAAACUUCGCAUGUGAUACCUUUUCAGAAAGCCCAAAGAGAGCUCUCCGGUGAAUGAGGAAGGAAAAUUGAAUUUUUCUAUUGGUUUUUUUUUCUACUCCAAAUUUUGACGUUAAUGUACUUUUUGGGGCCUUUUCGUGAUCUUUGCUAUAUUACGGAGCGAAAAUUAUAUGUUUGGACAUUGUUUUCGAAUAUUUUGCAUGUAUCAAAGCUCUGAUAAACAAGAUAGGGUAUUCCUACAUAGCUGGUGGGACCCACGGCAAAUGGAUCGUAAAGUCUUCGAAAAAGAAUAGAUACGAUUGCAUUGCAUGUAGUAACGGAUGCGAUCAUACCAGCACUAACGCACCGGAUCCCAUCAAAACUGUGCAGUUAAGCGUGUUUGGGCGAGACUAGUACUAGGAUGGGUGACCUCACGGAAAGUCCUCGUGUUGGAUCCCUCUUUUCUUUUUUCGAUUUUUGUCCUCUUUUUUUUGUUAAGAAUGUAUGACUCUAUUACUUUUAGACAGUGAGGCCAAACUUCGCAUGUGAUACCUUUUCGGAAAGCCCAAAAAGAGCUCUCUGAUGAAUGAGGAAGGAAAAUUGAAUUCUUCUAUUCUUUUUUUUUCUACUCCAAAUUUUGACGUUAAGGUACUUUUUAAGGCCUUUUCGUGAUCUUUGCUAUAUUACGGAGCGAAAAUUAUAUGUUUGGACAUUGUUUUCGAAUAUUUUGCAUGUAUCAAAGCUCUCAUAAACAAGAUAGGGUAUUCCUACAUAGCUGGUGGGACCCACGACAAAUGGAUAGUAAAGUCUUCAUAAAAGAAUAGAUACUAUUGCAUUGCAUGUAGUAACGGAUGCGAUCAUAUCAGCACUAACGCACCGGAUCUCAUCAAAACUCCGCAGUUAAGCGUGUUUGGGCGAGAGUAGUACUAGGAUGGGUGACCUCCCGGAAAGUCCUCCUGUUGCAUCCCUCUUUUCUUUUUUCGGUGUUUCUCUAUUUUUUUUUGUUAGAAAUGUAUGACUCUAUAAGGUUUAGACAGUGACGCCAAACUUCGCAUGUGAUACCUUUUCAGAAAGCCCAAAGAGAGCUCUCCGAUGAAUGAGGAAGGAAAAUUGAAUUUUUCUAUUGGUUUUUUUUCUACUCCAAAUUUUGACGUUAAUGUACUUUUUUGGGCCUUUUCGUGAUCUUUACUAUAUUACGGAGCGAAAAUUAUAUGUUCGGACAUUGUUUUCGAAUAUUUUGCAUGUAUCAAAGGUCUUAUAAACAAGAUAGGAUAUUCCUACAUAGUUGGUGGGACCCAUGGCAAAUGGAUCGUAAAGUCUUCAAAAAAGAAUAGAUACGAUUGCAUUGCAUGUAGUAACGGAUGCGAUCAUACCAGCACUAAUGCACCUGAUCCCAUCAAAACUCCGUAGUUAAGCGUGCUUGGGGCGACAGUAGUACUAGGAUGGGUGACCUCCCGGAAAGUCCUCGUGUUGCAUCCCUCUUUUCUUUUUUCGGUUUUUCUUUUUCUUUUUUUGUUAAAAAUGUAUGACUCUAUAACUUUUAGACAGUGAGGCAAAACUUCGCAUGUGAUACCAUUUUGGAAAGCCCAAAGAGAGCUCUCCGAUGAAUGAGGAAGGAAAACUGAAUUCUUCUAUUGUUUUUUUUUCCAACUCCAAAUUUUGACGUUAAUGUACUUUUUUGGGCCUUUUCGUGAUCUUUGCUAUAUUGCGGAGCAAAAGUUAUAUAUUCGGACAUUGUUUUCGAAUAAUUUGCAUGUAUCAAAGCUCUUAUAAACAAGAUAGGGUAUUCCUACAUAGCUGGUGGGACCCACGGCAAAUGGAUCGUAAAGUCUUCAAAAAAGAAUAGAUACGAUUGCAUUGCAUGUAGUAACAGAUGCGAUCAUACCAGCACUAACGCACCAGAUCCCAUCAAAACUGUGCAGUUAAGCGUGCUUGGACGAGAGUAGUACUAGGAUGGGUGACCUCCCGGAAAGUCCUCGUGUUGGAUCCCUCUUUUCUUUUUUCGGUUUUUGUCCUCUUUUUUUUGUUAAGAAUGUAUGACUCUAUUACUUUUAGACAGUGAGGCCAAACUUCGGAUGUGAUACCUUUUCGGAAAGCCCAAAAAGAGCUCUCUGAUGAAUAAGGAAGGAAAAUGGAAUUCUUCUAUUGGUUUUUUUUUCUACUCCAAAUUUUGACGUUAAUGUACUUUUUUGGGCCUUUUCGUGAUCUUUGCUAUAUACGGAGCGAAAAUUAUAUGUUCGGACAGUGUUUUCGAAUAUUUUGCAUGUAUCAAAGCUCUUAUAAACAAGAUAGGGUAUUCCUACAUAGCUGGUGGGACCCAUGGCAAAUGGAUCGUAAAGUCUUCAAAAAAGAAUAGAUACGAUUGCAUUGCAUGUAGUAGCGGAUGCGAUCAUACCAGCACUAACGCACCGGAUCCCAUCAAAACUGUGCAGUUAAGCGUGUUUGGGCGAGAGUAGUACUAGGAUGGGUGACCUCCCGGAAAGUCCUCGUGUUGGAUCCCUCUUUUCUUUUUUCGGUUUUUGUCCUCUUUUUUUUGUUAAGAAUGUAUGACUCUAUUACUUUUAGACAGUGAGGCCAAACUUCGGAUGUGAUACCUUUUCGGAAAGCCCAAAAAGAGCUCUCUGAUGAAUAAGGAAGGAAAAUGGAAUUCUUCUAUUGGUUUUUUUUUCUACUCCAAAUUUUGACGUUAAUGUACUUUUUUGGGCCUUUUCGUGAUCUUUGCUAUAUACGGAGCGAAAAUUAUAUGUUCGGACAGUGUUUUCGAAUAUUUUGCAUGUAUCAAAGCUCUUAUAAACAAGAUAGGGUAUUCCUACAUAGCUGGUGGGACCCAYGGCAAAUGGAUCGUAAAGUCUUCAAAAAAGAAUAGAUACGAUUGCAUUGCAUGUAGUARCRGAUGCGAUCAUACCAGCACUAACGCACCRGAUCCCAUCAAAACUGUGCAGUUAAGCGUGUUUGGGCGAGAGUAGUACUAGGAUGGGUGACCUCCCGGAAAGUCCUCGUGUUGGAUCCCUCUUUUCUUUUUUCGGUUUUUGUCCUCUUUUUUUUGUUAAGAAUGUAUGACUCUAUUACUUUUAGACAGUGAGGCCAAACUUCGGAUGUGAUACCUUUUCGGAAAGCCCAAAAAGAGCUCUCUGAUGAAUAAGGAAGGAAAAUGGAAUUCUUCUAUUGGUUUUUUUUUCUACUCCAAAUUUUGACGUUAAUGUACUUUUUUGGGCCUUUUCGUGAUCUUUGCUAUAUACGGAGCGAAAAUUAUAUGUUCGGACAGUGUUUUCGAAUAUUUUGCAUGUAUCAAAGCUCUUAUAAACAAGAUAGGGUAUUCCUACAUAGCUGGUGGGACCCAUGGCAAAUGGAUCGUAAAGUCUUCAAAAAAGAAUAGAUACGAUUGCAUUGCAUGUAGUAGCGGAUGCGAUCAUACCAGCACUAAUGCACCGGAUCCCAUUAAAACUCCGCAGUUAAGCGUGCUUGGGCGAUAAUAGUACUAGGAUGGGUGACCUCCCGGAAAGUCCUCGUGUUGAAUCCCUCUUUUCUUUUUCGGUUUUUCUCUUCUUUUUUUUGUUAAAAAUGUAUGACUCCAUAACUUUUAGAUAGUGAGGCAAAACUUCGCAUGUGAUACCAUUUCGGAAAUCCUAAAGAGAGCUCUCCGAUGAAUGAGGAAGGAAAAUGUAAUUCUUCUAUUGGGUUUUUAUUCUACUCCUAAUUUUGACCUUAAUGUACUUUUUCGGGCCUUUUCGUGAUAUUUGCUAUAUUACAGGGCGAAAAUUAUAUGAUCGGACAUUGUUUUCGAAUAUUUUGCAUGUAUCAAAGCUCUUAUAAACAAGAUAUGGUAUUCCUACAUGGCUGGUAUGACCCACAGCAAAUGGAUCUUAAUUCUAGACUUUUUGUAAUCCCGAUUUCUCUUUAUCUAUUCAGUAUUCAGUAUUCAGCUUUUGUUCUUGAUUUCGUUUACUGUUGUUCAUUCUGUUAUCAUCAUGUUGUUACACUGUUGUUAUCAUGUCUUCCACCUGUUCAACGUUUAUGCUUUCUGUUAUGAUGUCUGAGUAGUGAAUAGGUUUUUGAGGAUGGCUUAGAGUAGUGUAGGAUUCUCAGUAUGCUAGGUGAUUGAGUAUUGAUUGAUAGAUCCCUUCUGGAUUAGUUGUUCUUAAUGCCUAUUGCUUUCUGAUCAACUGGAAUUUGAGCCCAGACAUUUCCGUGCCCAAAAGGUGUUCGAUGAAAUGUUUGAACCACUAAUUCCAGAGAUUCGUGACCCUGUACCAAGGUAUUGGUUGCAAGGAGCGUUUUGGCUUUAACUUGUUGAUUCGUAAUGCCUGUUAGGUUAGCUCUCGUCAAUGGUGAUUGAGUCUGGGACUAGGUUAACUUGAGGGUCUCAGUUGCGGUGGCACUUAGAUUUGGUUAAUGAACUUGUUAUCUAAGGUUAAUUUACUGAGCAUGUCAAUCACCUGUAAACUGAGAAAACGAAACUACUCAAUUACCCCAUCCUCAGGAAUUCUUUAUCUGAUUGAAUUCUUUGUUUACUCUACUGUUGUUUACUGCAUCUUGUUAUCUGUUGCUUAAUUUCUUCAGUUCUUUCUUGUUACUCGACCUCAUACUCGACCACCUAGUUGUUUGGCAACAGACUGUACAGUCGAGUAUCUGUGUUUCAUUUUCUGUCUGUUACUCGACCUGUCACUUGACCUCACCCAGUGUUCUGCAAAGAGCUGUGUUGGUCGAGUGUUUUACUGUUUCUGUUUGAUUUUCUGUUUUCUGCAUGUUCACUUAGAACUGCUAGAACACACCAAAACCUGUUAUUGCUUGGCUUGACUUAGUGACUUCUGAUCACAUCUUGAUUGUUAGCAUCACACCCAUUUGGAUUGACAACCUAAAAUACUACAACGAUAUGAUUGGUGUUUUAGGAUAAUUGACUAAAAAACCUAUUAUCAAUUUGGCGCCGUUGCCAAUUGGGUGUUUGUUUGUUACAUUUGAGAUUUCAGACUUGCUUAGAUCAAGUUCUUUUUCAAUUUUCUUUUCGGUUACUAACUGUGUGUUUUUCUUGUUGUCUUCUUGAUCCAGGUACACCUCUGCUGUAUGCGAAUUCGAUCAACAGGCAAUCAGAACCUCCUUUUCGACGACAACAUCAACCGCAUAGCUCGCGAACUCAGAAAAAGGAGAACCACAGUCACCCCUGUAUCUCAGCAACCACUCGAAAUGGCUGAAGAACAGAAUCAACAAAAUGGCCCUGCCAACAUUGGUGCUGGAGAUGCACCACGUGAUCACCGCCAGAGGAAAGGAAUUGCACCUCCUGCGAUCCAGAACAACAACUUCGAGAUUAAGAGUGGUCUCAUCUCGAUGAUUCAGGGGAACAAAUUCCAUGGUCUGCCAAUGGAGGAUCCACUCGACCACCUUGAUGAAUUCGAUAGGCUCUGCAACCUAACAAAGAUCAAUGGUGUCAGUGAAGACGGAUUCAAGCUCCGUUUGUUCCCAUUCUCCUUGGGCGACAAAGCACACAUCUGGGAGAAGAAUCUGCCCCAUGACUCAAUCACCACCUAGGAUGAUUGCAAGAAGGCUUUUCUAUCAAAGUUCUUCUCCAAUGCCAGAACUGCAAGACUCAGAAAUGAGAUUUCUGGUUUCUCACAGAAGACUGGUGAAAGCUUCUGUGAAGCAUGGGAGCGUUUCAAGGGGUACACCAACCAAUGCCCUCAUCAUGGCUUUACUAAAGCCUCUCUGCUCAGCACUCUUUACAGAGGAGUCCUACCACGCAUCAGAAUGCUUCUGGAUACAGCUAGCAAUGGGAAUUUCCAGAACAAGGAUGUUGAAGAAGGCUGGGAAUUGGUUGAGAACCUCGCUCAAUCAGAUGGCAAUUACAACGUGGACUGUGAUACGUCAGAGGAACAGCUGAUUCUGAUGACAAACACAGGAAGGAGAUCAAAGCGCUGAAUGACAAGCUGGACAUGAUUCUUCUUAGCCAGCAGAAGCAUGUGCACUUCCUUGUUGAUGACGAGCAAUUUCAAGUCCAAGAUGGGGAGGGUAACCAGUUGGAAGAAGUCAGCUACAUAAAACAACCAGGGUGGCUACAAAAGAUACAACAACUAUCGCUUGAAACUCUUUCCAAGAAAACUUAAAUCCAGAUGUUCUGGCCCAUUCUGUAUCACUGAGGUCCGUCCUUAUGGAGCAGUCACUCUAGCUGGUAAGAGUAGAGAUUUUACAGUAAAUGUUCAAAGGCUCAAGAAAUACUUAGCAGACCAAAUCCUUCCAGAGGUGACAUCGGUUCAUCUCCAAGAACCUCUUGAUGAUUAAAGGAGUAAAGGAGUCAAGCUAAUGACUUUAAACAAGCUCACUUGGGAGGAAGUCCCAUGAUUAUCUCUGUAAAUAAAAAAUUUCUUGUCUUGUUAUUUUUGAUUUGUUUUAAUUGUGUUUGUGGUUUUCAGAGAAAAGGGAACAACGUGGAGAUAGAGUAAAAAUUCAAAACUUUUACUCUACAGAAGACCUGGAGAUUGAGUGUAUAACCUGGUGGAGUACAAAAUUUAUAAAGUUUUCUGCUGCGUCUGGAGACACGGAAUUCGAGUACAUCAGUCGAGUAUACGUGAUGUUUAAAAUCCAAAAUUUUAAAAAAACAUCAUUGUACUCGACCAACAGGAGCUACAGAGACUUGCAAGGAUUUCUUGCAGUUUACAGUAGAUCUUCUGCAUAUUUUUUCAGUCAACAGAGUGUGGACCACGCGCUGAGGAUAAGCUGGAGAGAGAAUCUAAAACUCAACCUAGACCACUCAUUUAAAAACAUCACUCGACUUCACAAAAUCCACUCGACCUACCUCUUUUCAUUUCACCACCGACACUCUAAUCUCUCUACACCACGAAUCGCCGUCCAAAGAGAUACUCGAUCCUGACAAUAUCACUCGGCCUCCGAGAGUUACUCGACAUCCGCGCCGCCGUCACCAGAUCAUAUCUUCCGUCACUCGACCUCCGGGAACCACUCGACCUCUGCGCUUCCGUAAUCGAGUACUCCUCCUCGUUCACCGUCGAAGUCUCCGUGACCACUUGAUUACGACCAAGCUACUAGACCACAAACUAUCACUCGACCUCGAGUAUUCACUCGACCUCUGCAGCAGCAACUCGACCUCUUGUUCUUGAAAGCAACAGAGCCCUGAAGAACUGUCAGAGUGUUUACUCGACCUCUAGGCUUCACCGGCUGAACUCAACCUCCACAACUUACUCGAUCUCCUGAAGCAUACCCACUCGAAUCCGGAGACGAUACUCGAUCCAAAUCGUCUAAAGGGAACUCAAGAACAGCUCAGUCUACUCGAGUACAGAAUUGUACUCGACCAAUAGGGUUUAUUUCAUUGCCUAUUGAUAACAAUUUUGGUUUCAUUGCUAUCUUUGAGACUAACCUAUUGACUUUGAGCUUUGAGUUCUAAAUUUUUACAGGAGAAUCAUGAGCAAUUACAGUGGCAGUUCUUCUGUUGAUCCUGACUACAACAUGGAUGAGACAGAGUCAACAUCUUCAAGGCCAGAGAGAGAACAAAGAGAAUAUGAAAGCUUCAGAAGGAAAGCUGAGAUAGCCCGAGGGAAGAGAGCGAUCACUGAGAGGUAUGAGCUUAUAGACGAAGAUCAGGAAGACGAGUACAUGCCUGAACAGACUCGUAGAGCUACCAAACUUCUGCACAAGCCCGACGUAUUGCCUGCUGAGGAAUAUGUUAGGCUUUUCAAGCUGAACGAGUUCUGUAGCACGAGGUAUCCUUACUCGACCUCACUUGCACAACUCGGAUUGUUGGAAGAUGUUCAACACCUGUACCAGAGUUGUCAUCUGGACACUCUGAUGGCUUAUCCGUAUGUAGCGUAUGAAGAUGAGACAAUACAAUUUCUUUCCACGCUGCAAGUAGAGCUCUACCAAGGUAUGACCUCUGAUGAGUUGGAUUGUGAAGGAUUGGGAUUCUUGCAAUUUUCUGUGUAUGGCCAUGAGUAUAGGUUAUCAAUCAAGCGCUUGGAAGGAUUGUUUGGCUUCCCCAGUGGAACGGGAUCUAAGCCCAAGUAUGACAGAGAAGAGUUGAAAGACUUGUGGAUCACCAUUUGCAGCUCUGUACCGCUGAAUGCUUCUAGGUCAAAGAGCAAUCAGAUACGCAGCCCUGUCAUCAGGUACUUCCAGCGUUCUAUAGCCAAUGUACUCUACUCCCGAGAGAUCACAGGGACUGUUACUAACUCUGAUAUGGAGAUGAUCGCAAUGGCCCUCAAGGGAACUCUUCGCCAAACGAAGAAUGGUAUGUCUCUCCAAGGUGAAAUCAAUGACACACCUCUCUCUGUACUUCUUCUGAUCCAUCUGUGUGGAUACAAGAGUUGGGCUGUCAGCAAUAACCGCAAGAGAGCACGAGGCGCUCUGUGCAUAGGUGGUGUUGUGACACCGAUUCUGAUAGCUUGUGGAGUCCCAAUCAUAUCUGCCGGACUCGAGCCGCGAGCAAUGGAUAUCGAGCACCUACGUCACUGCGAAUUCCUAGAGUUUGCAAUGGUUGACGACUUCCACAGGUUCAGGUUUGAGCACUCUACAGACAGGAGAGCUAACAUCCUUCUCCCUAGCCCUGAGGUUACACGGAUAAUAGAGGGAGAUAAUAUUGAUUUUUGGCCUGAGGUUGGACGCCUCUACUAUGAGAACGCUCCGCCAUUCAAUGAGGAGGAUCUUCUAGAAGAAGCUGUUUCGGAUGGGAUGGAUGACGAUUGCGCAGUGGAGUUCGACACUAGCAUGUAUCACUUUGGUGAAGAUGUACCUCCAGCGAGGCAGAGCAAGAGCUUGACCGAAGCUCAUAAGAACAAAAGUAAAUUGCAGAAGUGGUGCAAGAAGCAGGACAAGUUGCUCGCCAAGUGUUUCAAGGCUAUCAAGCUUCUGACAGAUAAGCUGAGUUGUUCCUCCUCCACCACAGCUAUUCCACAGGUAUUGCCUCCUCUGGAGAUGCCAUCGAGGAGAUUUGAUAAGCCUGCGCACAAGCCUGAGCUUAGCGAGCAGAGAGUCUCUCAUGCCCCGGUUAGGCAUUUGUCAUUCGAGUCCCGGGAGCACAAGAGAAGAAGGAAGGCUACACUCACUUGAUCUAGGAGCAGAUCACACCUCAUUCACUCGAGGAGAUCACUUGACCGCGGUGCCGGCCGUAGCAGAAGGAGAGAGGUCGAGUAUCCUCAGAGCGGUGCUGGCCGCCACAGAGCUAAUGAGGUCGAGUACCCACCUGCUGGAGCUGAUACAGAACAAGGUGGUUCGUCUAUGGCCUGGGAGCAAUCACAGGCAGCCAUUGACGAGCAACUACGUUCAUUCUUCGAUUGAGGUACGCGCCUCACUUCACCAUUGUAUUAUAUCAUCUGUUGUGAUUUGUUUCUUCAUUUCGUUUCUGUGAUUGGAUUUGUCCUGAGUACUCUCUUCCAAGUUUAUUCGCAUAGUGGACUGUGUGAUUUAAGUUUGGGGGAGGGCUCAGGAAGUGUGUGUUAUAUUUUUGAGUCUGCAUUCAUCUAAGGGAUAGAAAAACCAAAAAAAAUUGAAAAAUUUUAGAAAAUGAUUUGACAAAAAAAGAGUGUUCAUGUAGUUGCAUUACAUUUAGGAUCGAGUCUAGAGUGUUUCAUUUAGGAUUGUUGCAUAUGCAUAGGGGAUGAUGAUGAGAUAGCCUUGUAAGCAUUUUGAUUCACAGGAUAAACUCAGUGCCCUCGUUGCUAGUUGUCUGUUGCGUAGUCAAUGAAUUUGAAAUAAAACUGAACCAUGCCUAGAUUGCUCUAUUCGACCACACUAUCAUGAUCUGAUACCAUUCCCUAUCAAUUUGAACCUGAAUCUGAUCUUUAAUUAUCAUGUCUGCAUCAAAUUUGAACUCAUGGAUACCCUAAAAUACUUGGAUUUUCUUAUUCAUUUUGAUCACUCUUGUUAAUCCAAGUAGCUGACUCUCCUUAUUAGAGCAGUUAACCCAAACCCAAACCUAGACUUUCUUUCAAGCCCUAUAUCACUUGUGAGUGUUUGUGAGGUCUUAUUCCGAUUAAGCUUGGUAGAAAGUGUUAGGUUCGUAACGACAGAGAUAGUGUCUCAUGUAGUUCUAGUUCGCAUUUUUUGGACUAGAUAGGACUAGGUGGGCGCUUAUACUUUGGGUUGGGAUGUGUUUAAAAGAAAAAAAAAAGGUUGAUUUAUUGAUAAGAAAAGGUAAAAGACUCUAGGUGAAGUAAGCUAAAGAAGCAGAAAAAGUCUACUAAAGGUUUUGGGAUUUGUAAAGAAAAGAAAGAGUUCUUGUUAGCUAUUGAAGAUGGGCAAAAGCCCUUGGUUUUAAAAUGUUAAAAACAGGAACCUUAGUUGUUAAAGAAAUCCAAAUCCGCUAGAUGUAUCAAAGUGUUGAGAAAGCUUCUCCUAGAGUUAAGAGAAAAGAAAAGAAUGAUUAGAAAAAGGGCUUAAAAGAUUCAUGAAUGCAAAGGGUAGAGUUUAGUUCUUGUAUUGGGAUUGGAGAUGGGAUUACCAUUAGAGCUUCAUUUGAUGUACUCUGGGUAGAUGGGAUCUUAUCUCUGUAUGCAUAGCUUGGGACUUACCUUUAGCAUUCUACUAAAGCUUAAUCAUUUUUUGAGAGAUCCCCUGUUAUUGAAGCCUAUUCUGUAAGGGACCAUCUUUGUCUCUUGACCUUUUACCUUAGCCAAAUGAGUUCUUUGAUGAUGCAUUGCUUGAUUCACGUUCCAGAACUAAUGAAUGUUAAAGGGAUUGGUAGAUUUGAAAACUUGUGUAGGUCGAGCAUAUGAGUCGGAUUGAUUGAUUGAUGAGGCAUAACUAACUUUUUUAAGUAGAAUUCGAUCUUGCAGCUUAGAACUUUCAACUUGGACAUUGAUUUCAUCUGGUCUAUCUGGUGCUUUGGCUCUGAGUCCCCGCUUUCAAACCUCACCUCCAGCUUGUUCUUGAUUGUUUGCUUGAGGCAAGCAAAGACUAAGUUUGGGGGAGUUGAUAAGUUUGUAUUUUGCAUGUUUUGAGCAUCCAUUUGUCAUCAUUUUAGCAUCAUAUCAUCACUGUUUUAUACCAUUUCACAUCAUUUGUCAUCACUUUGCAUGUUUAGGAUAGUUUUGCAUGCAUGUUGCAUAUUUGUGUUGUUUUCAGGUGAUUUGGAGCUGUCGACGAUCUAACUGGAAGAAGCGGACCUGAUCAUGACAAACCACUCGACCAAGAGGUCGAGUAGGAGCUUCAAGAUCUCAAGAGACCACUCGACCCCCAGGUCGAGUAGAAGACACCACCACUCUAUCACAUCACUCGACCCCCAGGUCGAGUGUCUUCAUCUCCAUCUCUUGACCACCACUCGAUCACAUCACUCGACCCCCAGAUGUAGUGACUUCAUCCCAUUGCUAGACCUCUACUCGACCUCAUCACUCUACAUGGAAGUCGAGUAUCACCAUCACACCACUCGAUUGCAUACUCGAUGACAAGCUUCAGAGCCUUCUUCAUUCCGCACUCAACCAGACACUCGAGCACAAGAAAGAAAAGAAGACUCCAGCUAUUCACUCGACCUCCCACUCGACCACAUGGGUCGAGUACAGUUCUUAAUCCGUCCCAAUACUUUGUCGUUUUGAGUAUUAGGGUUUCGGAAUAUUUGGCUAUAAGUAGCAUGUACUUCUCAUUUUCGCAGACAAGAAAUUUUUAUCUAGUUUUAUUCUGCAGACCUUGUGUUCUAGACUUUUUGUAAUCCGGAUUUCUCUUUAUCUAUUCAGUGUUCAGUAUUCAGCUUUUGUUCUUGAUUUCGUUUACUGUUGUUCAUUCUGUUAUCAUCCUACUGUUACACUGUUGUUGUCAUGUCUUCAACCUGUUCAACGUUUCUGCUUUCUAUUAUGAUGUCUGAGUAGUGAAUAGGUUUCUGAGGAUGGGUUAGAGUAGUGUAGAAUUCUCAGUAUGCUAGGUGAUUGAGUAUUGGUUGAUAGAUCCCUUCUGGAUUAGUUGUUCUUAAUGCCUAUUGCUUUCUGAUCAACUAGAAUUUGAGCCCAGACAUUUCCGCGCCCAAAAGGUGUUCGAUGAAAUGUCUGAACCACUAAUUCAAGAGAUUCGUGACCCAGUACCAAGGUAUUGGUUGCAGGGAGCGUUUUGGCUUUAACUUGUUGAUUCGUAAUGCCUGUUAGGUUAGCUCUCGUCAAUGGUGAUUGAAUCUGGAACUAGGUUAACUUGAGGGUCUCUGUUGCGGUGGCACUUAGAUUUGGUUAAUGAACUUGUUGUCUAGGGUUAAUUUACUGAGCAUGUCAAUCACCUGUAAACUGAGAAAACGAAACUACUCAAUUUCCCCAUCCUCGGGAAUUCUUUAUCUGAUUGAAUUCUUUGUUUACUAUAUUGUUGUUUACUGCAUCUUGUUAUCUGUUGCUUAAUUUCUGCAGUUCUUUCUUGUUACUCGACCUCAUACUCGACCACCUAGUUGUAUGGCAACAGACUGUGCAGUCGAGUAUCUGUGUUUCAUUUUUUGUCUGUUACUCGACCUCACCCAGUGCUCUGCAAAGAGCUGUGUUGGUCGAGUGUUUUUUACUGUUUCUGUUUCAUUUUCUGUUUUCUGCAUAUUCACUUAGGACUGCUAGAACACACCAAAACCUGUUAUUGCUUGGCUUGACUUAGUGACUUCUGAUCACAUCUUGAUUGUUAGCAUCACACCCAUUUGGAUUGACAACCUUCAGUACUACAACGAUAUGAUUGGUGUUUUAGGAUAAUUGACUAAAAAAACUAUUAUCAAUGCCCUUUGUGCUGACUAAUGCACCAGCCACCUUCCAAUCAGUGAUGAAUGAGCUGUUUAGACCAUAUAUGCGCCGGUUUGUUUUAGUGUUCUUUGACGACAUUCUGGUAUACAAUCUUGAUGUAGAGACACAUCUCAAACACUUAGAGGUUUUUCUUCAGAUUCGGUUACAGAACAGGUUCUACGCCAAUGAGAAGAAAUGCCACUUUGGUUGCACAAGGAUAUCAUAUUUGGGCCAUAUGAUCACUAGCGAAGGAGAUUCUACAGAUCCCACAAAGAUAGAAGCUAUGGUAAAGUGGCCACAGCCCAAGAAUAUAACAGAGCUGCGCGGGUUUUUAGGCCUUACUGGUUACUACAGAAGGUUUGUGGCAGGUUAUGGGAAGAUAGCAAAGCCACUGACAGAAUUACUCAAGAAAGGGAAAUUUGAAUGGUCUGUUGAAGGUACAAGUACUUUUGAGGCUUUAAAAGAGGCGGUUAUCUGUCUUCCAACGUUAGCAUUACCAGAUUUUGAGAAGCCAUUUGUGAUAGAGACUGAUGCUUUAGGCACGGGUAUAGGAGCAGUUCUAUCUCAGGAUAAGCGUCCCAUUGCGUUCAUUAGCCAAGGAUUCUCCAGUAAAGGCAGAGUUAAAUCAAUAUAUGAGAGGAAACUUUUGGCGAUUGUUUUUGUAGUGGAUAAGUGGAAGCACUACCUCACGGGAGAAAAGUCAUUAUCAGGACUGAUUAGAGAAGCCUGAAACACUUACUCAACCAGAAGGCAGUGUCAGCCAUACAACAAAGGUGGGCUUCGAAAUUAGUUAGCCUGGACUAUGAGAUUGAGUAUAAGCAUGACUCAGAAAAUAGAGUAGCAGACGCGCUAUCUAGACGUCCAGUAACCGAGCAAAUAAUGAACAUGCUGUUUCUAGCUUCGGCGACAGUGAACAAGGAAGAACUGUAGGCACAGGUACAAAAUGAUCCCAGCCUCAAACUCAUACAGGAACAACUGCUUAGAGGAGAGGAAGGGGAGAAAGGAUACAGUCUGGUAGCUAACACCUUAUAUAAGGAUGGCAGAAUUGUUAUGCCAGAAAGCUCUCCUUUUAUCCCAAAAUUGCUGGAACAGUUUCAUACUAGUCCCAUUGGAGGACAUGAAGGAGCGUUUAAGACAUUUAAAAGGUUAUCUAGUGAAGUUUACUGGAAAGGCAUGCGCAAGGACGUGGUGGAGUUCCUCAAGGGUUGUCAAGUUUGUCAACAAAACAAGUAUUCUACAUUGUCUCCAGCCGGCCUCUUGCAACCAUUACCCAUUCCGACUAAGGUAUGGUCCAAUAUCAGCCUUGAUUUCAUUGAAGGGCUUCCAGUUUCAAGUGGAUAUGAUGCGGUACUCGUCGUGGUAGAUCGGCUCAGCAAGUAUGGUCAUUUUAUUCCCCUUAAGCAUCCUUACACAGCUAAAUCAGUAGUAGAAGUGUUUAUUAAAGAGAUUGUUAGACUUCAUGGAUUUCUAGAGAGUAUGGUUUCAGAUCGGGACAAGAUUUUUGUCAGUCACUUUUGGUCUGCUCUUUUCAAGUCCCAAGGAACACAUCUGGCUAAGAGCACAGCAUACCACCCACAGUCGGAUGGCCAAACCGAGGUCCUAAACAGAUGCUUAGAGACUUACCUUCGCUGUUUUGUUAAUGGAAAGCCAAAAUCUUGGGCUCAAUUGUUUUCCUGGGCAGAAUACUGGUCUAACACUUCGUUUCAUUCUGCCAUCAAGAUGACUCCAUUUCAGGCCUUGUACGGAAGAGAACCACCGAAACUGUUACGAUUUGGUGACAUCCCAAAAGCUAACGCGGUGGUAGAGGAGAUGCUACAAGAAAGGGACAGAGUGGUCACGAUGCUGAGAGAAAAUCUGCAGGCAGCUCAAGCCCGAAUGCAAAAAUCAGCUAACAAGCAUAGAAGGGAGCUGGAAUUCAUAGUUGGCGAUUGGGUUUAUCUAAAGUUAAGACCUUACAGGCAGGUAACCGUGGCACAGCGUCGCAAUGAGAAGCUAUCUCCCAGAUUUUUUGGUCCUUAUCAGAUUCUUCAAAAAAUAGGUGCAGUAGCCUACAAACUUCAGUUACCAAGCAGCAUCUCCAUACACCCGGUCUUCCAUAUAUCACAGCUGAAGCAUGCGCAACCAAGUUCAGCCCAAGCUCAACCUCUCCCAGCGAUUAUGACUUCUAACUUGGAGUGGGAACCUGAACCUGAAGAUGUACUAGAGAUAAGGGAAAGCAGCACGGGCGCAGAUACUGAGUUAUUGAUUAAAUGGAGAGGUCUGCCAGAGUGUGAGAAUACAUGGGAGCCAAUGAAAGUCAUCAGGCAGCAGUUCCCAGCAUUUCACCUUGAGGACAAGGUGGCUUCGUUACGGGGGAGUAAUGAUAAGGUGGAGACUAUGGAAGGAGAAGCAAGGAAAGGAGAUAGAGCAACAAGGAAGAGGAUUCAAAGAAGAUCUUUGACCCAAGUGGCUAAAGAGAGUUUAAGAAAGUGCAAGGAAACACUCUGUCGCAUCCAGAGGCUUUGAAGUGUCAAAGAAAUAAGUAUGCUAUAGUUCAUAUUAACUGUAUGUUGUUUAAGUAAGAGUCUGAGAGAGUGUGUGUAGUUUUCCAUAGGGAAACUACUAUAAAUGUUGAACUCUACUUUAGGGUUAAGGUAUCAAAGUAUUAAUCAAACUUCCUAUUAUUACUCUCCUCUAUCCUUUAUCCACUCUAUCUUCUUCUUCUUCUUCAUCCGAUUCUAUCUCUUUCUGUUCUUAAUCUUCUUGAUAGGUUCACCACUUAUCACUCGACUUCCUUGUAGAGUGGUGUGAUCGAGUGAUGGUCAAGUGUGGAGGUGAUGAUACUCGACCAGGUGGUAGAGUGAUCGAGUGAAGGUGAUGAAGGUAGUCGACCAUGUGGUAGAGUAGUGUGAUCGAGUGAUGGUCAGGUGGUGGAGGUUAUGAGACUCGACCAGGGGGUCGAGUGGUGAGGUGAAGUGGUGAAGUCCUCUACUCGACCAGGGGGUCGAGUGGUCUGUUGAGGUCGUGAAGCAUCUACUCGACCUGGGGGUCGAGUGGUUUGACAUGAUCAGGAACGCUUCUUCCAAUUAGCUCGUCAACAGCUCCAAAUCACCUGAAAACAACACAAAUAUGCAACAUGCAUGCAAAACUAUCCUAAACAUGCAAAGUGAUGACAAAUGAUAUAAAACAAUGAUGAUAUGAUGAUAAAGUGAUGACAAAUGGAUGCUCAAAACAGGCAAAAUGCACACUUAUCAACUCCCCCAAACUUAGUCUUUGCUUGCCCUCAAGCAAACAAUUAAGAACAAGUAGGAGGUGAGAGUUGAAGGCGGGGACUUUGAGCCAAAGCACCAGAUAAAUCAGAUGAAAUCAAUGUCCAAGUUGAUAGUUCUAAGCUGCGAUAUGAUUGAAUUCUACUCAAAAACGUUAGCUAUGCCUUGUUAUCAAUCAAUCCGACUCUUAUGCUCAGCCUACACAUGUUUUCAAAUCUACCAAUCCCUUUAACAUUCAUUAGUUAUGGAACGUGAAUCAAGCAAUGCAUCUAUCAAUGAACUCAUUUGGCUAAGGUAAAGGUCAAGUGACAAAGAUGGCCCCUUACAGAAUAGGCUUCAGCAAAAGGGGAUCUCUCAAAAAAUGAUUAAGCUUUAGUAGAAUGCUAAAGGUAAGUCCCAAGCUAUGCAUACAGAGAUAAGAUCCCAUCUACCAAGAGUAUAACCAAUGAAGCUCUAAUGGUAAUCCCAUCUCCAAUCCCAAUAUAAGAACUUAACUCUACCCUUUGCAUUCAUGAAUCUUUUAACCCCUUUUUCUAAUCAUUCUUUUCUUUUCUCUUAACUCUAGGAGAAGCUUUCUCAACACUCUGAUACAUCUAGCGGAUUUGUAUUUCUUUAACAACUAAGGAUCCUCUUUUCAAUUUUUAAAACCGAGGACUUUUGCCCUUCUUCAUUAGCUGACAAGAACCCUUUUCUUUUCUUUACAAAUCCCAAAACCUUUACUAGACUUUUUCUACUUCUUUAGCUUACUUCACCUAGAGCCUUUUACCUUUUCUCAUCAAUGAAUCAACUCUUUUGUUUUUUCUUUUUCUUUUAGACACAUCCCAACCCAAAGUAUAAGCACCCACCUAGUCCUAUCUAGUCCGAAAAAUGCGAACUAGAACUACAUGAGACAUUAUCUCUGUCGUUACAAACCUAACACUUUCUACCAAGCUUAAUCGAAAUAAGACCUCAGAAACACUCACAAGUGAUAUAAGGCUUGAAAGAAAGUCUAGAUUUUGGUUCGGGUUAACUGCUCUAAUAAGGAGAGUCAACUACUUGGAUUAACAAGAGUGAUCAAAAUGAAUAAGAAAAUCCAAGUAUUUUAGGGUAUCCAUGAGUUCAAAUUUGAUGCAGACAUGAUAAUUAAAGAUCAGAUUCAGGUUCAAAUUGAUAGGGAAUGGUAUCAGAUCAUGACAGUGUGGUCGAGUAGAGGAAUCUAGGCAUGGUUCGGUUUUACUUCAAUUUCAUUGACUACGCAAAAGACAACUAGCAACGAGGGCACUGAGUUUAUCCAGUGAACCAAAAUGCUUACAAGGCUAUCUCAUCAUUAUUCCCUAUGCAUAUGCAACAAUCCUAAAUGAAACACUCUAUACUCGAUCCUAAAUGUAAUGCAACUACAUGAACACUCUUUUUUUUUGUGAAAUCAUUUUCUGAAAUUUUUCAAUUUUUUUUUGGUUUUUUUAUGCCUUAGAUGAAUGCAGACUCAAGAGUAUAAACAAUGCAACACACACUUCAUGAGCACUCCCCCAAACUAAUCUUGGAAGAGAGUAACUCAGGACAAAUCCAAUCACAGAAACAAAAUAAAGAACAAAUCACAAAAGAUGAUAUAAUACAAUGGUGAAGUGAGGCGCUUACCUCAAUCAAAGAAUGAACGAAGUUGGUCGUCAAUGGCUGCCUGUGAUUGCUCCCAAGCCAUAGACGAGCCACCCUGUUCUGUAUCAGCUCCAGCAGGUGGGUACUCGACCUCAUCAGCUCUGUGGAUACUCGACCUCUCUUCCUCUGCUGCGGCCAGCACCGUGGUCGAGUGAUCUCCUCGAGUGAAUUAGGCAUGAUCUACUGCUAGAGCGAACGAGUGUAGCCUUCCUUCUUCACUUGUGCUCCCGGGACUCGAAUGACGAAUGCCUAGCAGGGACAUGUGAGACUCUCUGCUCACUAAGCUCAGGUCUGUGCUCAGGCUCAUCAAAUCUCCUCAAUGGCAUAUCUAGAGGAGGCUGUCCCUGUGGAAUAGCUGUAGUAGAAGAGGAACAGCUCAGUUAAUCUAUCAGAAACUUGAUAGUCUUAAAGCACUUGGCGAGCCGCUUGUCCUGCUUCUUGCAACACUUCUGCAGCUUAUUGUUGUUCCUAUGAGCUUCACUCAAGCUCUUGCUCUCCCUCGCCAGAGGUACAUGUUCAUCAAAAUGAUACAUGCUAGUGUCGAACUCCACUGCUCUGUCUUCAUCCAUCCCAUCCUAAGCAGCUUCUUCUAUAAGAUCAUCCUCAUCCAAUGGCGGAGCGUUCUCAUAGUAGAGGUUUCCAAGCUCAGGCCGAAAAUCAAUGUUAUCUCCCUCUAUUAUCCGUGUAACCUUAGGGCUGGGGAGAAGGAUGCUAGCUCUCUUAUCCGUAGAGUGCUUAAACCUAAAACAGUGCAUGUCGCCAACCAUUCCGAACUUCAGGACGUAGGAUGCUAACUCCAGGACUUCGCAGUGACGUAGAUGCUUGAUAUCAAUUGCCCGUGGCUCGAGUCCAUCAGAUGUGAUUGGGACUCCACAAGCAAUCAGAAUCGGUGUCACAACACCGACUAUGCAAAGAGCGCCUCGUGCUCUCUUGUGAUUAUUGCUGACAGCCCAGCUCUUGUAUCCACACAGGUGGAUUAGAAGAAGUACAGAGAAAGGUGUGUCAUUGAUUUCACAGAUAUGUUGUUCUUAGUUUGGUAGAGAGUGCCUUUGAGAGCAUAUAGCGAUCAUCUCCAUAUCAGAAUUGGUAACAGUCCCUGUGAUCUCUCUGGAGUAGAGGACAUUGGCUAUAGAACGCUGGAAGUACCUGAUGACAGGGCUGCGUAUCUGAUUGCUCUUUAACCUGGAAGAAUUUAGCGGUACAGAGCUGCCAAUGGUGAUCCAUAAGUCUUUCAACUCUUCUCUGUCAUACUUGGGCUUAGUACCCGUUCCACUGGGGAAACCAAAAAGUCCUUCCAAGCGUUUGAUUGAUAACCUAUACUCAUGACCAUACACAGAGAAUCUCAAGAAUCCCAAUCCUUCGCAAUCCAACUCAUCAGAGGUCAUACCUUGGUAAAGCUCCACUUGCCGUGUGGAGAGGAAUUGAAUUGUCUCUUCUUCAUAUGCUACAUACGGAUAAGCCAUCAGAGUGUCCACAUGACUACUCUGGUACAGGUGUUGAACAUCUUCCAACAAUCCAAGUUAUGCAAGUGUGGUCGAGCAUGGAUACCUUGUGCUACAGAACUCAUUUAGUUUGAAGAGUCUGAUAUACUCCUCAGCAGGUAAUACAUCUGGUUUGUGAAGAAGCUUUGUGGCUCUACUAGUAUGCUCAAGCAUGUACUCGUCUUCUAGAUCCUCAUCUAUAAGCUCGUACCUCUCUGUCAUUGCUCUCUUCCCUCGAGCUAUCUCAGCUUUUCUUCUGAAGCUAUCAAAUUCUAUCUUUUCUCUCUCUGGCCUUGAAGAUGACGACUAUGUCUCAUCCAUGUUGUAGUCAGGAUCAACUGAAGAAUUGCCACUGUAAUUACUCAUGAUUCUCUUGUAGAAGAUUUAGAACUCAAAACUCCAAUAUCAAUAGGAUAGUCUCAAAGAGAACAAUCAAACCAAAAUUGUUAACAACAGACAAUAUAGACCCAAACGGUCAAGUACAAUCAAAUACUCAAGUAAGCUUAACUUUUUCCAAGUUUCUCUUUCACGGGUUGAAUCGAGUGGCUCAGAUAUAAGAGGUCGAGUAAUGUUGAGGAAGUAGUGUGCAGAUGGUGAAUCAGGUUGGUCGAGUAUACCAUAGGUGAGCCAAAAUUGGCAGGGACGAAACCUCAAAUCGACGAUCGAGUACAGUGGAUGUAAUCGAGUAGCUCUUGAGACGACGACGGUAAACGAGGUGGAGACUCGACUUAGACGGGAAGUGACGGUUAACGGCGAAGUGAAGUGGUUGAGUGAUUCAAGGUGAAACGUAAUCGGUGGUCGAGUGGGACUUUGAACUCGACUGCGGCGGCUGUAAUUCUUUCCAGCUGCGGUCGAGUGGUUUCGGCGAGGUCGAGCGUGGCUUGGUUUCAGAGGUCAAGUUGAUUCUUGCGAUCGAGUGGUGGAAAACUGAAUAGAGGUUGGUCGAGUGAAAUUUCAAAAGCAGUGGUGGAGAUUGAGUUUGAGAUUCUCUCUCCAUCUUAUCCUCAGCGCGUGGUCCACACUCUGUUGAUUGGGAAAACUGCAGGAAAUCUACAGUAAACUUGAUUAACUCCCUGUAAGGCUCUGUAGCUUCUGUUGGUCGAGUAAUAUGAUGAUUUAAAAUUUUUUGGUUUUAAACAUCACUCAUACUCGACCAAUGUACUCGAGUGCAAGGUCUCCAUGUGCAACAGAAAAUUUACAAAAUUUUGCACUCCAACGGGCUAUACACUCGAUCUCCAGGUCUUUUGUAAAGUAAAAGUUUUGAAUUUUUACUCUAUCUCCACCUUGUUCCUUUGUUCCUGAGAACCACAAACACAACUAAGACAAAUCAAAAAUAACAACAAAAGAAAAAUUUAUUUACAGAGAUAGUCAUGGGACCUUCCUCCCAAGUGAGCUUGUUUAAAGUCUCUAGCUUGACUGCUCACACUUAUCAAGAAGAAAAUGAAUGAUAGAGAGGGUCUGCAUAGUCCUCUCGGAUAUCAUCAUCAUACUCAGCGUCCUCCCUGGAGAGGUCUGCAGCAGAACACUCAAUUCCCCUUUCUUCAAAACAGGCUUCUUUCUCUUCUAGAGGGUAAUCUAUCUCUUCAGACCAUCUUGAAGUGAACCUUUUUCUCGGGAUAAUGUCAAUUCCGCCUUUAGGUUGAGCUUUCUUCUGCAUCUGAUUCAGCUUACUCUUAAGCUCCUCAAUAGUGUGGGCUAGCUUCCCUAUAGUUUCAUCUUGCUUAUCAGACCUCUUUUUAAGCUCCCUUACUUUUUCAGUCUCAUACGCUUCUCUUGGGAUCACUCUAUCGUCUCCAGAGGGUUUUUCAUAUUCUUUUGACUCUUCUGGAGUUUUGUUGAUGUCAAAUUGCAACUUGAUGUGCUUUCCAAGGUUGAGACUUAUUUUUUCUUCCCUGACAUCUAUCACUGCUCCCACUGAGGCUAAGAAGGGUCUUCCCAGGAUUAAGGGAUCCUUAUGCUCUUCUUCCAUAUCCAGCACCACGAAGUUUGUAGGCACUUCCACUCCAUUAAUCAUGACUGGUAGAUCUUUCAACAUGUCGGAGGGUUUUCUUGAAGACCUAUCUGCAAGGAUCAAAGUCAGGUCACAAGGCCUGUACUAAAUAAAUUCCAACCUUCUUGCCACAGAGAGUGACAUUAAGGUGACAGAGGCUCCGAGAUCGCACAGGCAAUCGCUGAAAGCUAAUUCCCCAAUUGAACAUGGUAGAGUAGAAUAUCCAGGAUCUUCUAACUUUUCUUGAACAAUCCUCUUAUCAGCAACUCGAGAUGGAGUAGCGUCACUAUCAUCAUCUGAAUCGUGAUACAUCUUAAUCCUUUCCAGUAUCAGAUUUCUCACAUCUUUGUGAGGAUCAGGAAUCAGGUUGAGAACUUCCAUCAGUGGCAUCACUGUUUCAUUCUCGUCUAGCUGUUUCGCUGCAACAGACUUGUAUCUCUCCAUCCAUGCUUUCCUGAAUUUCAUGGAAGAGCAUGUGAGGGUAAUGGAGUAGGUUUGAAUCGUUUUACCAUUCUCUCGAUUAUGGCUGCUUUCUCUUCCGAGGUGGAUUAAAUGAGAUGGUGAGAACCAGCAGAAUGGUUGAAUUCUACAACAGAGACCUCAAUCUUGGUUGAAGGCUCCCCUUCUUGAACAUCACUGUCCCCAGUGAUUAAGUCAGGGACAGGUCGAGUUGGCUGCUCUCGAUCCUGGCAGAUAGUGAUGGCGUGAGCAGUUGCAUACUCCUUUGGAUUUUGUAUUGACUUCCCAGGAAGUCCUGUAACUUUAGGACCAGAGGUAGAUGUUGAUUGUCCUUCCAAGUAUCUGACUUUGGUAUUCAAUGUCUCCACUUUGGCAUUCAGGUCAUUGUAGCUAUAGUCCAGCUUAUGGUGCAAUUCAAAUAACUUCUUAGCAAUUUUCAUGGAGCUAGAUGCUUGUCCCUGUAGCAGCUGUUGUACCAUCUGUUUCAUUUCGGGAUCAGGAGCUGCAAGACCUUGGUUUUGCUGAGGUGCAAACCCAGGUGGUGGUUGCGGCUGGUAGUUCCCCUGAAAUUGUUGGGAACAAAUCCUUGAUUGUAAGGAACAAAAGGUUUGUUCUGACCUUGUUGUUGAUGUGGAGGAUACACCUGAUCCUGAGGAUUCGCAACGUUGGUGCUCCGGUAGGAGAGGUUGGGGUUGUUGGUUUUGAAGUUGUUAUACCCUUUGUAGCCACCCUGGUUGUUGUUGAUGUAGCUGACCUCUUCCAACUGGUUACCCUCCCCAUCUUGGACUUGAUACUGCUCGUCAUCAACAAGGAAGUGCACAUGCUUCUACUGGCUAAGAAGAAUCCUUUCCAGCUUGUCGUUCAGCGCUUUGAUCUCCUUCUUGUGUUUGUCAUCAGAGUCAGCUGUGCUUCUGAUGGUCCUAUCGUAGUCCUCAUUGUAAUUACCAUCUAAUUGAGCUAGGUUCUCAACCAAUUCCCAGCCUUCUUCAACAUCCUUGUUCUGGAAAUUCCCAUUGUUGGCGGUAUCCAGAAGCAUUCUGAUGCGUGGUAAAACGCCUAUCUAUGGAGUGCUUAGCAGAGAGGCUUUCGUGAAGCAAUGAUGAGGGCAUUGGUUGAUGUAACCUCUGAAACGCUCCCAUGCUUCAUAGAAGCUUUCACCCGUCUUCUGUGAAAAAUCAGAAAUCUUAUUUCUGAGUUUUGCAGUUCUGGCGUUGGAGAAGAACUUUGAUAGAAAGUCCUGUGGAGUAAACAAUAAAAUCAAUCAGAUAAAGAAUUCCCGAGGAUGGGGUAAUUGAGUAGUUUCGUUUCCUCAGUUAACAGGUGACUGACAUGCUCAAUAAAUUAUCCCUAGACAACAAGUUCAUUAACCAAAUCUAAGUGCCACCGCAACAAAGACCCUCAAGUUAACCUAGUCCCAGACUCAAUCACCAUUGACGAGAGCUAACCUAACAGGCAUUACGAAUCAACAAGUUAAAGCCAAAACGCUCCCUACAACCAAUACCUUGGUACAGAGCCACAAAUCUCUGGAAUUAGUGGUUCAGACAUUUCAUCGAACACCUUUUGGGCGCAGAAAUGUCUGGGCUCAAAUUCUAGUUGAUUAGAAAGCAAUAGGGAUUAAGAACAACUAAUCCAGAAGGGAUCUAUCAAUCAAUACUCAACCACCUAGCAAACUGAGAAUUCUACACUACUCUAAUCCAUCCUCAGAAACCUAUUCACUACUCAGACAUCAUUAUAGAGAACAUAAACGUUGAACAGGAUGAAAACAUGAUAACAAUAAUAUAAUAGCAAAACGAUAACAGGAUGAACAACAAUAAACGAAAUCAAGAACAAAUACUGAAUACUGAGUAGAUAAAGAGAAAUCCGGAUUACAAAAGGUCUAGAACACAGUGUCUGCGGAAUAAAACUAGAUAAAAACCUCUUCUCGAAAAUGUAAAGUACAUGCUUAUUAUAGCAAAAUAUUCUGAAACUCUAAUACUCAAAAUGACGCAGUAUUGGGACGGAUUAAGAACUGUACUCGACCCUGAUGGUCGAGUGAGAGGUCGAGUGAUAUGCUGGAGUCUUCUAUUCUUCCUUGUGCUCGAGUGUCUAGUUGAGUGCAGAAAUGAAGAAGACUCUGAAGCUCGCCAUAGAGUAUGUAGUCGAGUGGUGGUGGUGAAGACACUCGACCUGGGGGUCGAGUGAUGUGAUCGAGUGACUGGUCAGGUUGUGGAGGUGAAUACACUCGACCAGGUGGUCGAGUGAGGUGAUCAAGUAUCUCUCGUGGUGGUACUCGGCCAGGGGGUCGAGUGAUGAGAUGAAAUUGUGAAGUCCCCUACUCAGCCAGGGGGUCGAGUGGUCUGUUGAGGUCUUGAAGCUUCUACUCGACCUCGGGGUCUAGUGGUUUGACAUGAUCAGGUCCGCUUCUUCCAGUUAGCUCGUCAACAGCUCCAAAUCACCUGAAAUCAACACAAAUAUGCAACAUGCAUGCAAACCUAUCCUAAACAUGCAAAGUGAUGACAAAUGAUGAGAAAUGGUAUUAUACAGUGAUGAUAUGGUGCUUAAGUGAUGACAAAUGGAUGCUCAAAACAUGCAAAAUACACACUUAUUAACUCCCUAAUAAUAUGUUUUUAGUCAAUUAUCCUUAAACACCAAUCAUGUCUUUGUAGUAUUUUAGGUGUCAAUCCAAAUGGGUGUGAUGCAAACAGAUGAGAUGUGAUCAGAAGUCACUAAGUCAAGCCAAGCAAUAACAGUAUUGGGGUUUCUUACAGUCCUAAGUGAACAUGCAGAAAACAGAAACAAUAAUAGAAUUACUAAAAUCACCCGACCACAACAGGCUGAUGCAAGAAGUAGGAUGUGAUCGAGUAAGAGGCAGGAUAUGAAACAAAUAUACUCGAUUGCACAGUCUAUUGCCAGACACUGGGUCUGGUCGAGUAUACAUGUCGAGUAACAGACAGGAAAUGAGACAGCUGUACUCGAUUGCACAGUCUGUUGCCAGACACUGGGUGUGGUCAAGUAAGUUGGUCGAGUAAUUGCAAAAACUAAGAAACAGGCAAUGAAAACGAUUAAGUGAUAACAAUAAAACGGAGAAAUCAGAUAGACGAGAAAUUCCUAAGGAUGGGGUAAUCAAGUAGAGUUGUAUCCUAGCCUAUUCGAAUGGUUAACAAGCGCAAUCAAGCUAUCCCUAGACUGAUCAAUUAACUCCCGUGAUAGAAAUCCUCAAGCAAAGCUAGCCCAGACUAAUUUCUAUUAACGGAAUCUAACUAUGCAGGCAAUAAGAACAGACUGAUAAAGUCAAUAAACGCUCUAAUCGGCCAAUCCCUUGGGAUAGAGACGAAUAUCUCAGGAACUAGUCGAUCGAACAUUCCAUCGAACACCUUCUGGGUGCGGGAAUGCUUUGCUUGAAUUCCAGUUGAUCAGAAAGAAAUAAGCAGUAAACGCAACUAGUCCUGAAGGGAUUCAAUCAAUUCUAAAAUUUAACCAUUCUACAGACUACGGAUUCCACAAAUACUCUAUCCCAUCCCUAAGAAUUCUAAGUCACUACUCAGACAACAUGCUCAAAGACAUAAACGCAGAUAAAUGAUAAUAUUGCAUAAGUAAAGAGAUAAAGAGUAGAGAAACAAGAUGACAGAUGAAAUCAAAUGCGGAAUCUGAAUAACUUGGAAAAAUCUCGAAUUACUGGUUGCAGAAGCAAAAGCGGCACAGCAGAGUAAAACAGAAAAUAAAACUGAAGCAAAAACUCAAUGUCGACUAGAUGUCUCAGGACAGAACCCUAAGACAUCUAUUUAUACAAAACGAAAUAAAAUGAUAGUAGACGGGCCAAUAACCUAAUCGCCCGGCCCAUAGAAUGAUAAUGGGCCGAGAUGGGCUUCGUGAUCCGAUGGAGGUCUAGGCCGCUUCUAAACACUUUGUCUUCUCCUCUUCUCUUCCUUGUGCUCAGCUUGUCUGGUUGAGUGCGGAUUUGAUUAGACUAUAAAGACGUGAUCGAGUGUCCGGUCGAGUGAUGGUGAUGGUGGUGAGUGAUGAUACUCGACCAGGGGGUCGAGUAACUUGGUAGAGUGAAUGGCUGAGUGUGGUCAGGUUGUGUGGCGAAGUGAUAUUCGACCAGGGGGUCGAGUGGCGUCAUCGAGUGGCCUGAGCUGAGGAUACUCGACCAGGGGGUUGAGUAGGUGGGAAGAAUAGCUCCAAAGUUACUCGACUUGGGGGUAGAGUAUAGUGCUGGAUGCACACGACCUGGUGGUCGAGUAUGUCUUCUGGUUCUGGCUCGUUUCUUCAAAUUUGCUCGCAAACAGCUCCAAAUCAUCUGAAAACAACUCAGAAAUGCAAUAUGUAUGCAAAGCUAUCCUAAUCAUGCAAAGUAUGCAAGAAUGAUGAGAAAUGAUAUAAAACAGUGAUGAAUGAUACAAAACUGGACUCAAAACGAUGAUGAAUGGACACUGAAAACAUGCAAAUUAUAGACAUAUCAACUCCCCCAAACUUAGUCUUUGCUUGCCCUCAAGCUAAUAAGAAGACAUAGUUGAAGGAGAGGUUUGAAGGCGGGGACUCAGAACCAAAGCAUAUGAUAGAGCGAAUAAAAUCAAUGUCCAAGUUGGUAGUUCUAAGAUGCGAUAUGAUUGAAUUUUACUCAAAAACGUUAGCCAUGCCUUGUUAUCAAUCAAUCCGUCUCUUAUACUCGACCUACACAUGUUUUCAAAUCUACCAAUCCCUUUAACAUUCAUUAGUUCUGGAACGUGAAUCAAGCAAUGCAUCAUCAAUGAACUCAUUUGGCUAAGGUGAAGGUCAGGAGACAAAGAUGGUCCCUCACAAAAUAGGCUUAAGUACCAAGGGAUCUCUCAAGAAUGAUUGAGCUUUAGUAGAAUGCUUAAGGUAAGUCCCAAGUUAUGCAUAUAGAGAUAAGAUCGCAUCUACCCAGAGUAUAACAAUGAAGCUCUAAUGGUAAUCCCAACUCCAGUCCCAACUUAACUCUACCCUUUGCACUCAUGAAUCUUUCAAACUUUUUUUUUUCUUUUUCAAAUCAUUCUUUUCUUUUCUCUUAACUCUAAGAGAAGCUUUCUCAACACUCUGACACAUCUAGCGGAUUUGGAUUUCUUUAACAACUAAGGUUCCUGUUUUUAAUCUUUAAAACCAAAGGCUUUUAACCCUUCUUCUUUAGCUAACAAGAACCUCAUUCUUUUCUUUAACAUUCCCAAAACCUUUACUAGAUUUUUUUUCUAACUUCUUUUAGCUUACUUCCCCUAGAAUUCUUUCCCUUUCCUUAUCAACAAUGAAUUCACCCUUUUCUUUUAAACACAUCCCAACCCGUGAUAUAAGCGCCCACCUAGUCCUAUCCAGUCCGAAAACGCGAACUAGAACUACAUGAGACACUAUCUCUGUCGUUACGAACCUAACACUUUCUACCAAGCUCAAUUGAAAUAAGACCUCACAAACACUCACAAGUGAUAUAGGGCUCGAAAGAAAGUUUAGGUUUUGGUUCGGGUUAACUGCUCUAAUAAGGAGAGUCAGCUACUUGGACUAACAAGAGUGGUUAAAAUGAGUAAGAAAAUCCAAGUAUUUUAGGGUAUCCAUGAGUUCAAAUUCGAUGCCAAGACAUGAUAAUUCUAAAUCAGAUUCAAGUUCAAAUUGAUAGGGAAUGGUAUCAGAUCCAAACAGUGUGGUCGAGUAGAGCAAUCUAGGCAUGGUGCAGUUUUACUUCAAUUUCAAUGACUACGCAUCAGACAACUAACAACGAGGGCACUGAGCUUAUCUGGUGAACCAAAAUGCUUACAAGGCUAUCUCAUCAUUAUCCCCUAUGCAUAUGCAACAAUCCUAAACGAAACACUCUAGACUCGUUCCUAAAUGCAAUGCAACUACAUGAGCACUCUAUUUUUGUGAAAUCAUUUUCUGAAAUUUUUCAAUUUUUUUGUUUUUUCCUAUGCCUUAGAUGAAUGCAGACUCAAGAUUAUAUACAAUGCAACACACAUUGCCUGAGCCCUCCCCCAAACUUAAAUCACACAGUCCACUGUGUGACCAAAUUUGGAAGAGAGUACUCAGGACAAAACACAUCACAGAAACAAAAUAAAAACAAGAGAUGGUAUAUUACAAUGGUGGAGUGAGGUGCAUACCUCAGUGGAAGAAGGAGCAGAGUUGGUCGUCAAUAGCUGCCUGUGAUUGCUCCCAGGCCAUCGAAGAAUCUCCCAGUUGUGUCUCAGCUUCCCCCUAGGGGUACUCGACCUCUGCUCCUUCGUCGCGGCCCGCACCGCUCUGAUGAUACUCGACCUCUCUUCUUCUGCUGCGGCCAGCACCGUGGUCGAGUGAUUUACUGACAUGGAGAAGUUUUGAUUGCACCACUCGCUAUACUCGAUCACAUCGUCAUUCAGUCCCUGUAGGGUGUGGUCGAGUGAUUUCAUGGGGUGGAGAAACCAGAACAAUGUCGAGUAUCCUUGAUUGCUCUUUGGUCGAGUGUAUUGCUGUUCCCUCAAAGCCAGAAUCUAUUUCCGUCAGCUCUUCAUACUUAUCGCCUGAAAACACUAACAAGAUGCAUCAAAAACAACAAGAAAAAUUAAAGAUAUGUACAAAGAUAGGCAUGGGACUUCCUCCCAAGUGAGCUUGUUUUAGGUCUCUAGCUUGACUCUUCAUACUCAUUAGGCGUUUAUAGGCUCAUCCAAAGGAACAGAAGUUCCUUCUGGAAUAAACUGAUCUAUCAUGUAUUUCUUGAGCCGUUGUCCAUUGACUGUGAAGUCUCCAUUCUUUCCAGCUAGAGUGAUAGCACCAUAAGGUCGGACUGCAGUAACAGAGAAAGGACCAGACCAUCUAGACUUGAGCUUGCCUGGAAAAAGCCUCAAGCGAGAGUUGAACAGCAACACUUGAUCACCAACCUUAAAAUCUCUUGAGACUAUCUUCUUGUCAUGGAAAGACUUGGUUCGCUCCUUGUAGAUUUUGGAACUCUCAUAAGCUUCUAAGCGAAUCUCGUUGAGAUCGUUCAGUUGGAUCAAUCGCUUCUCCUUGGCGGUUUUAAUGCCAAAGUUCAGGAGUUUAACUGCCCACAUGGCUUUAUACUCGAGUUCAACAGGCAAAUGACAGGAUUUUCCAUAGAGGAGGUUGAAAGGAGUCGUUCCAAUAGGGGUCUUGAAGGCUGUUCUGUAAGCCCAUAGUGCGUCAUCGAGCUUAGUAGACCAAUCUUUCCUUGUAAUUCCCAUUGUUUUCUCUAAAAUUGCUUUUAUCUCCCUGUUGGAGAUUUCCACCUGCCCGCUCGUCUGUGGAUGAUAAGGAGUGGCUACCUUGUGCUUUACUCCAUGCUUCUUCAAAAGGUUCUCAAAAACCUUGUUGAUAAAAUGUUUCCCUCCGUCACUGAUCACAACUCUCGGGACUCCAAAUCUAGGGAAGAUAAUUGUCUUGAACAGCUUUAGCACAACUCUAGCAUCAUUGGUGGGGCUGGCUAUGGCUUCCACCCAAUUGAUACAUAGUCUACUACGACCAGUAUGUACUUGUUCCCGUAAGAAAAAGGAAACGGACCCAUAAAAUCAAUUCCCCAAACGUCAAAGAUCUCAACUUCUAAGAUCGGAUUCUGAGGCAUCUCAUUCCUUCUGCUGAUGUUCCCUUUCCUUUGACAUGAGUCACAUUUCGAGAUAAAUUCCUGAGCAUCCUUAAACAUUGUCGUCCACCAAAAACCAGCUUGCAAGAUUUUUGACACUGUCUUGAACGUUGCAAAGUGGCAACCAUAGGCGGACCCAUGGUAGUGCAGUAGGAUGCCUUCGAUUUCGUCUUCUGAAACGCAUCUCCUGUAGAUCUUAUCCUUGCAGAGUGUGUAGAGAUAAGGUUUGUCCCACUAGAAGUGGUUAAUGUCCUUGAAGAACUUCUUCUUCUCAUAGCUCGACAAAUUCGGAGGCUCUUCACCACUAACCAAGUAGUUGACGUGAUCAGCAUACCACAAAAGCUUUUCUUCAAUUGCACAUACUUGAUCGAGUGAUUUCCGAAUUUGAGCACUCUCGUUAAGUUGCUGAAUUGCCAUUAGCUGUUCUUCUGGCAUGGAAUCGUCAAUAGGGACCUCGUCUUCAAUUCUCAUUCUAGUUAGAUGAUCAGCUACACCGUUUUAAAUUCCCUACUUAUCAAUUAUCUCCAUAUCAAACUCUUGGAGCAAUAAGAUCCAUCUCAACAGCCUAGGUUUGGUAUCCUUCUUCGCGUAUAUAUGCCUCAGAGCAGCAUGAUCAGUGUAGACUGUCACCUUAGAGCCGACUAGGUAGCUUCUAAAUUUUUCGAAUGCAAAUACCACAGCUAGCAGUUCCUUCUCUGUAGUGGCAUACCUUACCUGUGCAUCAUCCAUCGUUCUUCUCGCGUAGUAUAUCACAUGCAACGUUUUAUCAAUCCUCUGGCCCAAAACUGCUCCUACUGCAUAAUCUGAAGCAUCGCACAUGAUCUCGAAUGGGAAGUCCCAGUUUGGAGCUUGGACUAUUGGGGCCGUGACCAAAGCUUCCUUGAUUAACUUAAAGGCUGUCAAACAUUCUUCAUCAAAUGUAAACUCGGCUUCCUUGCACAGUAGUCUUGUGAGCGGUCUUGCCAACUUGGAGAAAUCCUUGAUGAAUCUUUUGUAAAACCCUGCAUGUCCAAGAAAACUCCUGAUGUCCUUGACAGUCUUUGGUGGCUAUAACUACAUCAUCACGUCAACCUUAGCCUUAUCAACCUCUAUCCCCUCCUCAGAAAUUUCGUGCCCCAAAACGAUGCCUUCUCUAACCAUGAAAUGGCAUUUCUCCGAGUUCAGCACCAGGUUUGUCUCUGCACAUCUUUUGAGUACCCUUCAUAGGUUCAACAAACACGAGGAGAAGGAAGAGCCAUACACAGAAAAAUCAUCCAUGAAUACCUCUACCAUCUCCUAUAUCAAAUCCGAGAAAAUGGAAGUCAACCACCGCUGAAAAGUAGCAGGUGCAUUACAGAGACCGAAAGGCAUACGCUUGUAAGCAAAGGUCCCAUAAGGACAAGUAAAAGUAGUUUUCUCUUGGUCAUUUGGGUGAAUAGGGAUUUGAAAAAAUCCGCUAUAGCCAUCCAACAAGCAAUAGUAAGGAUGGUUUGCUAAUCUUUCUAGCAUUUGAUCAAUGAAGGGCAAUGGGAAAUGGUCUUUUCUAGAGGCAGCAUUUAACUUCCUAUAGUCAAUACACAUCCUAUGUCGAGUUAUAGUCCUAGUGGGUAUCAGUUCAUCUUUAGCAUUUUUAACAACUGUCAUACCUCCCUUUUUAGGAACGCAGUGAACUGGAGAUACCCAAGUGCUAUCAGAGAUAGGGUAAAUAACCCCAGCAUCUAAUAGUUUAAGUAUCUCCUUUUUCACAACCUCUUUCAAGUUUGGAUUUAAUCUCCUUUGAGGUUCAAUGCUAGAGUAGGAUUCAUUUUCAAGAUGGAUUCUAUGGGUGCACAAGGUGGGUGAAAUCCCCUUAAUAUCAUCUAACGAAUAUCCUAUAGCUUUCCUAUACUUCUUGAGCUCAGUUAUCAGCAGGUUUACUUGAUCAGCAGUUAGCUCAUCAUUCACUAUGACAGGAUAAGUAGAGUUUAGUCCAAGAAAAACGUACCUUAGCCCUUUUGGUAGCGGUUUCAAAUCUACUUUGGGUGCCUUGAGUUCAGACCAGUCAUCGGAUACUAAGUUGGCUUCAGAGGAGGGGUUGUGGUCGAGUAGUUCGGUCGAGUACACUGAAUGGACUGUUAGUCGAGUGAUGUGGUCAAGUAUAUAUUCCUUCCUUGCUCUUUCACCCAAAUCUUCAUAUUCUCCUGGAUUCUCAACUGCUUUGUGUUCAUCUAACAGCUUCUGGUACCCUAGAGUCUCCAAAUGUAAAUCUCCUUCUUAGCUAUCCUUUGUUAGAGCACUCUGUUGAUGAUCUGUUUCUCUUAGCUCUUCUAGCAUUUCGUCAGCUAACAUAUCCAUCUCUUCAAUCCAGAAAACAUUUCCUUCUAUUGUAGGUUUCUUCAUGGUGUUGGUGAUAUCGAAGGUCAUCUUGAGAUCUCUCCCGAGGUUAAGAUCGAUCUUUCCCUUCUUAACAUCAAUGAUAGCUCCGACUGUAGCUAAAAAUGUUCUUCCCAAUAUCAAAGGGUCUUUAGGUUCUUCAUCCAUUUCUAGAACCACAAAGUCUGUAGGUACUUCGACCACGCCUUUCAUGACUGGUAAGUCUUCCAGGAGACCAUGGGGAAUUCUAACAGAUCUGUCAGCCAGGACCAGGGAUAUUUGUUUGUGUGAAACCAGAGAUAUCAUUCCUUAGUCUCGCAGUCCAGGAGUUUGAGAACAACUUAGCCAAGAAGGCUUUCUUGCAGUCAUUCCUGGAGGUGAUAGAGCCUUGAGGAAGCGAUUUUUCCCACUGAUGGGCUUUGUCUCCAAGAGAGAAUGGAAACAAUCUGAGCUUGAAGUCAUCCUCACUAACUCCAUUGAUCUUUGUUAGGCUGCAGAGCCUAUCAAACUCGUCCAGGUGAUCGAGUGGAUCCUCCAUAGGGAGGCCGUGGAAGUUGUUGCUCUGAACCAUGGCAAUGAGACCGCUAUUGAUCUCAAAGUUGUUGUUCUGCACUGGUGGAGGCACGGAUCCAUUACGCUGAUUGUGGUUGCGUGGUGCAUCGCCUGCACCUAUGUUGUUUGGUUGCACUUGCUCAUCUACAACUGUAGCCAUUGUGUCUGUUUCUGUCUGUGUUCUGAGUUGGCGUGCAAUACGGUCGAUAUUAUCGUUGAACAGGAGAUUCUGAUUUCCUCGUGACCGUGUUUGCAUACAACGAGUACCAACUGAUGAAGCUAGUGAUAGAAAUCCUCAAGCAACAGGUUUAACAACAAAUCAAUUCACUCCCGUGAUAGAAAUCCUCAAGCAAAGCUAGCCCAGACUAAUUCCCAUUAACGGAAUUUAACUAUGCAGGCAAUAAGAACAGACUGAUAAAGUCAAUAAACGCUCUAAACGGCCAAUCCCUUGGGAUAGAGACGCAUAUCUCAGGAACUAGUGGAUCAAGCAUUCCAUCGAACACCUUCUAGGUGCGGGAAUGCUUGAGAUCGAAUUCCAGUUGAUCAGAAAGAAAUAAGCAGUAAACGCAACUAGUCCUGAAGGGAUUCAAUCAAUUCUAAAACUUAACCAUUAUACAGACUACGAAUUCCACAACUACUCUAUCCCAUCCCUAAGAAUUCUAAGUCACUACUCAGACAACAUGCUCAAAGACAUAAACGCAGAUAAAUGAUAAUAUUGCAUAAGUAAAGAGAUAAAGAGUAGAGAAACAAGAUGACAGAUGAAAUCAAAUGCGGAAUCUGAAUAACUUGGAAAAAUCUCGAAUUACUGGUUGCAGAAGCAAAAGCGGCGCAGCAGAGUAAAACAGAAAAUAAAACUGAAGCAAAAACUCAAUGUCGACUAGAUGUCUCAGGACAGAACCCUAAGACAUCUAUUUAUACAAAACGAAAUAAAAUGAUAGUAGACAGGCCAAUAACCUAAUCCCCGGCCCAUAGAAUGAUAAUGGGCCGAGAUGGGCUUCGUGAUCCGAUGGAGGUCCAGGCCGCUUCCAAACACUUUGUUUUCUCCUCUUCUCUUCCUUGUGCUCAGCUUGUCUGGUUGAGUGCGGAUUUGAGUAGACUGUGAAGACGUGAUCGAGUGUCCGGUCGAGUGAUGGUGAUGGUGGUGAGUGAUGAUACUCGACCAGGGGGUCGAGUAACUUGGUAGAGUGAAUGGCCGAGUGUGGUCAGGUGGUGUGGCGAAGUGAUACUCGACCAGGGGGUUGAGUGGCAUCAUCGAGUGGCCUGAGCUGAGGAUACUCGACCAGGGGGUCGAGUAGAUGGGAAGAAUGGCUCCAAAGUUACUCGACUUGGGGUCGAGUAUGGUGCUGGAUGCACAGGACCUGGUGGUCGAGUAUGUCUUCUAGGUCUGGCUCGUUUCUUCCAAUUUGCUCGCAAACAGCUCCAAAUCACCUGAAAACAAAUCAGAAAUGCAAUAUGUAUGCAAAGCUAUCCUAAUCAUGCAAAGUAUGCAAGAAUGAUGAGAAAUGAUAUAAAACAGUGAUGAAUGAUACAAAACUGGACUCAAAACGAUGAUGAAUGGACACUGAAAACAUGCAAAUUAUAGACAUAUAACUCCCCUAAACUUAGUCUUUGCUUCCCCUCAAGCAAACAAUUAAGAACAAGCUGGUGGUGAGGUUUGAAAGCGGGGACUUAUAGCCAAAGCACCUGAUAAACCAUAUGAAAUCAAUGUCCAAAUUGAUAGUUCUAAGCUGCAAUAUGAUCGAAUUCUACUCAAAAACGUUAGCCAUGCCUUGUUAUUAAUCAAUCUGACUCAUAUGCUCGACCUACACAUGCUUUCAAAUCUACCAAUCCCUUUAACAUUCAUUAGUUCUGGAACGUGAAUCAAGCAAUGCAUCAUCAAUGAACUCAUUUGGCUAAGGUAAAAGGUCAAGAGACAAAGAUUGUCCCUUACAGAAUAGGCUUCAGUAACAGGGGAUCUCUCAAAAAAUGAUUAAGCUUUAGUAGAUUGCUAAAGGUAAGUCCCAAGCUAUGCAUAUAGAGAUAAGAUCCCAUCUACCCAGAGUAUAUCAAAUGAAGCUCUAAUGGUAAUCCCAUCUCCAAUCCCAAUAUAAAAACCUAACUCUACCCUUUGCAUUCAUGAAUCCUUUAUGCCCUUUUUCUAAUCAUUCUUUUCUUUUCUCUUAACUCUAGGAGAAGAUUUCUCAACACUUUGAUACAUCUAGCGGAUUUGGAUCUCUUUAACAACUAAGGUUCCUGUUUUUAGCAUUUUAAAACCGAGGGCUUUUGCCCAUCUUCAAUAGCUAACAAGAACUCUUUCUUUUCUUUACAAAUCCCAAAACCUUUACUAGAUUUUUUCUGCUUCUUUAGCUUACCUUACCUAGAGUCUUUUACCUUUUCUCAUCAGAAAAUCCAAGUAUUUUAGGGUAUCCAUGAGUUCAAAUUUGAUGCAAACAUGACAAUUAAAGAUCAGAUUCAGGUUCAUAUUGAUAGGGAAUGGUAUCAGAUCAUGACAGUGUGGUCGACUAGAGCAAUCUAGGCAUGGUUCAGUUUUAUUUCUAAUUCAUUGACUACGCAACAGACAACUAGCAAAGAGGGCACUAAGUUUAUCCGGUGAACCAAAAUGCUUACAAGGCUAUCUCAUCAUUAUCCCCUAUGCAUAUGCAAAAAUCCUAAAUGAAACACUCUAGACUCGAUCCUAAAUGUAAUGCAACUACAUAAACAUUCUUUUUUUUGUGAAAUCAUUUCUGAAAUUUUUCAAAAUUUUUUUGGUUUUUCUAUGCCUUAGAUGUAUGCGGACUAAAAAAUAUACACAAUGCAAUACACACUUCCUGAGCCCUCCCCAAAACUUAAAUCACACAGUCCACUGUGUGGAUAAACUUGGAAGAGAGUACCCAGGACAAAUCCAUUCACAGAAACAAAAUAAAGAACAAAUCACAAGAGAUGAUAUAAUACAAUGGUGAAGUGAGGCGCUUACCUCAGUCGAAGAAUGAACGAAGUCGGUCGUCAAUGGCUGCUUGUGAUUGCUCCCUGGCCAUAGACGAACCGCCCUGUUCCGUAUCAGCUCCAGUAGGUGGGUACUCGACCUCCUCAGCUCUGUGGCGGCCAUCACCGCUCUGAGGAUACUCGACCUCUCUUCUUCAUGUAAACUACGAGAAUGCAGAAGUCGUCUACCCUUGUUGUUAGAUUGAGUGAGUGUGGUCCUCCUCUUCCUCCCAGAUUCAUGAGGCUCGAAUGAUGAAUGCCUCGCAGGGACAUGCAGAAUCUCCUGCUCUCUAGGCUCAGGUUUGCGCCGAAUUGGCUCGGGCGCGUCAUAUCUCCUCGAAGGCAUGUCCUGAGGGAGCUGUCCCUGUGGAAUAGCUGUAGUGGAAGUGGAGCAGCUGAUCUUAUCCUUCAGAAACUUGAUAGCCCUGAGGCACUUGGCGAGAAACUUAUCCUGUUUCUUGCACCACUUCUGCAGCUUGAUGUUAUUCCUGUGAGCUUCGCUCAAACUCUUGCUUUCCCUCGCUGGAAGUAUAUGCUCACUGAAAUGAUACAUGCUCGUGUCAAACUCCGCCUAAUCUAUGUCAUCUGUCUCAUCAACAUCUUCUGUUAUAGCUCCUUCGGUGUGACUAAUCUCCUCAGUUGGCAGACUGCCCUCGAAAUAAAGAUCUUCAAGCGCAGGCUUGAAGUCAAUGUUCCUGCCCUCAAGAAUCCUAGUAGCAUCAAUGUAGGGGAGAAGAAUGUUGGCGAUUCUAAUCGAUGAAUGCUCGAACCUGUAGCGGUGAAAGUCGCUAGCCAUGUCAAACUCCAAGAACUCACAUCGGCGCAAGUGAUCCAAGUCCAUCAUUCUCGGUGCUAACCCUGGUUCCUUAAGCGGUACUCCACAAGCUUCCAGAAUUGGCGUCACAACGCCAUCCAUGCAUAGUGCUCCUGUCACCUUAUUCUUGUCGUUCGUCAACGCCCACUUCCUAUAUCCACACAGGUGGAUCAACAGAGGCAUGACUAGUGGUGCGUUGUUGAGAUCGCCUCUCAAGACAUUCUUUCCCUUUGUACAGCAGAGAAUCCCUGUAAGCGCGGAAUCUAUCAUCUCCAUGUCCGUGUUAGACACGGUGCAUGUAGACUCCCUAGAGUAAAAAACGUUGGCAACCGAGCGGUGAAAGUAGCGGAUCACAGGACUCCGGAUUUGGUUGCUUUUGGACCGCGCCAAGUUUAGCGGUAAAUUAUUCCCAAUAGUAGCCCACAAAUCCUUAAGCUCUUCCCUGUCAAACCUGGUUUUGGUUCCCUUUCCACUAGGGAAACAAAACAGUUCUUCCAACUUCUUGAUCGAAAGCUGAUACCACUGUUCAUCCAUUGAGAACGUCAAGAACCCUAACCCUAAACCCUAAACCCUAAACCCUAAACCCUAAACCCUAAACCCUAAACCCUAAACCCUAAACCCUAAACCCUAAACCCUAAACCCUAAACCCUAAACCCUAAACCCUAAACCCUAAACCCUAAACCCUAAACCCUAAACCCUAAACCCUAAACCCUAAACCCUAAACCCUAAACCCUAAACCCUAAACCCUAAACCCUAAACCCUAAACCUUAAACCCUAAACCCUAAACCCUAAACCCUAAACCCUAAACCCUAAACCCUAAACCCUAAACCCUAAACCCUAAACCCUAAACUCAAUGUAUGUGAGUCCCUCAUACAUCUCCACUUGCAGUGUGGAAAGAAACUCGAUUGUCUCCUCCUUAUAGGAAGCGUAAGAGUAAGACAUGAGUGUUUCCAGAUGCCACUUCUCGAACAGAUGCUGCACGUCCUCCAGUAACCCCAGCUGGGCUAAAGUCUCAUAGUAGGGAUACCUCGUUCCCCAUAAAUCAUUCAUCUCAAAGAAUCUGAUAUACUCCUCCACUGUAACCUAUUCGGGUUUGUUCAGUAGCUUCGUCUUCUUGCACCAUGACUUUGGCUCAUACUCAGUUUUGAUGUCCUCAUCAAUCAGCUCAUAUCUACUGGGCAUCGCUCUCUUCCCUCUGGUGAUUUCUGCUCUUCUCUGAUUACGUCGAGCAGAGGAGCGUUGAAAUUCAUCCCUGAAGCUCUCGUAAACAUGUUCCUCUCUCUCCGGUCUAGAGGACCAGGACUCAGCUUCAUCCACAUUAUAAUCAGGAUCCAUAGAGGAUUCUCGACUGUAGUUACUCAUGAUCAAACCUGUAAACAAUUGAAACUCAAAGAUAAACGUUAAUAAGUUAGUCUCAACAAAACCAAAAACACAAACCAACACAGUAAACCGGUCGAGUGAUGUAAUCGAGUAAACCUUCGUUUAAUUUUUUUUUUUUUUUCUUUUCUUUCGGUUGAUCAAGUGAUUUCGUACGACCGAGUGAAGUUCGUUUCGUGGUAAGAGUGAUGCGUAGGUCGAGUGGUGAGCUUGAAGAGGAGGAGAUAUGGUGAUGCGGUUUGAAAGAGGUUAAGUGAAAAUGGAGGAGCGGUGAUUCGAGUGAUUGUGGUGGUUGAGAGGCGAGGUGAGCUGAAUGAUUCCUCGGUUGCGAAUGUGAGAAGAGAAGACGCGAUCGAGUGAAGAGGCGAUGAAGAAGUUUAUUAUGAGGGAUCGAGUGAAGUGGAGCUCACGGAAGAAGAGAAGAUGGUGGUGGCUUUGGUGAAGAGGUGAGUUGCCGCAAUCGAGUGGUUGUGAGCUUGGAGGUCGAGUGAUUAAAACGAACACUUGAAGACUUGAAUUGCAAUGAGCGACGAUGGGAGAUGAGAGAGUUGCGAAAAGUUUGGUGUGUGGAGAAAGAUGUUGAGGUCGAGUAUAUGAAGAGGAUGGUGAGGAGGUCGAGUGGAUGAGAGUAUGAGAGUUGGGUUGUUGGUUGUAAUGAAUGAGGAGGGAUGGGGUCGAGUUAAUAGGUGUGGAGGAGAUAACGAGGUCGAGUAAGUGAUAGGUGUGGGAUGGGGAUGGCGUCGAGGUUGAGUGGAGAUAGGAUAAGGUGAGGGGGUCGAGUGGUUGUGAGAAGAAAGAGUUGGAUUUCUUGUCUGUUGGUUAGGAGCGUGGGAGACAUAGGGUGCAGCAGUGGGUCCCUCGUCUGUCUCCUUAUUCUAAAUUAUUAUUCUUUCUUCACUAGGAAAGUCUCAGGAAAUCCAACAAUCUUCUGUAAACUUAAUAAACUUCCUGUAAGAACUUGUAGCUUCUGUUGGUCGAGUGAAAUGAUGAUUUAAAAGUUUUAGAUUUUAAACACUCAACCAAUGUACUCGGUCCCUAGGCCGUCUGUAGAGUAAAAGUUUUGAAUUUUUACUCUAGCUUUACGUUAUUCCUCUGUUCCUGAGAACCACAAACACAACUAAAAUAAAUCAAAAAUAACAAGAAAGUAAAAAUUAUUUACAAGGAUAAUCAUGGGACUUCCUCCCAAGUGAGUUUGUUUAAAGUCUCUAGCUUGACUCCUCACACUUAUCAAGAAGAAAAUGAAUGAUAGAGAGGGUCUGCAUAGUCCUCUCUAAUAUCAUCAUCAUACUCAGCGUCCUCCCUGGAGAGGUCUACAGCAGAAUACUCAAUUCCCCUCUCUUCAAAAUAUGCUUCUUUCUCUUUUGGAGGGUUAUCUAUCUCUUCAGACCAUCUUGAAGUGAACUUCUUUAUAGGGAUAGUGUCAAUCCCGCCUUUAGGUUGAGCUUCCUUCUGCAACUGAUUCUGCUUACUUCUAAGUUCCUCAACAGUGUGGGCUUGCUUCUCUAUAGUUUCAUCUUGCUUCUCAGACCUCUUUUUAAGUUCCUUUACUCUUUUAGUCUCAUAUCCUUCUCCUGAGAUCGCUCUAUCAUUUCCAAAGGUUUUUCCAUCUUCUGUUGACCCUUGUGGAGUUUUGUUGAUGUCAAACUGCAACUUGAUGUGCUUUCCAAGGUUGAGACUUAUUUUCCCUUCCCUGACAUCUAUCACUGCUCCCACUGAAGCUAAGAAGGAUCUUCCCAGGAUUAAGGACCCUUAUGCUCUACUUCCAUAUCCAGCACCACGAAGUCUGUAGGCACUUCUACUCCAUUAAUCAUGACUGGUAGAUCUUUCAGCAUGUCGUAGGGUUUUCUUAAAGACCUAUCCGCAAGGAUCAAAGUCAGGUCACAAGGUUUAUACUGAAUAAACUCUAACCUUCUUGCCACAGAGAGUGGCAUUAAGCUGACAGAGGCUCCGAGAUCGCACAGACAAUCGCUGAAAGCUAAUUACCCAAUGGAACAUGGUAGAGUGAAAGAUCCAGGAUCUUCUAACUUUUCUUGAACAAUCCUCUUAUCAACAGCUCGAGAUGGAGUGGCAUCACUUUCAUCAUCUGAAUUGUGAUACAUCUUGAUCUUUUCCAGUAUCAAAUUUCUCACAUCUUUGUGAGGAUCGGGAAUCAGGUUGAGAAUUUCCAUCAGUGGCAUCACUUCUUCAAUCUUGUCUACCUGCUUCGCUGCAACAGACUUGUAUCUCUCCAUCCACGCUUUCUUGAAUGUCCACGGAAAAGCACGUGAGGGUAAUGAAGUAUGUUUGAAUCGUUUUACCAUUCUCUCGAUUAUGGCGGACUUCUCUUCUGAGGUGGAUUGAAUGAGAUGGCGAGAACAAGAAGAAUGGUUGAAUUCAAGAACAGAGACUUCAAUCUGAGUGGAAGCCUUCCUUUCUUGAACAUCACUGUCCCUAGUGAUUAAGUCAGGGACAUGUCGAGUUGGCAGCUCUCGAUCAUGGCAGUUAGUGAUGGCGUGAGCAGUUGCAUACUCCUUUGAAUUCUGUAUUGACUUCCUUGGAAGUCCUGUGACUUUAGGUGCAGAGGUAGAUGCUGAUUGUCCUUCUAAAUAUCUGACUUUGGUAUUCAAUGCCUCCACUUUGGCAUUCAGGUCAUUGUAGUUGUAGUCCAGCUUAUGGUGCAAUUCAAAUAAUUUCUUAGCAAUUUCCAUGGAGCUAGAUGCUUGUCCCUGUAGCAGCUGUUGUACCAUCUGUUUCAUUUCAGCAUCAGGAGCAGCAGGAUCUUGGUUUUGCUGAGGUGCAAACCCAGGUGGUGGUUGCGGCUGGUAGUUCCCCUGAAAUUGCUGCUUAGGAACAAAACCUUGAUUGUAAGGAACAAAAGGUUUGUUCUGAUCUUGUUGUUGCUGUGGAGGAUACACUUGAUCUUGAGGAUUAACAACGUUGGUGCUGCGGUAGGAGAGGUUGGGGUUGUUGGUUUUGAAGUUGUUAUACCCUUUGUAGCCGCUCUGGUUGUUGUUGAUGUAGCUGACUUCUUCCAACUGGUUACCCUCCCCACCUUGGACUUGAUACUUCUCGUCAUCAACAAGGAAGUGCACAUGCUUCUGCUGGCUAAGAAGAAUCAUGUCCAGCUUGUCAUUCAGUGCUUUGAUCUCCUUCCUUUGUUUGUCAUCAGAUUCAGUUGUGCCUCUGACGGUCCUAUCACAGUCCUCGUUGUAAUUACCAUCUGAUUGAGCAAGGUUCUCAACAAUUUCCCAGCCUUCUUCAACAUCUUUGUUCUGGAAGUUCCCAUUGCUGGCGGUUUCCAGAAGGAUUCUCAUGCGUGGCAAAACGCCUCUAUAAAGAGUGCUGAGCAGAGAGGCUUUAGUGAAGCCAUGAUGAGGGCAUUGGGUUGUAUAACCCUUAAAACGCUCCCAUUCUUCACAGAAGCUUUCACCAGCCUUCUGUAAAAAGCCAGAGAUCUCAUUUCUGAGUCUUGCAGUUCUGGCGUUGGAGACGAACUUUGAUAGAAAAGCCUUCUUGCAAUCAUCCCAGGUGGUGAUUGAGUCAUGGGACAGAUUCUACUCCCAAAUGUGAGCUUUGUCGCCCAAGGAGAAUGGAAACAAACGGAGCUUGAAUCCGUCUUCACUGACACCAUUGAUUUUUGUUAGGUUGCAGAGCCUAUCGAAUUCAUUAAGGUGGUCGAGUGGAUCCUCAAUUGGCAGACCAUGGAAUUUGUUCCCCUGAAUCAUCGAGAUGAGACCGCUCUUAAUCUCGAAGUUGUUGUUCUAGAUAGCAGGAGGUGCAAUUCCUUUCCGCUAACGGUGAUCACGUGGUGCGUUUCCAGCACCAAUGUUGGCAGGGCCUUUUUGAUGAUUCUGUUCGUCAGCCAUUUCGAGUGGUUGUUGUGGUAUUAGGUUGACUGUGUUUCUCUUUUCUCUGAGUUCGCGAGCUAUGCGGUCGAUGUUGUCGUUGAAAAGGAGGUUCGGAUUGCCUGUUGAUCGAGUUUGCAUACAGCAGAGGUGUACCUAGAACAAGAAGACAACAAGAAAAAUACACAGUUAGCAACCGAAUUGAAAAUUGAAAAAGAACUUGAUCUAAGCAAGUCUGAAAUCUCAAAUGUAACAAAAAAACACCCAAUUGGCAACGGCGUCAAAUUGAUAAUAGAUUUUUUAGUCAGUUAUCUUAAAACACGAAUCAUGUCGUUGUAGUAUUUUAGUGGCUUGCUAGAACACUGCUAGAACACCAAUCAUACAGCAGAGGUGUACCUAGAACAAGAAGACAACAAGAAAAACACACAGUUAGCAACCAAAUUGAAAAUUGAAAAAGAACUUGAUCUAAGCAAGUCUGAAAUCUCAAAUGUAACAAACAAACACCCAAUUGGCAACAGGGACAAAUUGAUAAUAGGUUUUUUAGUCAAUUAUCUUAAAACACCAAUCAUGUCGUUGUAAUAUUUUAGGUUGUCAAUCCAAAUGAGUUUGAUGCUAACAAUAAGGAUGACUUGAUGGCAUGUGUAUGAUUGGUGUUCUAGCAGUGUUCUAGCAAGCCACUAAGUCACUAAGUCACUAAGUCAAGCCAAGUAAUAACAGGUUUUGGUGUGUUCUAGCAGUCCUAAGUGAACAUGCAGAAAACAGAAAAUCAAGCAGAAACAAUAAAACACUUGACCAACACAGCUCGUUGCAGAGCACUGGGUGUGGUCGAGUGACAGUUCGAGUAACAGACAGAAAAUGUAACAGGGAUACUCGAUUGCACAGUCUGUUGCCGGACAACUGGGGGGUCAAGUAACAGGUCGAGUAACAGUAAAGAAUUGCAGAAACUAAGCAACAGAUGAAAAGAUGCAGUAAACAACAGUAGAGUAAACAAUAAAAUCAAUCAGAUAAAGAAUUCCCGAGGAUGGGGUAAUUGAGUAGUUUCGUUUCCUCAAUUUACAGGUGAUUGACAUGCUCAAUAAAUUAUCCCUAGACAACAAGUUCAUUAACCAAAUCUAAGUGCCACCGCAAUAGAGACCCUCAACUUAACCUAGUCCCAGACUCAAUCACCAUUGACGAGAGCUAACCUUAUAGGCAUUACGAAUCAACAAGUUAAAGCCAAAACACUCCCUGCAACCAAUACCUUGGUACUGAGCCACGAAUCUCUGGAAUUAGUGGUUCAGACAUUUCAUCGAACACCUUUUGGGCGCGGAAAUGUCUGGGCUCAAAUUCCAGUUGAUCAAAAAGCAAUAGGGAUUAAGAACAACUAAUCCAGAAGGGAUCUAUCAAUCAAUACUCAACCACCUAGCAUACUGAGAAUUCUACACUACUCUAACCCAUCCUCAGAAACCUAUUCACUACUCAGACAUCAUUGAAGAGAACAUAAACGUUGAACAGGAUGAAAACAUGAUAACAACAGUGUAAUAGCAAAACAAUAACAGGAUGAACAACAAUAAACAAAAUCAAGAACAAAUACUGAAUACUGAAUAGAUAAAGAGAAAUCCAGAUUACAAAAGGUCUAGAACACAAUGUCUGCGAAAUAAAACUAGAUAAAAACCUCUUCUCGAAAAUGUAAAGUACAUGCUACUUAUAGCAAAAUAUUCGAAAACCCUAAUACUCAAAACGAUGCAGUAUUGGGACAUAUUAAGAACUAUACUCAACCCAGAUGGUCGAGUGAGAGGUCGAGUGAUAUGCUAGAGUCUUCUUUUCUUCCUUGUGCUCGAGUGUCUAGUUGAGUGCGGAAUGAAGAAGACUCUAAAGCUUGCCAUAGAGUAUGUAGUCGAGUGGUGGUGGUGAAGACACUCAACCUGGGGGUUGAAUGAUGUGAUCGAGUGACUGGUCAGGUGGUGGAGGUGAAUACACUCGACCAGGUGGUCGAGUGAGGUGAUCGAGUAUCUCUCGUGGUGGUACUCGGCCAGAGGGUCGAGUGAUGAGAUGAAAUUGUGAACUCCCCUACUCGACCAGGGGGUCGAGUGGUCUGUUGAGGUCUUGAAGCUUCUACUCGACCUCGGGGUCGAGUGGUUUGACAUGAUCAGGUCCGCUUCUUCCAGUUAGCUCGUCAACAGCUCUAAAUCACCUGAAAUCAACACAAAUAUGCAACAUGCAUGCAAACCUAUCCUAAACAUGCAAAGUGAUGACAAAUGAUGAGAAUGGUAUAAAACACUGAUGAUAAGGUGCUAAAGUGAUGACAAAUGGUAUGCUCAAACUUGCAAAAUACACACUUAUCAACAUGAUAGCAACAAAGUAAUAGCAGGAUGAUAAUAGGAUGAACAACUUGGUAAACCAAAUCAAAAGCAAAUACUGAAUACUGAAUAGAUUAAGAGAAAUCCGGAUUACAAAAACGUCAAGAACACAGUGUCUGCGGAAAAUAAAACUUAGGUAAACGAAAAUGUAAAAUACAUGGUACUGAUAGCGAAAUAUUAUGAAACCCUAAUACUCAAAACGACACAAUAUUGGGACGGAUUAAGAACGGUACUCGACCCAGGUUGUCGAGUAAUUUGUCGAGUGAUAAGCUGGAGUCUUCUUCUCUUCCUUGUGCUUGAGUGUUGGUUGAGUACGGAAUGGAGAAGACUCUAAAGCUGGAAGUCGAGUAAGAAGUCGAGUGAUUGAGAUGGUGGUACUCGGCUUGGUGUUAAAGUGAUCGUAGAGUGUGUGAUGAUGGUGGGACUCGGUCGUGUAAUCGAGUGAGUGAUCGAGUGAUUGUGAUGGGGAUGCUCGACCAGGGGGUCGAGUGGUGUGAUCGAGUGAUUGUCAGGUGGUGUGUUGAAGUCGUUAAGCCAUGUACUCGACUAGGUAGGUCGAGUGGUUUGAUAUGAUCAGGUCCGCUUCUUCCAAUUAACUCGCCAAUAGCUCCAAAUAUCCUGAAAGCAACACAAAUAUGCAACAUGCAUGCAAAACUAUCCUAAACAUGCAAAGUGAUGACAAAUGAUGAGAAAUAAUAUAAAAAAAUGGUAAUAUGAUGCAAUAGUGAUAACAAAUGGAUGCUCAAAACAUGUAAAAUGCACACUUAUCAAGUAGAAGAGCUAGAACCGCAACCGGAUUUUGAAAACCCAAGUAGUGUUUCCUUGUUAGAAGAUACAAAGCCCAAGACUCAUACGGACUUCGGUUACACCAUUAAAGCUUUGAGAAGCAAGAAGAAGUUUGGUUUGUGUUUUUCAGUCAAAUAUGACCAGAUGUCAUUUGUAUGAUUGAGUAUAAGAACUCAAACCACAGCCGGAUCUUGAAAGCCCAAAUAGUGUUUCCUUGAUAGAAGAUACAAAGCCAAAUUCUCAUACGAACGUCGGCUACACCAUCAAUGCUUUGAGAAGCAAGAAGAAGCUUGGUUAGUGUUUUGGAGUCAAAUAUGACUUUAUGUCAUGUGUAUGUUUAAGUAUUAGAACUUAAACUACAAACGGAUCCCAAAAGCAAAAUUAGUUUUUCCAUGCUAGAAGAUACAAAGCAAAAUAUUCAUACUGACUUCGACAUCACCAUUAAAGCCUUAGGGAGCAUGAAGAAGCUUGGUUGGUGUUUUGAAGUCAAAUAUGACUUGAUGGCAUGUGUAUGAUUGAGUAUAGGAACUCAACCACAACCGGAUCUUGAAAGCCCAAGUAGUGUUUCCUUUUUAGAAGGUACAAAGACAAAGACUCAUACGGACUUUGGGUACACCAUCAAAACUUUGAGAAGCAAGAAGAAGCUUGGUUAAUGUUUUGGAAUCAAAUAUGACUUGAUGUCAUGUGUAUGAUGGAGUAUAAGGACGAGAAUUGCAACCGGAUCUUAAAAGCCUAAGUAGUGUUUCCUUGUUAGAAGAUACAAAGCCAAUGAAUCAUACGGACUUUCGCUACACCAUCAAAGCUUUGUGAAGCAAGAAGAAGCUUAGUUAGUAUUUUAGAGUCAAAUAUGACUUGAUGUCAUGUGUAUGAUUGAGUAUACGAACUAGAACCUUAACUGGAUCUUAAAACCCAAAGUAGUGUUUCCUUGUUAGAAGAUACAAAGCAAAAGACGCAUGUGGACUUUGGUAACACUAUUAAAGCAUUGAGAAUCAAGAAGAAGCUUGGUUAGUAUUUUGGUGUCAAAUAUGACUAGAUUUCAUGUGUAUGAUUUGAGUAUAAGAACUAGAACUGCAACCCGAUCUUUAAAGCCUAAGUAGUGUUUCCUUGUUAGAAGAUACAAAGCCAAAGACUCAUACGGACUUCAGCUACACCAACAAAGUUUCGAGAAGCAAGAAGAAGCUUGGUUAGUGUUUUGGAGUCAAAUAUGACUUGAUGUCAUGUGUAUGAUUGGGUAUAAGAAUUAUAACCGCAACCGGAUCUUAAAACCUAAGUAGUAUUUAUUUUUUAGAAGAUACAAAGCCAAACAUUCAUACGGGCUUUGGUUACACCAUUAAAGCUUUGAGAAGCAAGAAGAAGCUUGAUUAUUGUUUUAGAGUCAAAUAUGCCUAGAUGGCAUGUGUAUGAUUGAGUACAAGAACUCGAACCACAACUGGAUCUUGAAAGCCAAAGUAGUGUUUCCUUGUUAGAAGAUGCAACGCCAAUUACUCAUACGGACUUCGGCUACACCGUCAAAGCUUUGAGAAGCAAGAAGAAUCUUGGUUUGUGUUUUGGAGUUAAAUAUAAAGUGAUGUGAUGUCUAUGGUUGAAUAUUAGAACUUGAACCGCAAACGGAUCCAAAAAGGAAAAGUAGUGUUUCCAUGCCAGAAAAUACAAAGCCAAAGACUCAUACGGACUUCGACAUCACCAUCAAAGCCUUAGGAAGCCAGAAGAGGCUUGGUUAGUUUUUUGGAGUCAAAUAUGACUAUGAUUGAGUAUAAGAAUUCAAACUGCAACCGGAUCUUGAAUGCCGAAGUAGUGUUUCUUUUUUAGAAGAUACAAAGCCAAAUACUCAUACGGACUUUGGCUACACCAUCGAGAAGCAAGAAGAAGCUUGGUUAGUGUUUUGGAGUCAAAUAUGAAUUGAUGUCCUGUGUAUGAUUAAGUAUAAGACCUAGAUUGGCAACCAGAUCUUGAAAGCCUAAAUAGUGUUUCCUUGUUAGAACAUACAAAGCCAAUGAUUCAUACGGACUUCAUCUACACUAUCAAAGCUUUGGGAAGUAAGAAGAGGCUUAGUUAGUGUUUUAGAGUCAAAUAUGACUUGAUGUAAUGUAUAUGAUUGAGUAUAAGAACUAGAACCACUACCAGAUCUUAAAAGCCUAAGUAGUGUUUCCUUGUUAGAAGAUACAAACCAAAGACUCAUACAGAUUUUGAUUACACCAUUAAAACUUUAAGAAGCAAGAAGAAUCUUGGUUAGUGUUUUGGAGUCAAAUAUGUCCAGACGACAUGUGUAUGAUUUAGUAUAAGAACUCGAACUACAACCUAAUCUUGAAAGCCCAAAUAGUGUUUCCUUGUUAGAACAUACAAAGCCAAUGACUCAUACGAAUUUCAGCUACACUAUCAAAGCUUUGAGAAGCAAGAAGAGGCUUAGUUAGUGUUUUAGAGUCAAAUAUGACUUGAUGUCAUGUGUAUGGUUAAGUAUUUGGACUAGAAAUGGAAACUGAUAUGUCUAUAAUUUGCAUGUUUUCAGUGUCCAUUCAUCAUCGUUUUGAGUCCAGUUUCGUAUCAUUCAUCACUGUUUUAUAUCAUUUCUUAUCAUUCUUGCAUACUUUGCAUGAUUAGGAUAGCUUUGCAUACAUAUUGCAUUUAUGAGUUGUUUUAGGUGAUUUGGAGCUGUUUGCGAGCAAAUUGGAAGAAACGAGCCGGAACCAGAAGACAUACUCGACCCCCAGGUCGAGUGACUUCGGAGCCAUUCUUCCCACCUACUCGACCACUUGACAACACUCGACCGUUCACUCUACCACAUCACUCGACCCCAUGGUCGAGUAUCACUUCGCCACACCACCUUACAACACUCGACCGUUCACUCUACCACAUCACUCGACCCCAUGGUCGAGUAUCACUUCGCCACACCAUCACCAUCACUCGACCGGACACUCGAUCACGUCUUCACAGUCUACUCAAAUCCGCACUCAACCAGACAAGCUGAGCACAAGGAAGAGAAGAGGAGAAGACAAAGUGUUUGGAAGCGGCCUGGACCUCCAUCGGAUCACGAAGCCCGUCUCGGCCCAUUAUCUUUCUAUGGGCCGGGUAAUUAGGUUAUUGGCCCGUUUACCAUCAUUUUAUUUUGUUUUGUAUAAAUAGAUGUCUUAGGGUUCUGUCCUGAGACAUCCAGUCGACAUUGAGUUUUUGCUUCAGUUUUAUUUUCUGUUUUACUCUGCUGCGCCGCUUUUGCUUCUGCAACCUGUAAUUCGAGAUUUUUCCAAGUUAUUCAGAUUCCGCAUUUGAUUUCAUCUGUCAUCUUGUUUCUAUACUCUUUAUCUCUUUACUUAUGCAAUAUUAUCGUUUACCUGCGUUUAUGUCUUUAAGCAUUUUGUCUGAGUAGUGACUUAGAAUUCUUAGGGAUGGGAUAGAGUAGUUGUGGAAUCCGUAGUCUGUAGAAUGGUUAAGUUUUAGAAUUGAUUGAAUCCCUUCAGGACUAGUUGCGUUUACUGCUUAUUUCUUUAUGAUCAACUGGAAUUCAACCCAAGCAUUCCCGCACCCAGAAGGUGUUCGAUGGAAUGUUCGAUCGACUAGUUCCUGAGAUAUUCGUCUCUAUCCCAAGGGAUUGGCCGAUUAGAGCGUUUAUUGACUUUAUAAGUCUGUUCUUAUUGCCUGCAUAGUUAGAUUCCGUUAAUGGGAAUUAGUCUGGGCUAGCUUUGCUUGAGGAUUUCUAUCACGGGAGUGAAUUAAUCUGUUGUUGAACCUGUUGUCUAGGGAUAGCUUGAUUGCGCUUGUUAACCAUUCGAAUAGGCUAGGAUACCACUCUACUCGAUUACCCUAUCCUUAGGAAUUUCUCGUCUAUCUUAUUUCUCUGUUUUAUUGUUAUCGCUUAAUCGUUGUCAUUGCCUGUUUCUUAGUUUUUGCAAUUACUCGACCAACUUACUCGACCACACCCAGUGUCUGGCAACAGACUGUGCAGUCGAGUGCAGUUGUUUCAUUUCCUGUCUGUUACUCGACCAGUAUACUCGACCACACCCAGUGUCUAGCAACAGACUGUGCAGUCGAGUAUAUCUGUUUCAUAUCCUGCCUGUUACUCGACCACAUCCUACUCCUGGCAUUAGCCUGUUGUGGUCGAGUGAUUUUAGUAAUUCUGUUAUUCUUUCUGUUUUCUGCAUGUUCACUUAGGACUGUUAGAAACCCCAAAACUGUUAUUGCUUGGCUUGACUUAGUGACUUCUGAUCACAUCUCAUUUGUCUGCAUCACACCCAUUUGGAUUGACACCUAAAAUACUACAAUGACAUGAUAGGUGUUUUAGGAUAAUUGACCAUAAAAACCUAUUAUCAAUUUGGCGCUGUUAUCUUUUUCAUUUUUUCUGAAAGUUACUAACUUUGUGUUUUUUCUGUUUGUCUGUUUUGAUUUAGGUACUACGAUACCAGCUUUACAAGUUGGUACUCGUUGUAUGCAAAUACGGUCACGAGGAAAUCAGAAUCUCCUGUUCAACGAUAACAUCGACCGUAUUGCACGCCAACUCAGAACACAGACAGAAACAGAGACAAUGGCUGCAGUUGUUGAUGAGCAGGUGCAACCAAACAACAUAGGUGCAGGCGAUGCACCACGCAACCAGAAUCAGCGUAAUGGCAUCGUGCCUCCACCUGUGCAGAACAACAACUUUGAGAUCAAGAGCGGUCUCAUUGCCAUGGUUCAGAGCAACAAGUUCCACGGCCUCCCUAUGGAGGAUCCACUCGAUCACCUGGACGAGUUUGAUAGGCUCUACAGCCUAACAAAGAUCAAUGGAGUUAGUGAGGAUGGUUUCAAGCUCAGAUUGUUUCCAUUCUCUCUUGGAGACAAAGCACAUCAGUGGGAAAAGUCACUUCCUCAAGGCUCUAUCACCUCCUGGAAUGACUGCAAGAAAGCCUUCUUGGCUAAGUUUUUCUCAAACUCCAGGACUGCGAGACUAAGGAAUGAUAUCUCCAGUUUCACUCAAACGAAUAAUGAGACUUUCUGUGAAGCAUGGGAGCGCUUCAAAGGUUAUCAGACGCAAUGUCCUCAUCAUGGUUUCUCCAAAGCUUCACUUCUCAGCACUCUCUAUAGAGGUGUCCUUCCCAAGAUCAGAAUGCUUCUUGAUACCGCUUCCAACGGGAACUUCCUCAACAAAGACGUUGAAGAAGGAUGAGAGCUGGUAGAGAACUUAGCUCAGUCGGAUGGCAACUAUAAUGAAGAUUAUGACAGAAGCAUCCGCACCAGCUCUGAUUCUGAUGAGAAGCACCGCAGGGAAAUGAAAGCCAUGAAUGACAAACUGGACAAGCUACUCCUUGUGCAACAAAAGCACAUUCAUUUUCUGGGUGAUGAUGAGACAGUCCAAGUGCAGAACCAAGGAGGUCAGCUAUGUGCAGAACCAAGGAGGUUACAACAAAGGUUUCAACAACUUCAAGCAGAGCCAUCCAAAUCUGUCUUACAGGAGUACAAAUGUUGCAAACCCGCAUGACCAAGUCUACCCUUCACAGCAGCAAAAUCAACCCAAGCCCUUUGUUCAUACAACCAAGGUCAGGGGUAUGUUCCUAAGCCGCAGUAUCAGGGCAACUAUCAGCAGCAACUUCCACCACCUAGGUUCACACACCAGCAACAACAACUAGCUUCAACAACUCCAGAUUCAGACUUGAAGAACAUGUUACAGCAGAUUCUCUAGGGACAAGCUGCAGGUGCAAUGGAUCUUGCCAAAAAGAUGGCAAAAAUCCACAACAAGGUUGAUUGUACUUUCAAUGAUCUGAAUAUCAAACUUGAGGCACUUACCUCUAAGGUCAGAUACAUGGAAGGACAAACAGCGUCAACUUCUGCUCCAAAAGUAACAGGACUUCCAGGAAAGUCAAUACAGAACCCGAAGGAAUACGCCACCGCUCACGCUAUCACCAUCUGUCAUGAUCGAGAGCUGCCUACUCGACAUGUUUCCACAUCAAUCACCGAGGACAGUGAUGUUCAGGACGGGGAGGCUUCUACUCAGAUUGAAAUUUCAGUGGUUGGACUCGACCAUUCAGCUGGAUCCCGUUUUCAAACCGAGUCCAACCUAGACGAGAAAGCAGCCAUCAUUGAGAGGAUGGUAAAACGAUUCAAGCCAGCACCAUUACCUUCACGUGCUCUUCCAUAGAAAAUUCAGGAAAGCAUGUAUAGAAAGAUACAAUUCUCUUGCAGAGAAGCAGCUUGAUGAGAUGGAAACGGCUUGAUGAGAUGGAAGCGGUGAUGCCUCUAAUAGAAGUUCUCAACCUAAUCCCGGAUCCUCACAAAGAUGUGAGAAAGUCAAUUCUGGAAAGGAUCAAGAUUCAUCAAGAUUCAGAAGACGAAUGUGAUGCUAUUCCGUUUAGGACCACUGCUAAGAGGAGUGUUCAAGAAAAACAGGAAGAUCCAGGAACUUUCACUCUACCAUGUUUCAUUGGUCAAUUGGUUUUCAGCCAUUGUCUUUGUGAUUUGGGAGCUUCAGUAAGCUUAAUGCCACUCUCCGUGGCAAGGAAGCUGGAAUUCACUCAGUACAGGCCUUGCGACCUGACUUUGAUCCUUGCUGAUAGGUCUUCAAGAAAACCCUUUGACCUUCUACAAGAUCUGCCAGUAAUGAUUAAUGGAGUGGAAGUGCCUACGGAUUUCGUUGUUCUUGAUAUGGAAGCAGAACCUAAGGAUCCUCUAAUCCUAGGAAGACCUUUCUUAGCCUCAGUGGAAGCGAUGAUAGAUGUCAGAGAUGGGAGAAUAAGUCUUAACCUUGGGAAGCACAUCAAGAUGCAGUUUGACAUCAACGAAACUUCGCAAAGGUCAGCUGUAGAAGAAAAGAUCAGGGCUCAACCUCAACGUUCGAAUUCAAUCACCAGACCAAGCACAGCCUCUACACCUAACUUGCGAGAUCUCAAAAAGAAAUCUGAUGAGCAAGAAGAGACCAUAGAGAAGCUAGCUCAGACAGUUGAGGAACUUAAGAGUAAACUGGAUCAUAUGCAAGAGAUAGCUCAAUCCAAAUGCGGGAAUAACACUAUCCCGAGAAAAAAGAUUACUUCAAGAUGGUCUAAGGAGAUAGAUUAUCCACCAGAAGAGAAAGAGGCCUAUUUCGAGGAAAGAAGAAUUGAGUAUUCUGCUACUCAUCUCUCAAGAGAGGAUGCUGAAUAUGAUGAUGAGAUCAGAGAGGACUAUGAAGAUCCUCUCUAUCACCCAUUUUCUUCUUAAUGAGUGUGAGGAGUCAAGCUAGAGACUUUAAACAAGCUCACUUGGGAGGAAUUCCCAAGACUGUUUCUGUAAAUAAAACUUUUAUUUUCUUGUUAUUUUUGAUUUGUUUUUGGUUGUGUUUGUGAUUCUCAGGAACAGAGAAACAGCGUGGAGGUAGAGUAAAAAUUUAAAAAUUUUACUCUACAGAGCAACAGGAGAACGAGUAUGUCAGAAAUUCAAGAGUUUGAAAAACUUUUGUUGCACUAAGAGGCCAUGAGGUCGAGUAAGUUUGGUCGAGUAUUAGUGAUGAUUUUAAAAAAACCCAAAAUUUUUAAAUCAUAUCUAUACUCGACCAACAGAAGCUACAGAGACUUGCAGGGAGUUUAACAAGUUUACAGAGGAUUACAGAAGGUUCUAGUCAACAGAGAACAGCGCUUCAGGACAAACAGACAGAGCGUGGCCAACCACCUCUCACCUUUGUUCCCCCACGCGUUUUUAGAGAUAACAAAAUCUCUUCCCUCUUUCCCAACCACUCGAUCUCACUCUAUCCCUAUCCUCUCCCACCGACAUCAUCUCUCUCCCUCUCCAAACACUCGACCAAGAAGAUUCACUCUACCUCACGUUUCUCACUCGACCAAACCUCACCAUCUCUCUUCCUCUCCAAGCACUUGACCGCACCAUCACACUCGACCUCACCGUUCACUCGAUCUCUCCCCUCCGGCUUCACCAUCUCUCGCUGCUUUGUCACCCUCUCACUCGACCAAACCUCACUCGUCAUCUCUCGCACCGCCUCCCAUUUACUCGAUUGCAACGCCCUCCUCUCCAUCCGCCGCUUUCUCGACCUCGUCGUCCCAGCUCUCACUGCUCACGCCUCCGCCCUCUCUCUCUCAUUCACUCGACGACGGGACAGGUUUCAUCUUCACUCAACCGCUACUCGACUUCUUUCACUCGACCGCAUCGCAAUUUGGACAAAGAGGCUCUUCAUUCGAUUUUCGAUAAACGGCCAGAGUUUCUCUCUCUCGUUCUCGCAAGCUAACUCGACUUCGCCGGAGCUUCUCGUCGUUCACUCGACCACUCCGCCCUUCACUCCGCCGGACUCUCACCGUCGCCUCCUUUUCACUCGAUCUCGCCGCUCCAACUUCAACAUUCCUCACUCGAUCUCGCCUCCCAUUCACUCGACCGCAAGAGCACCUCAGCCUCUACUUCGAUCUCUUUCUCUCAACUCUCCGUUCUCACCGUUCACUCGACCUCGCCAUUCACUUCGCCUCCGUUCAUCUCUUCACUCGACCGCUCCUCAAACCGCCACCGUCUUCUCUCCAUUCGACAUUUACUCGGCCACACAGUCACCGUUUCUCAUUCUCUUCCACUCGACCACAAAAUUUGAACACACAAUUUGACUAUACUCGACCGGUUACUCGACCGUGAACUUGAUUGGUUUAGUGUUUGUGUUUAUUUGGACUAACAUAUUGAUAUUUGGUUUUAAGUUACAUUAUUUUUCAGGAAAUCAAUAUGAGUAACUACAGUGGCGAAUCCUCCAUGGAUGCAGAUUACAACGUCGAUGAAGCUGAAUCUUGGUCAACUGGACCAGAGAGAGAGCGACAGGCUUAUGAGAGCUUUAGAGCUGAGACCCAACGCUCAGUAGCUCGACGCAAUGAGAAGAGAGCUGAGAUUGCUAGAGAAAGAGAGCAAUGACCAGCAGAUAUGAGUUGAUCGACGAAGAUAUUGACGUCGAGUAUGAGCCUGAGUCAUGGCACAGAGAAACGAAGCUGUUGAACAAGCCUGAUGAACGACUUCUGGGGAACGAGGUACCCCUGUUAUGAGACUUUAGCAUAGCUGGGGCUACUGGAGGACGUACAUCACUUAUUCGAGAAGUGCCAUCUGGAGACGCUGAUGUCUUACCCGUACGUCGCUUACAAGAAGGAAACAAUAGAGUUUCUCUUCACUCUGCAAGUGGAGAUGUAUCAGGGACUUACAGCAGAUGAGCUGGAGAGUGAAGGGUUGGGGUUCUUGACUUUUUCAGUGAACGAGCAGCGUUACCAGCUAUCUAUCAAGAGCUUGGAAGGAUUAUUUGGUUUUCCCAGUGGAAAGGGAACUAAACCCAAGUUCGAGAGGGAAGAGUUGAAGGAUUUGUGGUUAACCAUUGGGAACGAUUUGGCGCUCAACUUUGCAAGGUCUAAGAGCAACCAGAUUCGUAGCCCUGUGAUCCGCUACUAUCAGCGCUCAGUAGCGAAUGUUCUGUACCCCAGGGAAUCUACAGGCACCGUGUUUAACACAGACAUGGAGAUGAUUGAUUCUCCACUCAAGGGCAUUCUCCGGAGAACAAAGGGGAAGAAGGUCCUAAAGGGCGACCUUAAUGAUGCACCACCGGUUAUGCUUCUGUUGAUCCACCUAUGUGGAUACAGGAAGUGGGCGCACACCAACGGGAAGAAGAAGGUGCGAGGAGCCCUUUGUGUAGGUGGCGUUGUGACACCGAUUCUGAUUGCAUGUGGUGUACCUCUCACGUCUCCAAGGUUUGAUCCGAGGAUGAUGGAUUUAGAUCACUUGCGUUGUUGUGAGUUUCUGGAGUAUGAUAUGGUUGGCGAUUUCUAUCGCUACAAAUUCGAGCACUCCCUGAUCCGAACAGCCAACAUUUUGCUUCCCUGCAUCGAGGCCACGACCAUACUUCAGGGUAGGAACAUUGACUUCAAACCUGCACGUGAUUACCUCUACUUUGAGAGCGCUCCACCGACUGAUGAUAAUGUCCCUACGACGGAAGCUAUAGAGGAUGAUAUUGCUGAGACGGAUGAGGAUAGGGAGGAGGAGUACGAUACGAGCAUGUAUCAUUUCAGAGAGCACGUACCUCCAGCGCGGGAGAGCAAGAGCUUGAGUGAAGCUCACAGAAACAACAGUAAGUUGCAGAGGUGGUGCAAGAAACAAGAUAGGCUACUCAUCAAGUGCUUCAAAGCCAUCACGUUUCUGACAGACAAGCUUAGCUGCUUCUCUUCUACCACAGCUAUUCCGCAGGGAGAGCGUCCUCAGGACAUGCCUUCGAGGAGAUAUGACGCGCCAGGGCCAAGUCAUCACAGGCCUGAGCCAAGUCACCACAAGCCUGAGCCUAGUGACCGAGUAGUCCCACCAGUCCCUGCAAGGCAUUCAUCAUUCGAGCCUCGGGAGCUCGGGAGAAAGAAGAAGGCUGCACUCGCUCGGUCUGGCAGCAGGAGUACACGACUUCUCCAGUCCCGUAGCUUACGCGACCGCGGUGCUGGCCGCAGCAGAAGAAGAGAGGUCGAGUAUCAUCAGAGCGGUGCUGGCCGCGACGAAGGAGCAGAGGUCGAGUACCCCCAGGGGGAAGCUGAGACACAGCAGGGAGAUUCUUCGAUGGCCUGGGAGCAAUCACAGGCAGCUAUUGGCGACCAACUUCGCUCCUUCUUCCACUGAGGUAUGCACCUCACUCCACCAUUGUAAUAUACCAUCUCUUGUUUUUAUUUUGUUUUUGUGAUGUGUUUUGUCCUAAGUACUCUCUUCCAAAUUUGGUCACACAGUGGACUGUGUGAUUUAAGUUUGGGGGAGGGCUCAGAAAGUGUGUAUUGCAUUGUAUAUAAUCUUGAGUCUGCAUUCAUCUAAGGCAUAGAAAAGAACCAAAAAAAUUGAAAAAUUUCAGAAAAUGAUUUCACAAAAAUAGAGUGUUCAUGUAGUUGCAUUGCAUUUAGGAUCGAGUCUAGAGUGUUUCGUUUAGGAUUGUUGCAUAUGCAUAGGGGAUAAUGAUGAGAUAGCCUUGUAAGCAUUUUGGUUCACCAGAUAAGCUCAGUGCCCUCGUUGUUAGUUGUUUGAUGCGUUGUCAUUGAAAUUGAAGUAAAACUGCACCAUGCCUAGAUUGCUCUACUCGACCACACUGUUAGGAUCUGAUAUCAUUCCCUAUCAAUUUGAACUUGAAUCUGAUUUAGAAUUAUCAUGUCUUGGCAUCGAAUUUGAACUCAUGGAUACCCUAAAAUACUUGGAUUUUCUUACUCCUUUUAACCACUCUUGUUGAUCCAAAUAGCUGACUCUCCUUAUUAGAGCAGUUAACCCGAACCCAAACAUGAACUUUCUUUCAAGCCCUAUAUCACUUGUGAGUGUUUGUGAGGUCUUAUUUCGAUUGAGCUUGGUAAAAAGUGUUAGCUUCGUAACGACAGAGAUAGUGUCUCAUGUAGUUCUAGUUCGCGUUCUUCGGACUGGAUAGGACUAGGUGGGCGCUUAUAUCAUGGGUUGGGAUGUCUUUAAAAGAAAAGGGUGAAUUUAUUGUUGAUAAGGAAAGGGAAAGAAUUCUAGGGGAAGUAAGCUAAAGAAGUUAGAAAAAAAUCUAGUAAAGGUUUUGGGAAUGUUAAAGAAAAGAAUGAGGUUCUUGUUAGCUAAAGAAGAAGGGUUAAAAGCCUUUGGUUUUAAAGAUUUAAAACAGGAACCUUAGUUGUUAAAGAAAUCCAAAUCCGCUAGAUGUAUCAGAGUGUUGAGAAAGCUUCUCCUAGAGUUAAGAGAAAAUAAAAGAAUGAUAUGAAAAAGAGUUUGAAAGAUUCAUGAGUGCAAAUGGUAGAGUUAAGUUGGGACAGGAGUUGGGAUUACCAUUAGAACUUCAUUGCUAUACUCUGGGUAGAUGGGAUCUUAUCUCUGUAUGCAUAACUUGGGACUUACCUUUAGCAUUCUACUAAAGCUCAAUCAUUCUUGAGGGAUCCCCUGUUACUUAAGCCUAUUCUGUAAGGGACCAUCUUUGUCUCUUGACCUUCACCUUAGCCAAAUGAGUUCAUUGAUGAUGCAUUGCUUGAUUCACGUUCCAGAACUAAUGAAUGUUAAAGGGAUUGGUAGAUUUGAAAGCAUGUGUAGGUCGAGUAUAAGAGACGGAUUGAUUGAUAACAAGGCAUGGCUAACGUUUUUGAGUAAAAUUCAAUCAUAUCGCAUCUUAGAACUACCAAUUUGGACAUUGAUUUUAUUUGCUCUAACAUAUGCUUUGGUUCUGAGUCCCCGCCUUCAAACCUCUCCUUCAACUAUGUCUUCUUAUUUGCUUGAGGGCAAGCAAAGACUAAGUUUGGGGGAGUUGAUAUGUCUAUAAUUUGCAUGUUUUCAGUGUCCAUUCAUCAUCGUUUUGAGUCCAGUUUCGUAUCAUUCAUCACUAUUUUAUAUCAUUUCUCAUCAUUCUUGCAUACUUUGCAUGAUUAGGAUAACUUUGCAUACAUAUUGCAUUUCUGAGUUGUUUUCAGGUGAUUUGGAGCUGUUUGCGAGCAAAUUGGAAGAAACGAGCCAGAACCAGAAGACAUACUCGACCCCCAGGUCGAGUGACUUUGGAGUCAUUCUUCCCACCUACUCGACCACUUGGUCGAGUAUCCUCAGCUCAGGCUACUCAAUGACACUACUCGAUCCCCUGGUCGAGUAUCACUUCGCCACACCACCUGACAACACUCGACCGUUCACUCUACCACAUCACUCGACCCCAUGGUCGAGUAUCACUUCGCCACACCACCUGACAACACUCGACCGUUCACUCUACCACAUCACUCGACCCCAUGGUCGAGUAUCACUUCGCCACACCAUCACCAUCACUCGACCGGACACUCGAUCACGUCUUCACAGUCUACUCAAAUCCGCACUCAACCAGACAAGCUGAGCACAAGGAAGAGAAGAGGAGAAGACAAAGUGUUUAGAAGCGGCUUGGACCUCCAUCGGAUCACGAAGCCCAUCUCGGCCCAUUAUCUUUCUAUGGGCCGGGUAAUUAGGUUAUUGGCCUGUUUACCAUCAUUUUAUUUUGUUUUGUAUUAAUAGAUGUCUUAGGGUUCUGUCCUGAGACAUCCAGUCGACAUUGAGUUUUUGCUUCAGUUUUAUUUCUGUUUUACUUUGCUGCGCCGCUUUUGCUUCUACAACCUGUAAUUCGAGACUUUUCCAAGUUAUUCAGAUUCCGCUUUUGAUUUCAUCUGUCAUCUUGUUUCUAUACUCUUUAUCUCUUUACUUAUGCAAUAUUAUCGUUUACCUGCGUUUAUGUCUUUAAGCAUGUUGUCUGAGUAGUGACUUAGAAUUAUUAGGGAUGGGAUAGAGUAGUUGUGGAAUCCGUAGUCUGUAGAAUGGUUAAGUUUUAGAAUUGAUUGUAUCCCUUUAGAACUAGUUGUGUUUACUGCUUAUUUUUUUCUGAUCAACUGGAAUUCGAUCCCAAGCAUUCCCGCACCCAGAAGGUGUUCGAUGGAAUGCUUGAUCCACUAGUUCCUGAGAUAUGCGUCUCUAUCCCAAGGGAUUGGCCGUUUAGAGCGUUUAUUGACUUUAUCAGUCUGUUCUUAUUGCUUGCAUAGUUAGAUUCCGUUAAUGGGAAUUAGUCUAGGCUAGCUUUGCUUGAGGAUUUCUAUCACGGGAGUGAAUUAAUCUGUUGUUGAACCUGUUGUCUAGGGAUAGCUUGAUUGCGCUUGUUAACCAUUCUAAUAGGCUAGGAUACCACUCUACUCGAUUACCCCAUCCUUAGGAGUUUCUUGUCUAUCUUAUUUCUCUGUUUUAUCGUUAUCGCUUAAUCGUUCUCAUUGCCUGUUUCUUAGUUUUUGUAAUUACUCGACCAACAUACUCGACCACACCCAGUGUCUGGCAACAGACUGUGCAGUGGAGUGCAGUUGUUUCAUUUCCUGUUUGUUACUCGACCAGUAUACUCGACCACACCUAGUGUCUGGCAACAGACUGUGCAGUCGAGUAUAUCUGUUUCAUAUCCUGCCUGUUACUCGACCACAUCCUACUCCUGGCAUCAGCCUGUUGUGGUCGAGUGAUUUUAGUAAUUCUGUUAUUGUUUCUGUUUUCUACAUGUUCACUUAGGACUGUUAGAAACCCCAAAACCGUUAUUGAUUGGCUUGACUUAGUGACUUCUCAUCACAUCUCAUUUGUCUGCAUCACACCCAUUUGGAUUGACACCUAAAAUACUACAAUGACAUGAUUGGUGUUUUAGGAUAAUUGACCAUAAAAACCUAUUAUCAGAAACUUAUCCCAAAAUUUAAAGUAGUGUUUCCAUGCUAGAAGAUACAAAGCAAAAGAUUCAUAAGGACUUCGACAUCACCAUCAAAGCCUUAGGAAGCAUGAAGAAGCUUGGUUAUUGUUUUGGAGACAAAUAUGACUAGAUGACAUGUGUAUGAUUGAGUAUAAGAACUCGAACCGCAACCGGAUCUUGAAAGUCCAAGUAGUGUUUCCUUAUUAGAAGGUACAAAGACAAAGACUCAUACGGACUUUGGGUACACCAUCAAAACUUUGGGAAGCAAGAAGAAGCCUGGUUAUUGUUUUGGAGUCAAAUAUGACUUGAUGUCAUGUGUAUGAUGGAGUAUCAGGACAAGAAUUGCAAUCGGAUCUUUAAAGCCUAAGUAGUGUUUCCUUGUUAGAAGAUACAAGCCAAUGAAUCAUACGGACUUUAGCUACACCAUCAAAGCUUUGUGAAGCAAGAAGAAGCUUAGUUAGUGUUUUAGAGUCAAAUAUGACUUGAUGUCAUGUGUAUGAUUGAGUAUACGAACUAGAACCACAACCGGAUCUUAAAACCCAAAUUAGUGUUUCCUUGUUAGAAGAUACAAAGCUAAAGACUCAUGUGGACUUUGGUAAUACUAUUAAAGCGUUGAGAAUCAAUAAGAAGCUUGGUUAGUGUUUUGGAGUCAAAUAUGACUAGAUGUCAUGUGUAUGAUUGAGUAUAAAAACUGGAACUGCAACCCGAUCUUAAAACCUAGUUAGUGUUUCCCUUUUAGAAGAUACAAAGCCAAAGACUCAUACGGACUUCAGCUACACCAACAAAGCUUUGAGAAGCAAGAAGAAACUUGGUUAGUGUUUUCGAGUCAAAUAUGACUUGAUGUCAUGUGUAUGAUUGGGUAUAAGAACUAGAACCGCAACCGGAUCUUAAAAGCCUAAGUAGUAUUUAGAAGAUACAAAGCCAAACAUUCAUACGGACUUUGGUUACACCAUUAAAGCUUUGUGAAGCAAGAAGAAGCUUUGUUAGUGUUUUGGAGUCAAAUAUGACUAGAUGUCAUGUGUAUGAUUGAGUAUAAAAACUGGAACUGCAACCCGAUCUUAAAAGCCUAGUUAGUGUUUCCUUGUUAGAAGAUACAAAUCCAAAAACUCAUACGGACUUCAGCUACACCAACAAAGCUUUGCGAAGCAAGAAGAAACUUGGUUAGUGUUUUCGAGUCAAAUAUGACUUGAUGUCAUGUGUAUGAUUGGGUAUAAGAACUAGAACCGCAACCGGAUCUUAAAAGCCUAAGUAGUAUUUGUUUUUUAGAAGAUACAAAGCCAAACAUUCAUACGGACUUUGGUUACACCAUUAAAGCUUUGAGAAGCAAGAAAAAGCUUGGUUAUUGUUUUGGAGUCAAAUAUGCCUAGAUGUCAUGUGUAUGAUUGAGUACAAGAACUCGAACCGCAACUGGAUCUUGAAAGCCCAAGUAGUGUUUCCUUGUUAGAAGAUACAACGCCAAUGACUCAUACGGAUUUCGGCUACACCAUCAAAUCUUUGAGAAGGAACAAGAAUCUUGGUUUGUGUUUUGGAGUUAGAUAUAAAUUGAUGUCAUGUCUAUGGUUGAGUAUUAGAACUUGAACCGCAAACGGAUCCGAAAAGGAAAAGUAGAGUUUCCAUGCGAGAAGAUACAAAGCCAAAGACUCAUACGGACUUCGACAUCACCAUCAACGCCUUAGGAAGCCAGAAGAAGCUUGGUUAGCUUUUUGGAGUCAAAUAUGACUAGAUGACAUGUGUAUGAUUGAGUAUAAAAACUCAAAUCGCAACCGGAUCUUGAAAGCCCAACUAGUGUUUGUUUGUUAGAAGAUACAAAGCCAAAUACUCAUACGGACUUUGGCUACACUAUCAAAGCUUUGAAAAGCAAGAAGAGGCUUAGUUAGUGUUUUAGAGUCAAAUAUGACUUGAUGUCAUGUGUAUUAUUGAGUAUAAGAACUAGAACCACAACCGGAUCUUAAAAGCCUAAGUAGUGUUUCCUUGUUAGAAGAUACAAAGCCAAUAAAUCAUGCGGACUUUAGCUACACCAUCAAAGCUUUGUGAAGCAAGAAGAAGCUUAGUUAGUGUUUUAGAGUCAAAUAUGACUUGAUGUCAUGUGUAUGAUUGAGUAUAACUAGAACCACAACCGGAUCUUAAAACCCAAAGUAGUGUUUCUUUGUUAGAAGAUACAAAGCUAAAGAUUGUUGUGGACUUUGGUAACACUAUUAAAGCGUUGGGAAUCAAGAAGAAGCUUGGUUAGUGUUUUGGAGUCAAAUAUGACUAGAUUUCAUGUGUAUGAUUGAGUAUAAAAACUAGAACUGUAACCCGAUCUUAAAAUCCUAAGUAGUGUUUCCUUGUUAGAAGAUACAAAGCCAAAGACUCAUACGGACUUCAGCUACACCAACAAUGCUUUGAGAAGAAAGAAGAAGCUUGGUUAGUUUUUUGGAAUCAAAUAUGACUUGAUUUCAUGUUUUUGAUUGGGUAUAAGAAGUAGAACCGCAACCGGAUCUUAAAAGCCUAAGUAGUAUUUCUUUUUUAGAAGAUACUCUAGUUUAGAGAUGUGUUUCUAGUUUAGAGAUGUGUUUAAGAACUCAAAGUAAAGAAUAACUCUCUUUAAUCUCUUUAGGAAAAUUACUCAAAACCUAAAGCUAUUGAUCUCUUCACAAUCUCUAAAAACCCAUAAGGUUAACCACAACUUGGUAACUCUUAUAUAGAGAUCAAUAGAUAAUUCUAGAAUAAACAUUUAGAUUAAUAUUAGAUAACUCCUAAUAAUAUCUUUAGGUAAUGAUAUGUCUAUAAUUUGCAUGUUUUACACAUCUUUUUAUCACCAUUUUGAGUCUAGUUUCAUCCAUCUUUCAUAGCAUUUGAUAAUAGGUUUUUAAUUAAUUAAACCUAAAGCACUAUCAUGUCGUUGUAAUACUGAAGGUUGUCAAUCCAAAUGGGUGUGAUGCUAACAAUCAAGAUGUGAUCAGAAGUCACUAAGUCAAGCCAAGCAAUAACAGGUUGUGGUGUGUUCUAGCAGUUCUAAGUGAACAUGGAGAAAAUAGAAAUUCAAGCAGAAACAGUAAAACACUCGACCAACACAGCUCUUUGCAGAGCACUGGGUGAGGUCGAGUGACAGGUCGAGUAACAGACAGAAAAUAAAAUACAGAUACUCGACUGCACAGUCUGUUACCAGACAAUUGGGUGGUCGAGUAACAAGAAAGAACUGCAGAAAUUACGCGACAGAUAACAAGAUGCAGUAAAUAACAGUGGAGUAAACACAGAAUUCAAUCAGAUAAAGAAUUCCUGAGGAUGGGGUAAUUGAGUAGUUUCGUUUCCUCAGUUUACAGGUGAUUGACAUGCUCAAUAAAUUAACCCUAGACAACAAGUUCAUUAACCAAAUCUAAGUGCCACCGCAACAGAGACUCUCAAGUUAACCUAGUCCCAGACUCAAUCACCAUUGACGAGAGAUAACCUAACAGGCAUUACGAAUCAACAAGUUAAAGCCAAAACGCUCCUUGCAACCAAUACCUUGGUACAGGGUCACGAAACUCUGGAAUUAGUGGUUCAGACAUUUCAUCGAACACCUUUUGGGCGCGGAAAUGUCUGGGCUCAAAUUCCAGUUGAUCAGAAAGCAAUAGGGAUUAAGAACAACUAAUCCAGAAGGGAUAUAUCAACCAAUACUCAAUCACCUAGCAUAUUGAGAAUUCUACACUACUCUAACCCAUCCUCAGAAACCUAUUCACUACUCAGACAUCAUAACAGUAAGCAUAAACGUUGAACAAGUUGAAAACAUGAUAACAACUGUGUAACAACAAGAUGAUAACAGAAUGAACAACAGUAAACGAAAUCAAGAACAAAAGCUGAAUACUGAAUACUAAAUAGAUAAAGAGAAAUCUGGAUUACAAAAGGUCUAGAACACAAGGUCUACGGAAUAAAACUAGAUAAAAACUUGUCUGCCAAAAUGUGAAGUACAUGCUACUUACAGCCAAAUAUUCCGAAACCCUAAUACUUAAAACGACGCAGUAUUGGGACGGAUUAAGAACUGUACUCGACCCAUGUGGUCGAGUGGGAGGUCGAGUGAAUAGCUGGAGUCUUCUUUUCUUCCUUGUGCUCGAGUGUCUGGUUGAGUGCGGAAUGAAGAAGGCUCUGAAGCUUGUCAUCGAGUAUGUAGUCGAGUGGUGGUGAUGGUGAUACUCGACUUCCACGUAGAGUGAAGAGGUCAAGUAGUGGUCUGGCAAUGAAGGUGAAGACACUCGGCCUCAGGGUCGAGUGACGUGAUCGAGUGAUGGUCAGGUGAUGGGAUGAAGACACUCGACCUCGUGGUCGAGUGAUGUGGUGAAGUAGUGAUGUCCUCUACUCGACCAGGGGGUCGAGUGAUCUGUUGAGAUCUUGAAGCUCCUAAUCGACCUCGGGGUCAAGUCGUUUGAUAUGAUCAGGCCCGCUUCUUCCAGAUAGCUUGUCAACAGCUCCAAAUCACCUGAAAUCAACGCAAAUAUGCAACAUGCAUGCAAAUCUAUCCAAAAAUUGUAAAGUGAUGACAAAUGAUGAGAAAUUGUAUAAAACAGUGAUGAUAUGAUGCUAAAGUGAUGACAAAUGGAUGCUCAAAACAUGCAAAAUACACACUUAUCAGCAUUCACCAUCAUUUUCAUACAUUUUGCAUCUUAAGUCGAGUCUAGGACUAGUCUUGCAUACAUUCUGCAUUCUGGAGUUGUUUCAGGUGUUUUGGAGCUAUUGGUGCUCAGAAAGAGGGAAAACAAAACAGAAAGUCACACUUCCACCAAACAUACUCGAUCACCAGUAGCAGAGAGGGAAGCAGUCAGCUCAGUAGUCCAUCCAGACACUUCUACUCGAUCACAGAGGAGACCAGGCAGUCCAUUCUGCCAGAUAUACUCGACCGUAGAGGAGAGGAGGCAGUCCAUUCUGCAAUUCUACUCUAUCGCAGAGGCAACCAUGCAGUCCACUUUGCCAGUCCACCAGUUAUACUCGAUCGCAGAGGAGAAGAACCAGUACAUCCUGACAGCUGACACACUUACUCGAUCACAGAGGCCAAGAAGCAGCCCAGAUCAUUCUGUCAACCAACCUACUCGACCACCACCUCGACCCUCUGAUCAAUCCGCACUCAACCAGAUAACCUGAGCAUCGGAAAGAGAAGAGAAGAGAAGAGAAGGCCCAUUCGAAACCCAUUCAAAGCCCAUCAGGAAGCCCACUUUGAGCCGACACUCUUGAUCACGCCGUCCAUGGGCCGUUAAGUGGGCUCGAAGCCGAGUUAACAUCUACAGGUCACCAAGUUUACUCGACCAUGGAGGCAUCCCAACUGCCCGUUUUCACUCGAUCACCAAGGCGACACUUUAGACCAUUUCUCAGACCAAUAUACUCGACCGUCGGACCAAACGUCAUGUGAACCCUGCGAUCGAGUAUCAUGCACCAGAGGAGGAGGAACAACAACAAGGUCCCAGUAUUCCAUGGGAUUACACCAGAGAGGAGAUGGCACACACAACCAUCAUUGUAUAUACCAUUUUCUGUUUUCGUUUUGUUUUAGUGUCUCUUGAACUCUUCUUUAGACUUCUAUUACACAAGGGACUGUAUAGUUUAAGUUUGGGGGAGGAUUCAAGAAGUAUUUAACAUGUUUGCUAGUGAGUCUUAUUUGCAUCAUUUGAGUCUUAACUUCAUCUAAGACAUAGAAAAAAAAUAAAAAAAAAAUGAAAACAUUUCUGAAAAUGUAUUCCACAAAAACAGAGUGUUCAUAUAGUUGCAUCACAUUUAGGAUUGAGUCUAGGAUGUUUCAUAUAGGAUUGUCGCAUAUGCAUUGGGGAUUAUGAUGAGAUAGCCUUGUAAGCAUUUUUGUUCAUCGUUUCUAGUUGUCUGAUGUGUAGUCAAUGAAAUUGAAGUAAAACUGCACCAUGUCUUGAAUGCUCUACUCGAUCACACUGUUAUUAUCUGAUACCAUUCCCUAUCAAUUUGAACCUGAAUCUGACUUGCAAUUAUCAUGUCUUAGCAUCGAAUUUGAACUCAUGGAUACCAUAUACAUACUUGGGUUUUCUUUAAACUUUUCACCACCCUUGCUAACCCAAGUAGCUGCUUCCAUCAUUGAAGUAGUUUCCCUUGCCCUUAACCAAACCUUUCUUUCGAGCCCUGUUAUAUAUCGUGUGCGAUUGUGAGGCCUGUUUCAGGAUUGAGCUUGGAAGAAAGUGUUAGGUUUGAGCCGACAAGAGUAGUGUCUCAUGUAGUUCUAGUCCACGUUUUCUGGGCUAGAUAGGACAAGGUGGGUGUCUAUUCUUGAAGUGGGGAUCGAGUAUAUGAGAAAAUAAGAGAGAAAGGAAAUGUUGAUGUUCUUAGGAGAAGGAAGUUGAGAAACAAGUUAGUCUAGUAAUGGAUUUUGGGGAACUAAAAAAAAAAUAGGCUCACAACAAAAGAAAAAAAGUCUAGAAAAGUCUUGAUCACAAGAAGAUAACAUGAGCCAUAGUUGUCAAAGAAAACCAAAGUCCACUAGAUCCAACAAAGUAAAAGAAACUUCUCCUUAGAAUAAGAGUCAAAGAAAAGAAAGAGUGGUUUGAUCCAAGAUAAGAAUGAGAAAAAAAUGCCUUGAGUGCAAAGGGUAGAACUAGGAUCAUAUUCUGGGCUUAAGGGUAGUACCAUCUGCUGGUGUAUACACUGUGUAUGUUUUUGGGUAGAUGGGAUACUAUUCUUGUAUGCAUAGGUUGGCUCUUACCUUUAGCAUUCUCCUAAAGCUCAGUCCAUUUCUUUUCAGAGUCCCCUGUUACUAAACUUGAACCACCAGAAAGGGACCAUCUGUGUCUCUUGACCUUCACCUUAGCCAAAUGAGUUCAUUGAUGAUGCAUAGCUUGAUUCACGUUCCUAAUCUAAUGAAUGUUAAAGGGAUUGGUAGAUUUGAAAGCAUGUGUAGGUCGAGUAUAAGAGUGGGAUUGAACUAUAAUAAGGCAUGGCUAACGUUUUUGAGUAGAGUUCGAUAAUAUGGCAUCCUAGAACUGCCAACUUGGACAUUGAUUCUAUCUGAUUUAUUUGAUGCUUUGGUUCUGAAUCCCCACCUUCAAACCUCUCCUUCAGCUUAUGUCUACUUGUUUGCUUGAGGGCAAGCAAAGACUAAGUUUGGAGGAGUUGAUAUGUGUAUAAUUUGCAUGUUUUACACAUCCUUUAAUCACCAUUUUGAGUCUAGUUUCAUCCAUCUUUCAUAGCAUUCACCAUCAUUUUCGUACAUUUUGCAUCUUUAGUCGAGUCUAGGACUAAUCUUGCAUACAUUCUACAUUCUGGAGUUGUUUCAGGUGUUUUGGAGCUAUUGGUGCUCAGAAAGAGGGAAAACAGAACAGAAAGUCACACUUCCACCAAACAUACUCGAUCACCAGUAGCUGAGAGGGAAGUAGUCAGCUAAGCAGUCCAUCCAGACACUUCUACUCGAUCAUAGAGGAGACUAGGCAGUCCAUUCUGCCAGAUAUACUCGACCGCAGAGGAGAGGAGGCAAUCCAUUCUACAAUUCUACUCUAUCGCAGAGGCGACCAUGCAGUCCACUUUGCCAGUCCACCAGUUAUACUCGAUCGUAGAGGUGAAGAACCAGUACAUCCUGACUGCUGACACACUUACUCGAUCACAGAGGCCAAGAAGCAGCCCAGAUCAUUCUGUCAACCAACCUACUCGACCACCACCUUGACCCUCUUAUCAAUCCGCACUCAACCAGACAACCUGAGCAUCGAAAAGAGAAGAGAAGAGAAGGCCCAUUCGAAGCCCAUUCGAAACCCAUUCGAAGCCCAUCAAGAAGCCCACUUUGAGCCGACACUCUUGAUCACGCCGUUCAUGGGCCGUUAAGUGGGCUCGAAGCCCGCUUUCUUAUUUUAGUAUAAAUAAGUCUCUAAGGGUUUCGCCCUGGGACAUGCACUUUUAGAGACACGAAUUUUGCACUAUUAUUCAGCAGCCGCUUUUCAUUCCUGCAAUUUUAUAUUUCGAUUUUUCUUCUAAGUCAUUCAGAUUUUGCUUUCAUUUGCUUGUUCAUCUUUCGUUUCUAUGUUAUUGUCUUUAAGCAUGUUGUCAGAGUAGUGACUCAGAAUUCUUAAGGAUGGGUUAGAGUAGUUGUGGAAUCCGUAGUCUGUAGAAUGGUUAAGUCUUAGAAUUGAUUGAAUCCCUUCAGGACUAGUUGUGUUUACUGCUUAUUUCUUUCUAAUCAACUGGAAUUCGAUCCCAAGCAUUCCCGCACCCAGAAGGUGUUCUAUGGAAUGCUUGAUCCACUAGUUCCUGAGAUAUUCGUCUCUAUCCCAAGGGAUUGGCCGUUUAGAGCGUUUAUUGACUUUAUCAGUCUGUUCUUAUUGCCUGCAUAAUUAGAUUCCGUUAAUGGGAAUUAGUCUGGGCUAGCUUUGCUUGAGGAUUUCUAUCAAGGGAGUGAAUUGAUCUGUUGUUGAACCUGUUGUCUAGGGAUACCUUGAUUGCGCUUGUUAACCAUUCGGAUAGGCUAGGAUACCACUCUAUUCGAUUACCCCAUCCUUAGGAAUUUCUCGUCUAUCUGAUUUCUCUGUUUUAUCGUUAUCGCUUAUUCGUUCUCAUUGCCUGUUUCUUCGUUUUUGCAAUUACUCGAUCAACUUACUUGACCACACCCAGUGUCUGGUAACAGACUGUGCAGUCGAGUACAGUUGUCUCAUUUCCUGUCUGUUACUCGACCAGAAUACUCGACCACACCCAGUGUCUGGCAACAGACUAUGCAGUCAAGUAUAUCUGUUUCAUAUCCUGUCUGUUACUCGACCACAUCCUACUUCUGGCAUCAGCCUGUUGUGGUCGAGUGAUUUUAGUAAUUCUAUUAUUGUUUCUGUUUUCUGCAUGUUCGCUUAGGACUGUUAGAAACCCCAAAACUGUUAUUGCUUGGCUUGACUUAGUGACUUUUGAUCACAUCUCAUCUGUUUGCAUCACACCCAUUUGGAUUGACACCUAAAAUACUACAACGACAUGAUUGGUGUUUUAGGAUAAUUGACCAUAAAAAACUACUAUCAGAUAACUCCCAAAGAUUUAAUCUAAUCCUUCUCAAAACUAAAUAACUUAUUUCUUAAGUAAUACUCAAGCUUACUCCAACAAUCUCCCCUUUAAGCUUGAGAUCACUCCUCUUCACUUCUUGAACACCCAUAAGAUCUCUCAUCUCUUUAAACUUCAUUCUCCCAAGUGCUUUAGUUAGGAUGUCUGCCUUUUGCUCAUUCCCCGGAACAUGCUCUACUUCCACUUGUCCAUUUUCGACGCAUUCUCUUAUGAAGUGGUAACGCCUAUGAAUGUGCUUGCUUCAGCCAUGGAAGACCGGAUUCUUGGUAAGGGCGAUUGCUGAUUUGUUGUCGAUUCUUAUGAGCACCUUCUCGCUUGGUUCUCCUAUAACUUCACUAAGCAAGUCUUGAAGCCAAAUUGCUUGCCUAGCUGCUUCUGUUCCUGCCAUAAACUCUGCUUCACAUGAGGACAUUGCCAUUGUUUCUUGUUUCUGUGAACACCACGAGAUGGGACUCUCUCCAAGGUAGGAAAUGUGACCGGCUGUACUCUUGCCAUCAUCAGGAUCAACAUUGUGGUUGCUGUCACUAUAGCCUACUAGCUUUGGUAUCUUUUCACUUGAUCGUUUAAAUACCAAACCGAGUGUAGUCGUACCUUUCAAGUACCUCAAACAUUGUCUCAUUGCAGCACCAUGUGAUUCAUUUGGAUCUUGCAUGUAUCGACUUAACACUCCCACGCAAAAGGACAGAUCCGGUCUUGUAUGAAUUAAAUAGCGAAGGCAACCAACUUUUUUCCUGUAUCCGGUAGCAUCAAUUCCUUCUUCAUGAUGUGAUUUGGACAAUUGCAAACCAGAUUCCAUUGGUAUGUGCAUCAAGUUACAGUCCUUCAUCCCAGCGUCUUCUAAAAUCUUCAUUGCAUAUCGGUGUUGACUUAGUGUGAUUCCUUGCUCUUGUUGACAGACUUCUAUUCCAAGAUAGUACGUCAAUUUUCCAAGAUCACUCAUCUCGAACUUAGAAGCCAUCUCUCUCUUGAAUCCACUAAUACUUCUUUCAUCUGUUCCGGUUAUGAAAAGGUCAUCUACGUACACUACCACAAGAAGAAAAAUAUUCCCACUUACAGUUUUACGAUAUACUGAUGGUUCUUUGGAACACUUCUCGAAUUGUAGUUCUGUAAGAAUCUGAUUCAGCUUAUGGUUCCAUGCUCUCGGUGCUUGUCGUAAUCCAUACAAAGCUUUGUGAAGCCUAUAGACUUUCCCUUCCUAUCCUCUUUCUUCGAAUCCUUCUGGUUGUGUCACAUACACGGUUUCUCUUAGUUCUCCAAGGAGAAAUGCUGUCUUGACAUCAAGAUGGUGUAUCUCCCAACCAUUUGAUGCUGCAAGGUUCACAAGUAGUCGUUUGGUUUCAAGGCGAGCUACGGGAGCGAACACUUCUUCAAAGUCCACUCCAUAGCGCCAAAACGUAACCUUUCGCGACCAAUCGAGCCUUGUAUUUGUUGAUGCUCCCGUCCGAGUUGCGUUUGAGUUUAAAAACCCACUUUAGACCUAUACGUUUAACUCCAUGCGGCAGAUCUUCAAGACUCCAUGUCUUAUUCUUUGUUAUUGAAAACAUCUCUUCUUCACACGCAAGUGUCCACUCUCUGGACUCCUUAGCCUCACUGAAACUGCUCGGUUCGUUAUUCAAUAUUAGAAGUAGCCUUUCUCCUUCUUCUUCUACAAGUAAUGCAUAGUCUUCAAGGUACUUUGGUCUUAUGGUUUGUCUUUGCGAUCUUCUUAGAUUAGGUUGUUGACUUUCUGUUCCAAGAUCAGCAGAGACUUCUUCAUUUUCUGCAAAGGUUUCAUGAUCAUGUUGUUCUUCAUUCACGUGAAUAGGCUGUGUUUGCUCUGUCUCACCAUAUUCGUUGUCUUCUUCUUGUAGACCAUGAUUCCCGAAUUCUCCAAGUGUGACACUGAAGCUUCCAUCUUGUUUAGGUUCGUUGUGAUUCCAAUCCCAUCCUUUUUCUUCAUCGAAUACAACAUCUCUACUCACCACAAUUUUCCGAUUUACUGGGUCAAGUAGACGAUAUGCCUUUGAACCCGGCUCAGUACCUAGAUGAACUAGCUUUCUCGACCUGUCAUCUAGUUUCCUCAAGUGUGGUGUCUCCACUUCUGCGUAUCCAAUGCAGCCAAAUACUGUGAGAUGAUUCACGUUUGGUUUCUUUUGGUAGAAAGCUUCAUAUGGAGUGUUGUCAUUCAACGAUCUUGUAGCUAUCCGGUUCAGCAGGUAGGUGGCGUGUCAUACUGUUUCUCCCCAUAAGUAACUAGGUAUAUGCAUGUGUUUCAUGACACUCCUUGUCAUUUCCAUUAGAGUUCUGUUUCUUCUUUCAAAUACACCAUUCUGUUGUGGUGUAUAUGGAGCAGUAAGAUGUCUUUUAAUACCCGAUUCUUCACAAAACUUAGUGAACUCAUGUGAUACAAACUCUCCUCCUCUGUCUAUUCUGAAAGUCUGAAUUUUGCUUCCAGAUUCUUGUUCAACUAAGACCUUGAAGCGCUUGAAUUUAUUGAGAGCAUCACUUUUCUCCUUAAGUAGAGUUGUCCACAUGUAUCUAGAAUGAUCAUCAAUAAUGACAAAGAUGUACCUGUUUCCUGCAGCUGUGCUUGGUGUUAUAGGACCACAUAAGUCUCCAUGAACGAGUUCAAGUAUCUUGGUGGCUCUGUAUGAGGUUGCUUGCGGGAAAAAUUGCCUUGAUUGCUUCCCAAACAAACAUGAAUCACAAACUUCUUUUUCGAUCUUAACGUGUGGGAUCCCUCUUACUAGCUCCUUUUGUAUCAUUGACUUGAUUGUGUCGAGAUUUAUGUGUCCCAAUCUUGAAUGCCAUCUACUUGAUUCGCUGAGGUUUGUUAGAUAUAGACACAUUGUUCCUCUUUUUGCCAUCCGAACCUUAUUAAGUCGAUUCUUUGAUCUUGUUGCUUUGACAAGUAAUUUUCCCUCUCGGUCAUGCAUUGUUAGAAUGUCAUCCUUCAUUCUUAUGUCACAGCCUGAUUCUCUAGCUUGUCCCAAGCUAAUGAUGUUGCUUUUUAAAUCUGGAAUGAAAUAGACAUCUGACAUUUUUCUUUGUUCGCCAUUCCUGUCAAAAAACGAGAUCGUUCCUUUCCCUUUGAUAUCAAUCCGUGAAUCAUCGCCAAAGCGUACUUUCCCGGUGAUAGAAUUAUCUAUACUAGUGAAGUAUCUUUGAUCUCCUGUCAUGUGGUUACUUGCUCCGUUAUCGAGAUACCAAACAUCAUUCUCUCCAUUGUUAGUUUCAUAGUUGCUUGGAAUACAAUUCUUCUCAUUUAGAUACACAACUUCGUGAACCAUGAGUUCAUCUGCAGUUUGUGUAUCGUCUUUCUCGUUCUCUUGGGCUUCCUGCAACUUGAAAAGACGAUUCGGGCAGUCAGAGGCGUAGUGACCUAAUUUGUCACAUCUAUAGCAAGUUACUUUGGAUGUAUCUCUUCCACCAUUCGACCUUCCUUGUCCUCUUCCUCUGUAAUAAGAGCGUCCUCCUCGACCUCUUCCUCUGUAGCAGUUGUUGUACUCUUGAUUUGUUUGGUAAUCUUGAUUAGUAUACAACAACUUGCUUUGAUCUUCUUGUGGUUCUUCAUCAUCUACCACUCGUUCUUCAUAUACUUUCAUUCGUCCUACAAUGUCUUCAAAUCCGUUUGUGUUAAGAUCAAGAACUUGUUCGAGUGAUGCAACUAUGUGAAUGAAUUUCUUUCGAGGCAGACUUGAGAGAAACUUCUUCACUAGUUUUGGUUCUUCGAUUUGAACUCCUAAAGCUGCAGAUUUGGAUGCAAUUUCUGCUAACUUUCCUACAAAAUCAUCAAUCUUCUCAAUAUCCUUCAUCUUCAAGCGAUCAAAGUCAUUCAUUAGAGUCUGUAGUCUCGCUUCUCUAACUCGUUCUGCUCCCACGUUCCUCGACCGAAUAGCUUCCCAAACCUUCUUUGCUACUUUAAAUUCUCCAAUUUGCAAAGCUAGGGAUUCGGGUAUGGAUUGAAUCAUUAAAGCUAUAGCCAUGAUGUUCUUGUCUGCAUCAACGGGUUCUGUUGACUCUGUUUCAAUAGCUUCCCAGACUUUGUGUACUUGAAGAGCAAUCUCCAUCUUCAUAGCCCAUGCCGUGUAAUUUGUUUGAGUUAGCAUAGGGCAUUGGAUCGAAGAAGUUCCUCCUCCUUCUUUUGGUUUCGUUCCCGACGUAACUAUUUUGCUCAUAUCUUCUCCUUACAAAUUCUUCUUUAUGGUCUCAAGAUUUGUAAGCUCUGAUACCAAUUGUAGUUUAGAGAUGUGUUUAAGAACUCAAAGUAAAGAAUAACUCUCUUUAAUCUCUUUAGGAAAAUUACUCAAAACCUAAAGCUAUUGAUCUCUUCACAAUCUCUAAAAAACGAUAAGGUUAACCACAACUUUGGUAACUCUUAUAUAGAGAUCAAUAGAUAAUUCUAGAAUAAACAUUUAGAUUAAUAUUAGAUAACUCCUAAUAAUAUCUUUAGAUAACUCCCAAAGAUUUAAUCUAAUCCUUCUCAAAACUAAAUAACUUAUUUCUUAAGUAAUACUCAAGCUUACUCCAACAGAUACAAAGCCAGACAUUCAUACGGACUUUGGUUACACCAUUAAAGCUUUGAGAGGCAAGAAGAAGCUUGGUUAGUUUUGGAGUCAAAUAUGCCUAGAUGGCAUGUGUAUGAUUGAGUACAAGAACUCGAACCGCAACUGGAUCUUGAAAGCCCAAGUAGUGUUUCUUUGUUAGAAGAUACAACGCCAAUGACUCAUACGGACUUCGGCUACACCAUCAAAGCUUUGAAAAAUCUUGGUUUAUGUUUUGGAGUUAAAUAUAAAUUGAUGUCCUGUCUGUGGUUGAAUAUUAGAACUUGAACCGCAAACGGAUCUGAAAAGGAAAAGUAGUGUUUCCAUGCUAGAAGAUACAAAGCCAAAGACUCAUACGAACUUCGACAUCCCCAUCAAAGCCUUAGGAAGCCAAAAGAAGCUUAGUUAGUUUUUUGGAGUCCAAUAUGACUAGAUUGCAUGUGUAUGAUUGAGUAUAAAAACUCAAACCGUAACCAGAUCUUGAAAGCCCAAGUAGUGUUUCUUUGUUAGAAGAUACAAAGCCAAAUACUCAUACGGACUUCGGCUACACCAUCAAGAAGCAAGAUGAAGCUUGGUUAGUGUUUUGGAGUCAAAUAUGAAUUGAUGUCCUGUGUAUGAUUUAGUAUAAGAACUAGAUUGGCAACCGGAUAUUGAAAGCCCAAAUAGUGUUUUCUUGUUAGAACAGACAAAGCUAAUGACUCAUACGGACUUCGGCUUCACUAUCAAAGCUUUGAGAAACAAGAAGGGGCUUAGUUAGUGUUUUAGAGUCAAAUAUGACUUGAUGUAAUCUGUAUGAUUGAGUAUAAGAACUAGAACCACAACCGGAUCUUAAAAGUCUAAGUAGUGUUUCCUUGUUAGAAGAUACAAACCAAAGACUCAUACAGAUUUUCGAUUACACCAUUAAAACUUUGAGAAGCAAGAAGAAUCUUGGUUAGUGUUUUGGAGUCAAAUAUGACCAGACGACAUUUGUAUGAUUUAGUAUAAGAACUCGAACUACAACCUAAUCCCGAAAGCCCAAAUAGUGUUUCCUUGUUAGAACAUACAAAGCCAAUGACUAAUACAGAUUUUGAUUACACCAUUAAAACUUUGAGAAGCAAGAAGAAUCUUGGUUAGUGUUUUGGAGUCAAAUAUGACAAGAUGGCAUGUCUAUGAUUUAGUAUAAAAACUCGAACUACAACCAGAUCUUGAAAGCCCAAGUAGUGUUUCCUUGUUAGAAGAUACAAAGCCAAAUUCUCAUACGGACUUUGGUUAAACCAUCAAAGCUUUGAGAAGCAAGAAGAAGCUUGGUUAGUGUUUUGGAUCAAAUAUCACUUGAUGUCAUGUGUAUGGUUAAGUAUUUGGACUAGAUCUUGAAACUUAUCCCAAAAGCAAAAGUAGUGUUUCCAUGCUAGAAGAUACAAAACAAAAGAUUCAUACGGACUUUGACAUCACCAUCAAAGCCUUAGGAAGCAUGAAGAAGCUUGGUUAUUGUUUUGGAGUCAAAUAUGACUAGAUGACAUGUGUAUGAUUGAGUAUAAAUACUCAAACCGCAAUCGGAUCUUGAAUGCCCAAGUAGUGUUUCCUUGUUAGAAGAUACAAAUCCAAAGACUCAUAUGGACUUCGGCUACACCAUCAAAACUUUGAGAAUCAAGAAGAAGUUCUGUUAGUGUUUUGGAGUCAAAUAUGACUGGAUGUCAUGUUUAUGAUGGCGUGUAAAACUAGAACCACAACGCGAUAUUAAAAGCCUAAGUAGUGUUUCGAUGUUAGAAGAUACAAAGCCAAUGACUCAAACGAACUUCAGCUAGACCAUCAAAGCUUUGAGAAGCAAGAAGAAGCUUAGUUAGUGUUUCUGAGUUAAAUAUGACUUAAUGUAAUAUGUAUAAUUGAGAAUAAGAACUAGAACCACAACUAUAUCUUAAAAGCCUGAGUAGUGUUUGCUUAUUAGAAGAUACAAAGCUAAAGACUCAUGUGGACUUUGGUUACACUAUUAAAGCUUUGAGAAGCAAGAAUAAGCUUGGUUAGUGUUUUGGAGUAAAAUAUGACUACAGGUCAUGUGUAUGAUUGAGUAUAAAAACUCGAACCGCAACCUCAUCUUGAAAGCCCAAGUUGUAUUUCCUUGUUGGAAGAUACAAAGCCAUAGAGUCUUACGGACUUCGGCUACACCAUAAAGACCUUGAGAAGCAUGAAUAAGCUUGGUUAGUGUUUUGGAGUCAAAUAUGACUUGAUGUGAUGUGUAUGAUGGAGUAUAAGUACAAGAACCACAACCUGAUCUUAAAAAUCUAAGUAGUGUUUCGUUGUUUGAAGAUAUAAACCCAAAGACUCAUACGGACUUCGACAUCACCAUCAAAGUUUUAGGAAGCAUGAAGAAGCUUGGUUAGUGUUUUGGAGUCAAAUAUGACUAGAUGGCAUGUGUAUGAUUGAAUAUAAAAACUAAAACCGCAAUCGGAUCUUGAAAGCCCAAGUAGUGUUUCCUUAUUAGAAGAUACAAAGCCAAAUACUCAUACAGACUUCGGCUACACCAUCGAGAAGCAAGAAGAAGCUUGAUUAGUGUUUUGGAGUCAAAUAUUAAUUGAUGUCCUGUGUAUGAUUGAGUAUAAGAACUAGAUUGGCAACCGGAUCUUGAAAGCCCAAAUAGUGUUUCCUUGUUAGAAGAUACAAAGCCAAUGACUCAUACGGACUUCAGCUACACUAUCAAAGCUUUCAGAAGCAAGAAGAGGCUUAGUUAGUGUUUUAGAGUCAAAUAUGACUUGAUGUCAUGUGUAUGAUUGCGUAUAAGAACUAUGAUAAUAGGUUCUUACUCAAUUAAUCCUAAAACACUAAUCUUGUCGUUGUAGUAUUUUAGGUGUCAAUCCAAAUGGGUGUGAUGCAGACAUAUGAGAUAUAAUCAGAAGUUUCUAAGUCAUGCCAAGCACAAUUUGGUUGGUUUUCUAACAGUCCUAGUGUUGAUGCAGUAAACAGUAAAAAGUCGCAGAAAUGACUGAUAUACUCGAUUGCAGGGUCGACUCCCAGAAAGGACCCUGUGAUCGAGUACAAUAGAAUGACAGAGAGUAAAAAUGCAGAAAUGGACCAGUUUACUCUAUCACACAGUCUCACUGUCAGUAGCAGGGUGUGAUCGAGUAGGAUGGUUGAAAACACGAAAAUACUAAAAUUCAAUAGCAAGUGAAUGAAGUAGGUAAGUAAACAAAGAAAUCAAUUGGAUGAGAAACUCAUAAGGAUGGGGUAAUCGAAUAGUGUGGUCUCCCUAAUCAAUUCAGUUGGUUAACAAAUCUCAAUUAAGCUAUCCCUAGACAACAGGUUCAACAACAGAUUAAUACACUCCCGUGAUAUAAAUUCUCAAGCAUAGCUAGACACUGACCUAAUUCCCAUUAGCGAUCUCUAACUAAGCAGGCAAUAAGAACCGACUGUUAAAGCCAAUAACCGCUCUAAACGGCCAAUCCCUUGGGAUAGAGACGAUUAUCACUGGAAUUAGUAGAUGCAACGUUCUAUAAAACGCCUUCUAAGCGCUGGAACGUCUGGGAUCGGAUUCCAGUUGAUCAUAAAGGAAUAAACAGUAAACACAACUAAUCCAGAAGGGAUUCAAUAAAUCUACACUUAACCAACAGAUUCGACCAGGGGUUCCACAGCUACCCUAUCCCAUCCUUAGAAACUCUAAUCACUACUCAGACAACAUGCUUAAAGACAACAACAUAGAAACGAUUGAAUAUUGCAUACUAAAAAUAUUAAAGGGAAUGAAACAAAGAUGAACAAGCAAAUGAAAUCAAAAUCUGAAUAACUUAGAAGAAAAAUCGAAAUACAAAGUUGCAGGAAUGAAAAGUGGCUGCUGAAUACUAGUGCAAAAUUCGUGUCUCUCAAAGUGUAUGUCUCAAGGCGAAACCCUUUGAGACUUAUUUAUACUAAGAUAAGAAAGCGGGUUUCGAGCCCACUUAACGGCCCAUGGACGAUGUGAUCAAGAGUGUCGACUCAAAGUGGGCUUCCUGAUGGACUUCGAAUGGGCUUCGAAUGGGCCUUCUCUUCUCUUCUCUUUCCGUUGCUCAGGUUGUCUGGUUGAGUGCGGAUUGAUCAAAGGGUCGAGGUGGUGGUUGAGUAGGUUGGUUGACAGAAUGGUCUGGGCUGCUUCUUGGCCUCUGUGACCGAGUAUGUGUGUUAGCUGUCAGGAUGGAUUGGUUCUUCUCCUCUGCGAUCGAGUAGAAUUGGUGGACUGGCAAAGUGGACUGCAUGGUCGCCUCUGCGAUUGAGUAGAAUUUUCAGGAUGGACUCCUUCAACUCUGUGAUCGAGUAGAACUGCAGUUGGGAUUGACUCCUCUCCUCUGCGAUCGAGUAUAAGUGUCUGGAUGGACUGUUGAGCUAACUGCUUCCCUCUCUCCUACUGGUGAUUGAGUAUGUUGGUGGAAAUGUGACUUUCUGUUCUGUUUUUCCUCUUUCUGAGCACCAAUAGACGCAAGACUAGUCCUAGACUCGACUAAAGACGCAAAAUGUACAAGAAUGAUGAUGAAUGCUAUGAAAGAUGGAUGAAACUAGACUCAAAGUGGUGAAAACAGGAUGUGUAAAACAUGCAAAUUAUAGACAUAUCAACUCCCCCAAACUUAGUCUUUGCUUGCCCUCAAGCAAACAAGUAGACAUAAGCUGAAGGAGAGGUUUGAAGGUGGGGAUCCAGAACCAAAUCAUCAAAUAAAUCAGAUAAAAUCAAUGUCCAAAAUGACAGUUCUAGGAUACGAUAUGAUGGAAUUCUACUCAAAAACGUUAGCCAUGCCUUAUUAUAGUUAAAUCUCACUCUUAUACUCGACCUACACAUGAUUUCAAAUCUACCAAUCCCUUUAACAUUCAUUAGUUUAGGAACGUGAAUCAGGCAAUGCACCAUCAAUGAACUCAUUUGGCUAAGGUGAAGGUCAGGAGACAAAGAUGAUCCCUUUCUGGUUGUUCAAGUUUAGUAACAGGGGACUCUCAAAAGAAAUGGACUGAGGUUUUGGAGAAUGCUAAAGGUAAGAGCCAACCUAUGCAUACAAAAAUAGUAUCCCAUCUACCCAAUAACAUAGACAGUGUAUACACCAGCAGAUGGUACUACCAUCAAGCCCAAAAUAUGAUCCUAGUUCUACCCUUUGCACUCAAGGUAUUUUUUUUUCUCAUUCUUAUCUUGGAUCAAACCACUCUUUCUUUUCUUUGACUCUUAUUCUAAGGAGAAGUUUCUUUUACUUUGAUGGAUCUAGUGGACUUUUGGUUUUCUUUGACAACUCUGACUCUUGUCCUAACACUUUCUUCCAAGCUCAAUCCUGAAACAGGCCUCACAAUCGUGAUCUUUACUAUAUUACGGUGAGAAAAUUAUAGGUUCGGACAUUGUUUUCAAAUAUUUUGCAUGUAUCAAAGCUCUUAUAAACAAGAUAGGAUAUUCCUACAUAGCUGGUGGGACCCCAACAAAUGGAUCAUGAAGUCUUCAAAAAAGAAUAGAUACGAUUGCAUUGCAUGUAGUAACAGAUGCGAUCAUACCAGCACUAAUGCACCAGAUACCAUCAGAAAUCCGCAGUUAAGCGUGCUUGGGCGAGAGUAGUACUACGACGUGUGACCUCCAGGAAAGUCCUUGUGUUGCAUAACUCUUUUGUUUUCGAUUUUUCUCAUAUUUUUUGUUAAAAAUGUAUUACUCUAUAACUUUUAGACCGUGAGGCCAAACUUGGCAUGUGAUACCUUUUCGGAAAGCCGAAAGAGUGCUCUCAAACGAAUGAGGAAUGGGUUGUUUUUCUACUCCAAAUUUUGACCUAAAUGUACUUUUUAUGGCCUUUUCUUGAUCUUUGCUAUAUUACGGGACAAAAAUUAUAUGUUCGGACAUUGUUUUUGAAUAUUUUGCAUGUAUCAAAGCUCUUAUAAACAAGAUAGGGUAUUCCUACAUAUCUGGUGGGACCUGAUAAUAUGUUUUUAGUCAAUUAUUCUAAAACACCAAGCAUGUCGUUGUAGUAUUUUAGGUGUCAAUCCAAAUGAGUGUGAUGCAAACAGAUGAGAUGUGAUCAGAAGUUACUAAGUCAAGCCAAGCAAUAACAGUUUUGGGGUUUCUACAGUCCUAAGUGAACAUGCAGAAAACAGAAACAAUAACAAAAUUACUAAAAUCACUCGACCACAACAGGCUGAUGCCAGAAGUAGGAUGUGGUCGAGUAACAGGUAGGAUAUGAAACAGAUAUACUCAACUGCACAGUCUGUUGCCAGACACUGGGUGUGGUCGAGUAUACUGGUCGAGUAACAGACAGGAAAUGAGACAACUGUACUCGACUGCACAGUCUGUUGCCAGACACUGGGUGUGGUCGAGUAAGUUGGUCGAGUAAUUGUAAAAACUAAGAAACAGGCAAUGAGAACGAUUAAGCGAUAACGAUAAAACAGAGAAAUAGUAUAGACGAGAAAUUCCUAAGGAUGGGGUAAUCGAGUAGAGUGGUAUCCUGAUAGGUUACGGGUGACGUUGGCUGGUGUGAGAAGAAGGGCGAGAUCAAAUGGAAGGAAAGGCAGAGCUCGUGAGAAGUUCCUGAGGAAGCUUCUAUUUAAAAGUGGCUAAGGCACAAAAAGACAGCUCGCCAGCUCGGCACAGAAAGACAGCUCGCCAGCUCGCCAACUGUGUCGUUUUACUUUUGGGUUAUCGAAAUGCUGCGUUUUGUAUUGAGUCUCAGUAGAUGCUAUUUAAGGAACCUUCCCUUUUAGGGUUUUGUUAUCAAAAUAAACAAUCAACAACAUUAAUCUUGAAAUUCUCUCUCUCAUCUACACUCUCCGCCGUUCAAGGUGCAUUUCCUAUUGUCUUGUUAUUUUAUCAGUCUUAGUCUUUUUCUUGUCUUCGAUAGGGUCAGACCUUAUCAUUGGUGCUUCUUCAUUGGAGAGACCGAUGGCUCCACCGUUACCUAAAGCCACCGCAUCUGAUACCGCCGUCGAGUCACCUGAACUCGGCUCGACAACAACACCACCACCUGAGGAACCUCCGCCAGCUCCACAUUUGGACACACGAGUAGACAAAGUGGAGAAAGAGAUGACUUAUGUCAGAGAGGCUCUAACCCAGAUCCUUAGAAAUCAGAUCUUUGGGGUUACGCGUGAGGGAAGUGCAGCUCCGAUAGGGUUCUCCACUCCGACACCGGCACUGCCUUUACAAGCUUCAUACCCACAACAUCUGGAAGGACCGAAUAGAGGAGUCCGUUUUUCUUCUCCAGCUCCGGCGUUACCAGUCUACACCUCUCAUCCUCAACACUUGGAGGUACAGAACAGAGAGACUCUGUUUUCCGGCACAAAUCAACGGGACACACACCCUCGGCCCUUACUCUUUGACCAGUCGCGAUACCAGGCGUCGACUUCAGAGAUACCUCGACUUCCAGCUUCACCCUUCGAACCGCGUCGCUUUCACUCGUCACCAUUAGAACCACCAGGGUUUCAGCUGAAUGCCUCCACGGGUCUUCCAUCAUCUUCAGGUUUUCCAUCUAAUCCUUCCACGGGGUUUCAGACUACUCCAACCUUCCAAACACAAACGUUUCCGCCUCAAUCUGCGCCACAUCAACCUCGGUUUGAAGCAGCCCCGCGUAGGACUGUGGAUUAUCCGGCUUAUGAAGGAGGCAAUGCCGACGAUUGGUUGUUCCGGCUAGAACAGUGCUUCUUAUCCAAUCGCACCCUAGAGGAAGAAAAACUGGAAAAGGCUGUGUCUUGUUUAACAGGAGCAUCAGUUACAUGGUGGCGCUGCUCUAAGGACAGAGAACAAAUCUAUACCUGGAGGGAAUUUCAAGAAAAGUUCAUGUUACGUUUUCGACCAAGCAGAGGCAGUUCUGCUGUGGAUCAUCUCCUCAACGUGAGACAAACAGGAACCGUGGAGGAAUACAGAGAACGUUUUGAAGAGCUCACAGUCGACUUACCCCAUGUCACAUCUGACAUAUUGGAAUCUGCAUUCCUCAAUGGACUGAGAAGAAGUCUUCGAGACCAGGUAGUUCGCUGUAGGCCAGUGAAUCUUGCAGAUAUUGUUGAGAUAGCUAAACUCAUUGAGUCACAAGAGCGGAAUGCUGUUAGUUACCAAGUGCGAAAUCAAGCUAGAACCAACACAGCUCCAUUCAACAAUCAGGUCUCCACAGGAUCUAGAGUGGUAGACCGUGCUCCAACGAGACAACCCUUCAUUCCUAGUAGGGAUACAACUCGUGCUUCAGGCAGUGGGGAAGCCAGGAACUCAAACCCGUGCCGCUACUGUGGAGAUAGAUGGUUUCAAGGCCAUAAAUGCAAACCACAAAAGCUCAAGGGUCUAGCCAUAACAGAAGAGGUUGAAGAGGAGAGUCCUCUAAUUGAAGAGUUGAAUGAACCACUGACAGAAGAAGAAGGGGAUCCAGAACCUGCAGAAGGUUUCAAGGUAAUGACACUCAGCUCCUUGAAUGAUGAGUCUCAAGAGCAGUCAAUGAAAAUGAGGGGAUACAUUGGCAACACCAAAGUGGUGUUAUUGGUUGAUUCAGGAGCAACUUGCAACUUCAUUAGUGAGGCUUUGGUAAGAGAGAAAGGAUGGUUAGUGACUCAAACUCGCAGUUUUGGAGUUAAAGUUGGUGGAGGCAGAAUCAUCAAAAGUAGUGGGAAGUGUGUCGAUAUACCACUAGAGGUCCAAGGAAUUGAGUUUGUACAAGACUACUACUUAUUUGACUUGGGAGAUUUGGAUUUGGUUCUGGGAUUUUCUUGGUUGGCAGGACUAGGAGAAACAAGAGCCAACUGGAGAGAUUUGAGGAUCAGUUGGCAGAUAGGUCGCACAUGGGUAUCCUUAUACGGCGACCCGGAUCUAUGUAGAGGACAAAUUUCGAUGAGGUCUAUGGAAAGAGUUAUCAAAUACACUGGAACUGCAUAUCUCUUGGAACUAGCAUCUUUGUUUGAAAGCAAGAAACAGGAAGAGCAAACAGCCUUGCAGCCUGCAAUCCAGAGGCUUUUGGAUCAGUACCAAGGGGUUUUUCAAACUCCACAGCUAUUGCCACCAGUUCGCAACAGAGAACACGCCAUUACCUUACAAGAAGGGUCUUCACCAGUCAAUAUCCGACCAUACAGGUAUUCUUUUGCUCAAAAGAAUGAGAUAGAGAAGCUUGUGCGUGAAAUGUUGAAUGCUCAGAUUAUAAGACCUAGCGUGAGUCCAUAUUCAAGUCCAGUUCUCCUAGUGAAAAAGAAAGAUGGAGGAUGGCGCUUCUGCGUUGAUUAUCGAGCAUUGAAUGAAGCUACAAUACCCGAUAAGUAUCCGAUUCCUGUUAUAGAAGAGCUAUUGGAUGAACUGAAAGGAGCCACAGUGUUUUCAAAGUUGGAUCUUAAAUCAGGCUAUUUCCAGAUAAGGAUGAAACUGAGUGAUGUGGAGAAGACUGCCUUCAAGACACAUGAGGGCCAUUAUGAAUUUCUGGUAAUGCCAUUUGGCUUGACCAACGCCCCCUCCACCUUUCAAAGCGUCAUGAAUGACCUAUUCAGGCCAUACUUGCGAAAGUUCGUCUUGGUUUUCUUCGAUGAUAUACUAGUUUAUAGUCCUGAUAUGAAGACACAUUUGAAGCAUUUGGAAACCGUCUUACAGCUACUGCAUCUUCAUCAGUUCUAUGCCAAUUUUAAAAAGUGCACAUUUGGAAGCACUAGGAUCUCAUAUUUGGGACACAUUAUCUCUGAGCAAGGAGUCGCAACAGAUCCAGAAAAGGUGGAAGCAAUGCUCCAGUGGCCUUUACCUAAAUCUGUGACUGAGUUAAGAGGCUUCCUAGGAUUCACUGGCUACUAUCGCCGAUUUGUCAAGAAUUACGGCCAAAUCGCCAGACCACUCAGAGAUCAGUUAAAAAAGAACAGUUUUGAUUGGAAUGAGGCAGCUACUUCUGCAUUUCAGGCUCUCAAAGCAGCUGUUUCAGCACUACCUGUGCUAGUGUUACCAGAUUUCCAGCAGGAGUUUACUGUGGAAACGGAUGCAUCAGGGAUGGGGAUUGGAGCAGUACUGUCACAGAAUAAGAGGCUUAUUGCAUUUCUCAGCCAAGCCUUCUCCAGUCAAGGCAGAAUAAGGUCAGUUUAUGAACGUGAACUGUUAGCCAUAGUGAAAGCUGUCACAAAGUGGAAGCAUUACCUAUCAAGUAAAGAAUUCAUUAUCAAGACAGAUCAACGCAGCCUCAGACAUUUGUUGGAACAGAAGUCGGUGUCCACAAUACAGCAGAGAUGGGCGUCUAAGUUGAGUGGACUGAAGUAUAGGAUCGAAUAUAAACCAGGAGUUGACAAUAAGGUAGCUGAUGCACUCUCAAGGAGACCUCCAACUGAGGCUCUCUCACAGCUCACUAUAACUGGUCCUCCUACUAUCGACUUGACUGCACUAAAGGCAGAAAUUCAGCAGGAUCAUGAGUUGAGCCAGAUACUUAAGAACUGGGCACAAGGGGACCACCAUGAUUCUGACUUCACUGUGGCAGAUGGCUUGAUUUACAGAAAAGGCUGUUUGGUAAUUCCUGUAGGAUCUCCCUUCAUUCCAAAGAUGCUAGAGAAGUUCCACACCAGUCCUAUUGGAGGUCAUGAAGGUGCCCUUAAGACAUUCAAACGACUCACAAGUGAAGUAUACUGGAGAGGGUUGCGGAAAGACGUGGUUAACUACAUCAAGGGAUGCCAAAUCUGUCAAGAGAAUAAAUACUCUACCCUCUCUCCAGCCGGUUUACUAUCACCUCUCCCUAUUCCACAACAGAUUUGGAGUGAUGUCAGCUUGGACUUUGUAGAAGGGUUGCCAAGCUCUAACAGGUUUAACUGUAUAUUGGUAGUGGUGGAUAGAUUAAGUAAGUAUAGUCAUUUCAUUCCACUUAAACAUCCAUUCACUGCCAAGACUGUAGUUGAGGCCUUCAUAAGAGAUGUAGUCAAGCUACAUGGCUUCCCAAACACACUGGUUUCGGACAGGGACAGGAUUUUCCUGAGCGGAUUCUGGUCUGAGUUGUUUAAGCUGCAGGGCACGGGGCUACAGAAGAGUACAGCCUAUCACCCACAAACUGAUGGGCAGACCGAGGUUGUUAACAGAUGUCUUGAGUCUUAUUUGCGAUGCUUUGCAGGGAGGAGGCCUACAUCGUGGUUUCAGUGGUUACCUUGGGCAGAAUACUGGUACAACACCUCGUACCAUUCAGCCACCAAAACCACUCCCUUUCAAGCAGUCUAUGGUAGAGAACCACCAGUUCUGCUCAGGUAUGGCGAUAUUCCAACCAAUAAUGCGAAUGUAGAGGAGUUACUUAAGGAUAGGGAUGGAAUGCUGGUUGAAUUAAGAGAGAACUUGGAGAUAGCUCAAGCUCAAAUGAAAAAGGCUGCUGAUAAAAGUCGACGUGAUGUAGCGUUUGAAAUUGAUGAAUGGGUUUACUUGAAGCUGCGUCCUUAUAGGCAAAGUUCUGUGGCUCAUAGGAAGAAUGAAAAGCUGUCCCAGCGCUACUUCGGUCCAUUUAAAGUGCUGCACCGCAUAGGUCAGGUCGCUUACAAGCUCCAACUACCCGAACACAGCACAAUUCACCCGGUGUUCCAUGUCUCUCAACUGAAAAGGGCUGUACCUCCGUCAUUCACCCCGCAGGAACUUCCCAAGAUACUAUCACCCACACUGGAAUGGAACACAGGACCUGAGAAGCUGCUAGAUAUCCGACAGAGCAACACAAAUUCAGGACCAGAGGUGCUGGUACAGUGGUCUGGAUUAUCAACCUUGGAAUCAACUUGGGAGCCGCUCCUCACUUUGGUGCAGCAGUACCCGGACUUCGACCUUGAGGACAAGGUCAGUCUUCUGCGCGGGAGCAUUGAUAGGUUACAGGUGACGUUGGCUGGUGUGAGAAGAAGGGCGAAAUCAAAUGGAAGGAAAGGCAGAGCUCGUGAGAAGUUCCUGAGGAAGCUUCUAUUUAAAAGUGGCUAAGGCACAGAAAGACAGCUCGCCAGCUCGGCACAGAAAGACAGCUCGCCAACUGUGUCGUUUUACUUUUGGGUUAUCGAAAUGCUGCGUUUUGUAUUGAGUCUCAGUAGAUGCUAUUUAAGGAACCUUCCCUUUUAGGGUUUUGUUAUCAAAAUAAACAAUCAACAACAUUAAUCUUGAAAUUCUCUCUCUCAUCUACACUCUCCGCCGUUCAAGGUGCAUUUCCUAUUAUCUUGUUAUUUUAUCACUCUUAGUCUUUUUCUUGUCUUCGAUAGGGUCAGACCUUAUCAUAUCCUAGCAUAUUCGAAUGGUUAACAAGCGCAAUCAAGCUAUCCCUAGACAAUAGGUUCAACAACAAAUCAAUUCACUUCUGUGAUAGAAAUCCUCAAGCAAAGCUAGCCCAGACUAAUUCCCAUUAACGCAAUCUAACUAUGCAGGCAAUAAGAACAGACUGAUAAAGUCAAUAAACGCUCUAAACGCCCAAUCCCUUGGGAUAGAGACGAAUAUCUCAGGAACUAGUGGAUCAAGCAUUCCAUCGAACACCUUCUGGGUGCGAGAAUGCUUGGGAUCGAAUUCCAGUUGAUCAGAAAGAAAUAAGCAGUAAACGCAACUAGUCCUGAAGGGAUUCAAUCAAUUCUAAAACUUAACCAUUCUACAGACUACGGAUUCCACAACUACUCUAUCCCAUCCCUAAGAAUUCUAUGUCACUACUCAGACAACAUGCUCAAAGACAUAAACGCAGAUAAAUGAUAAUAUUGCAUAAGUAAAGAGAUAAAGAGUAGAGAAACAGGAUGAUAGAUAAAAUCAAAUGCAGAAUCUGAAUAACUUGGAAAAAUCUCGAAUUAUAGGUUGUAGAAGCAAAAGCGGCGCAGAAGAGUAAAAUAGAAAAUAAAACUGAAACAAAAACUCAAUGUCGACUAGAUGUCUCAGGAAAGAACCCUAAGACAUCUAUUUAUACAAAACAAAAUGAUAGUAGACGGGCCAAUAACCUAAUCGCCCGACCAAUAGAGUGAUAAUGGGCCGAGAUGGGCUUUGUGAUCCGAUGGAGGUCCAGGCCGCUUCCAAACACUUUGUCUUCUCCUCUUCUCUUCCUUGUGCUCAGCUUGUCUGGUUGAGUGCGGAUUUGAGUAGACUGUGAAGACGUGAUCGAGUGUCCGGUCGAGUGAUGGUGAUGGUGGUGAGUGAUGAUACUCGACCAGGGGGUCGACUAACUUGGUAGAGUGAAUGGCCGAGUGUGGUCAGGUGGUGUGGCGAAGUGAUACUCGACCAGGGGGUCGAUGGCGUCAUCGAGUAGCCUGAGCUGAGGAUACUCGACUAGGGGGUCGAGUAGAUGGGAAGAAUGGCUCCAAAGUCACUCGACCAGGGGGUCGAGUAUGGUGCUGGAUGCACACGACCUGGUGGUCGAGUAUGUCUUCUGGUUCUGGCUCGUUUCUUCCAAUUUGCUCGCAAACAGCUCCAAAUCACCUGAAAACAACUUAGAAAUGCAAUAUGUAUGCAAAACUAUCCUAAUCAUGCAAAGUAUGCAAGAAUGAUGAGAAAUGAUAUAAAACAGCGAUGAAUGAUACAAAACUGGACUCAAAACGGUGAUGAAUGGACACUGAAAAGAUGUAAAUUAUAGACAUAUCAGGACCCACAGCAAAUGGAUCAUAAAGUCUUCAAAAAAGAAUAGAUACGAUUGCAUUGCAUGUAGUAACGGAUGCGAUCAUAGCAGCACUAAUGCACCAGAUCCCAUAAGAACUCCGCAGUUAAGUGUGCUUGGGCGAGAGUAGUACUAGGAUGGGUGACCUCCCGGAAAGUCCUCGUGUUUCAUCCCUCUUUUUUUUUUUGGUUUUUCUCUAUUUUUUUUUUUAAAAUGAAUGACUCUAUAACUUUUAGACCGUGAGGCCAAACUUGGCAUGUGAUACCUUUUCAAAAAGCCAAAAGAGAGCUCUCUGGUGAAUGAUGAAGGAAAAUGGAAUUCUUCUAUUGGGUUUUUUUUCUACUCCAAAUUUUGACCUUAAUGUACUCUUUUGGCGUUUUCGCGAUCUUUGCUAUAUUACGGGGCGAAAAUUAUAUGUUCGGACAUUGUUUUUGAAUAUUUUGCAUGUAUCAAAGCUCUUAUAAACAAGAUAGGGUAUUCCUACAUAGCUGGUGGGACCCACGACAAAUGGAUCAUAAAGUCUUCAAGAAGAAAAGAUAUUAUUGCAUUGCAUGUAGUAACGGAUGCGAUCAUACCAUCACUAAUGCACUGGAUCCCAUCAGAACUCCACAGUUAAGCGCGCUUGGGUGAGAGUAGUACUAGAAUGGGUGACCUCCCGGAAAGUCCUUGUGUUCCAUCCCUCUUUUUUCGGUUUUUCUCUUUUUUUUUUGUUAAAAAUGUAUGACUCUAUAAAUUUUAGACCGUGAGGCCAAACUUGGCAUGUGAUACCUUUUCGGAAAGCCCAAAGAGAACUCUCCGAUGAAUGAGGAAGGACAAUGGAAUUUUUCUAUUGUUUUUUUUUCUACUCAAAAUUUUGACCUUAAUGUACUUUUUCUGGCCUUUUCAUGAUCUAUGCUAUAUUACGGGGCAAAAAGCAUACGUUCUGACAUUGUUUUCGAAUAUUUUGCAUGUAUCAAAGCUCUUAUAAACAAGAUAGGGUAUUCUUACAUAGUUGGUGGGACCCACGACAAAUGGAUCAUAAAGUCUUCAAAAAAGAAUAGAUACGAUUGCAUUGCAUGUAGUAACAGAUGCGAUCAUACCAGCACUAAUGCACCGGAUCCCAUCAAAACUCUGCAGUUAAGCGUGAUUGGGCGAGAGUAGUACUAGGAUGGUUGACC
This 89397-nucleotide long non-coding RNA is filed under the name Arabidopsis thaliana (thale cress). Its description in RNAcentral is "long non-coding RNA (ATHA_LNC000152)". Lineage: Eukaryota; Viridiplantae; Streptophyta; Magnoliopsida; Brassicales; Brassicaceae. The record is from RNAcentral.